Molecule: long non-coding RNA, 100055 nt
Filed under: Lynx pardinus (Iberian lynx)
Lineage: Eukaryota; Metazoa; Chordata; Mammalia; Carnivora; Felidae
Source: RNAcentral
UACAGCUGAGCCUGAUAGCUGGAGGAGUCUAGACGUAUAUCAGAAGAAAGGAAAAAUUAAUAGGAAACGACUAGAUUUUACACCCGAUCGUUUGGAACAUUCCAAAACCAAGAGAAGCCUUUCUUGUCACACGUGAUUGCAUGAUAAUUAGGGCCAGCUGUGUCUGGGCAAUUCAGGUCAAGCCAGAUGCCAAACCCAACUCGAACACUUACAGGAAGAUCCUCAUCGUCAAGAACCUCCAAACAUCCUGUAGAAAAUCGAAAGAAGGUAAGUUAUGUUAUCUUUUCCCUUUCUGCCUAAAUGUUGUUCUCCUGAGUACUGACAACCUCUAUGGUUUUCACUUGUGCUUUAUAUCUAAAGGUAAUGUGGCUGCUGAUACAUGGUGCAUACAUGGAAGAAUCCUUAAAGGGGGAGGGGCAUCAUUAGCAACUUUUCCAUUCUGCUGGGAUUAGUUCUUGGAUUGUCGCCCUUACCCAUAAGCCAGACUAACUCACCCAUAAGUCACGUAUUUGUGAGCCAGUAAAGAUGAGCUGUCCCAGCGUCUCUCUGAACCAGGGAUGGUUUGGAAGGAGGGAGACUUUCACUAUAUGCUCUGCUGUAACUUUCGACUUUAAAUAAAAAUGUGUAUGAGAAUGUCCUAUUCAAAGAAGUAAAUGUGAUUAAAGAAAAAAAAAUUUUUUUUCCGGUGGAAGGAUAUAUCCAUUUGCUAACUGGCUCACCUUAGCUGUAAAAGUUCUAGCUGACACAAACCCUACUUUAGAACCUGGAAACUUCUUUUCCUCCAGGUCAUUUUAGUUGUAUUCUUUCUGUUGAAUUGUGGAUUUCUGAAAGCAUUUUAAAUUGCAGGUCCUUUUAUCUCAUGUUUCUUUUACUUCUACUUAAGGACUAUAUAUAUAUAUAUGUGUGUGUGUGUGUGUGUGUGUGUGUGUGUGUGUGUGUGUGUGUAUAGCUGAGAUUCCCAAUAAAGCCAUAUAGUACUUCACUUCACUAGAACUAAAGUAGGCCAGGCCUGAAAGCAGUGUCGUGGUUUACUUGGUCCCAGGGCUCCCUGUUUAACUCGAGUUCACCUGCUCCUUCUCUUAGGUCCCUGUUUCCACUGGUCACUUUGUUGCAGCUGGAAAGGAGGUGGAACAAAAGCCAUGGCUGUACUGCUAUUUGCCAUGGUGACUGACUUGGGGCUGAAUGGAGAAUUCACUGCAUUCCUGAUGUUGACUCACUUCCACCCAAAACCCUUGGGUUGAAGUUGAAACUCAGCUCAGGCUUUCCAAGGGGCUGUUCCUAUGAGCUGGCCUGGGAUGAUCGUAUCUGGACCAGCCCAGGGGUGUUCUUCAUCUUGGGGACUUCGGUCAGCUUGUUCUGUAGCAAGUAGAUUUUUAAAAAUGUCUUAGGGGUGCCUGGGUGGCUCAGUUGGUUAAACAUCCGACUCUUGACCUCAGCUCAAGUCUUAUUCUCAGGGUCAUGAGUUCAAAGCCCUGCAUUGGGCUUCACGCUGGCAGAAGCCUACUUAAAAAAAAAAGAAAUGGCUUAGCUAUCUAGAGGUGAGAAAGAAUUCUGAGAAGAAUAUUCAGAAUGGAUCUAGGCUUAUCUUUGUUCUAUGACCAGUAGAAGCUCCAACAAAGUAGCUGCCUCCUCCAGCUGUCCUAGAUCUGAGCACAUGUCAAAAGUAUGCCAGGAAACAGGCUGUCUCCAGAAGUGCAGAGAGCUCAUACUUAAUUGGAUCCCCUGCUUCCGUUACUGGCAGCCACACUCCUAGAAUCUUUCAAAUCCUGCAGCAAGACUAGUAUAGAGAUGCAAUAAUAUUGUUCUUGAAGGCAUUUUAAACUUUUCAUUGAAUAAUUCAACAAUAUGUAAUAGAAGUCAUACUAUUGACCCCAGGUUUCCCCAUUUGGGUGAAACAUAUACCCACUCUAUAGAUCAGCACUCCCUAAAAUGAACUAUUUGUACCUAGUGGACAUGCAAGACAAUCUUCCGGGGAAAAUAAGAAACUAUUUGAACCUAGACUUGUUUUUAUCUAAAACAAAACAGAAAUUAAACUUUACCAAUAUUUAAUAAGUGGGCUGACACAGGUUCCCCUAUCUUAGCCCACAUGCCAGAAGGUCAAGUGUUCUAGAUUAUAGAGGGGAAAACUUGAAGGAAUCUUAUAAUGUGGAGAGAUUAAUAGCAUCACCAUAUAUUUUUUUUGGUUUUAAUGUACUGGGACACAGUGUAGUUUUCGUGUGAAAGGCUGCAGGGAAUCACAGGUCUUAUCAUCUAGUUUUGAUAAAACUAAACCUUAAAAAAAUAAGCUAAUGGCAUGAAAGCGUGUCUCUAAUGUAAUCAGAGAAUAAAGCUAAUAUCAAAAUACAAACAAAUAAACAAAAAGAAUAUGGUAGGGCAGACACCUCCCUUAUUUGUGAAGUAAAAAUAUGGUAAAAUUAAGGACAAUCUAGUUCAUCACAUGGCCCCAACUAAAAAUACUAGGGAGAGCAGUAAUAUGAUGAUUUUAUCUUUAUCUCAUCCCUUUCAAAUUUCUAUUUUUGUAACUUUUUAAACAUACAUAAUAUGUUAAUGGAAUUCUACAUGUCUAUAAUUUUAUAAGUAGAUAAACGUUUCAUGAACGAGUAUGCUCAAACCUUUUCUUACUUAUGGGAUAAGCAAUCAAAGCAGUUUGGAGACCACUGUUAAAGAGCAGCAAACUCAAGGAAAAUAAUAUUCAAUUAUUUCUUGUGUUCAGAAAGCAAGUGAGGGAGAGCCAGAAAACAGAAAAGUUCUGUCCUUCUCAAGUCCAAUAGGAGCAGGCUCCCACCUCUCUGGGUCUCUGUGAUUCUCUAAAAUGCCAGUUUCUUAAAAUAUUAUUUCUGAUAUUGCACAUGGAUUAAAUCCACGAGGCAGUAAGACAAUGCUGUGGAAAGAAUGAGAGUUCUGGAGUCAGGCAGCUCUGGGAUGUAGCCCAGGCCCUGUAAUUCACUUGCUCUGUAACCUGCACAACCUCAGUUCCCUCAUCUGUCACAUGGGGGUAAAUGACCUCACAGAGAUGCCUGUGAUCACACAAAUUAAUAAAUGACACAAUUUACACAAAUUAAUAAAUACCAAGUGUUUGGCACAUGGUAGCCUUCCCUCCCCCUGCAUUAUAACUAUAAUUCAUAAUUAUAAUUAUGUAAUUAUAAUUAUAACUGCACUUAAACUAUAAUCAUGCAAUUGAACUCUAGACAGUGAGGUUGAUCCGAAUACUUCCAGAAAUCAGAAAUCCCAUGGAAAUAAAUUAUUCUCCUUAUCUCCAACGUGCUCAUGCAAAUUCCACUCUACAUGAUCUGAGACACCUGCACUGAAAUCCUCCAACACUACACUGAGCGCUUCUGGCACCUUCGUGAUGCCAAAGAGCACAUUUCAUUUCCAUAACUCUCUUGGUGAUACUGAAGGACCAUGUCAUUAGGAGACAGAGUACUGAAACCAUAUCCUCUAGGGAGUCAUAUCAGAAUCUUAGGAGUGGUGAUUGACAAAGCAGAUCAAAUGAAAGUACACUUUUGUAUCUGUAGAUAAAAAAUGCUUGCAUUUUUUCACACAUACCGUGAAAAGUAAAAUUCAACAAGUCACGUUGGCAGGUGGAGGUAGCCAGAGGAGUCUGUGAUUAUAUGGUAGGGAAGGGUAGAGUGAGGGAAGCCCCCAUAAGUGGGCAUUUCAGAAACAGGAGAGGGUGUGAGAGUUUUAUGUCCAUAAAAGGGGGACAUGUUUUUUUUUUAAAACAAGCAGAAGGAUAGGCAAAAUGGACACUUCACCAAAGAAGACAUUCAGGUGGCAAGUAAGCACACGGGAAGAUGGUCAACAUCAUUAGUCAUCAGAGGCAUCCAAACCGAAAUCACAAUACUAUCACUGCACGCUUUCAGAACGGCAUAAAAAAGAAAAAGAAAAGAGCUGGGAACCCCAAGGGCUGAUAAGGAUGAACUCCUAUACUUUACUGGCAGGAAUUCACAGUGGUACCGCCACUUUGGAAAACAGUUUGCUAGUCUCUUAUAAAGUUAAAUAUAGGCUUAACCAUACAGCCCAGCAAUUCACUGCUAGAUAGGUACCUAAGCGACCUGAAAAUUUAGGCUCCCGCAUGACCUCUACCUGGAUGUUUACAGCAGCCUUACUCAUAUGUUGGAAACAGCUGAGAUGUCCUUCAGCUGAUGAAUACAUAAACAAACUCUGAUAUACCCACACCGUGGAAUACUACUCGGUAAUAAGAAGGAACAAGCUAUUGGUCCAUACAACAACAUGGAUAAAUCUUAAACAUCUUUUGUGUGGUGAAAGGAGUCAGAACCAAAGGCUGCAUAUUGUUUGAUUCCAUUUACAGGACAUUCUCAAGAAGUCAAAACUAUAAGGACGGUUGCUAGGGGUUGGGAUGGGAGAAGGGCUGAUUACAAAGGAAUUCUGAAGUUGAUGGAACUGUCCCGGGUGUUCCUGCGGUGGAGGAUACAUGACUCUGCAUUUGCCAAAAUCCAUAGAAGUGUAUCGUCCAAAGAAUGAAUUUUAUUGUAUGCAAGUAAAAGGAAAAAUCUACCCGACUGUCCAAGGCCCAGGAUGGAUGCAGACUGUGGCAAAUGAACAUAACGAUAUGACAAGUGAAAGAUAUAUCCAUGCUUGGGGGGGGGGAGGGGAAGAAAGGAGACAACUAACAUAACUUUGGAAAUAGUGUUGUGACUGGCUAGUACAAGGCUAAAGACAAAAUGACUUGUACGCAAAAUUAGAAUAUACUCUAGUGAGUAAAACUGUCUCCUACAGGGUAUGGGUUAGCAAUUUUGAAAGCACUUUACCUGCAUACCAGAGUUGACCAAACAAAUAAAUAUAGCAUCGAUAGUGACAGCCAGAUUGGAGGAAGAAGCAAUAAGCAAAGGGCCAACCCUGCGGUGCCGGAUUGGGUCAGAGGCAUCAGUAUGAACUCAUGUAUGGUGUACUUUUAAUAUAUAUUUAGACAGAUAAGGGCUUUUCAGCCUUGGCACUAUUGACAUUUUGGGCUGGAUAAUUCUUUGUUGUUUGUGCCUGUGCAUUGUGGGAUAUUUGGCAGUGUCCCCAACCUUUGCCCAUUAGAUCCCAGUAGCAUGUCCCCUUGAGUUGUGAUACCCCAAAAUAUCUGCAGACUUUAACAAAUAUCCCCUGGGAUCCAGGUGUGGGACAAAAUUGACCCCAGUGGAGAGCCACUGAAUUAGAUGUAUUCAGAAGCAAAUAUAGAUUUAUGUGCAUGCCUUCGUUAGUAUAAAUACAUUAUUUCCUAGUUCUGUUCACUGAGGGCCUAGAAACAAUGACACUCCAAUAAAAAUGAGCUCACCCACCCAGAUCUUGGUUUCUAAACACCAUUCUCCAAAAGGAAGAAUGAGGGCUCCUUAGAGAACUGGUUGGUUCCAGGGCUGGGGCAGGGAAAAUACAAAAUGAGCCUGAAGCAUCUUGUGGUGCUACAAAAUAGGAACGUGCUCCAAAAAGCAGAUGGGGGGCUUGCUGAAACCUGAGCGAGCUUUCAAUAGCCAAAGCUGGAAUGAUUUAAGGAAAAAAAAAAAAAAAAACAACAAUAUGGGAUUAUAACACAAAGAACAAAAUAAAUAGCCAUGAGUCUGUAGUGCCAUCAAUGAAUGGGUAGAAGAGAAAUGACAACUCUUCUUCCCAGAAGAAUUCAAAUCAGUAAAUGUAGAACAAAUGAAGGAAACCAGAGACUCAUUUGAAUACCACAGGAAUAACUGUGACAGGAAAGAACGACAUAAUGAAUGCUAAAAUUAGUAGGUGAAAGUUUAAGGAGAAACCUGGCAGACAUUGUUGUGACCAAAUGAUCAGUGUCAACAUACCUGGAAAUGAAUCCGCGCCAAUAUCAUCUACUCCCUAAAGGACGCAACAACAAGGGCACCUCACCUCUCAAAUUUAUAACCUUUAAAUUACCAGAAGACAACAGACGAAUCCAAAUUGAGGGGCAUUUUACAACAUACCUAAUAGUCUUCAAAACUGUCAAGACCACAAAAGACAAGACCAGGAAACCAUAACAGAUUAGAAGAGAUUAAGGAGGCAUGACAACUAAAAGCGCCAUGACAUUCUGGAAUAAAAAAAAAAAUGACAUUGAAUAGAAAAACUUGGGAAAUCUGAUUAAAGUUUGUAACUUGGUUAACUGUUUUGUAUCAAUGUUAAUUUCUUAAUUUUGCCAUUUGCGUCGUGAUUAGGUAAGGUGCUGACGCUAGACGAAGCUGAGCGAAGACAAUAUGAGAACUCUCUGGAUUGACUAUUUUUGCAAAUUUCCUAAGUCUAAAAUUAUGCAAAAAUAAAGAAGUUUUUUAAAAUAUGAGAAUCUGAAACAAUAAAAAAAAAAUAAAAGAGAAAAAGGGGGUCACCUGGGUGGCUCAGUUGGUUGAGUGUCCGAUUUUGGCUCAGGUCGUGAUCUCACGGUUCAUGAGCUCGAGACCCGCAUCAGGCUCUUUGCUGUCAGCACAGAGCCUGCUGUGGAUCCUCUGUCCCUCUCUCUCUGCUCUGCCCCUGCUUGUUCUCUCUGUCUCUCUCAAAAAUAAAUAAACAUUAAAAAUAAUAAUAAAAUAAAAGAUGAGAAUCAUGGAGGCAUUCCUCUGCAUGACAUACUCAGUUCAAUCAUAACACAUAAGUUAUAUUCCAAAUGCUAUUCAUUAGCCCUAAAAAUGAGUAUAUUUUUGAGUAAAUUCUACCAAAAGUUACAUGGAGGUAAUUAAGUAACUGAGUAAUUCUGAGAGCUCUAAGAACCCACCAUAUAUUCUUUGGCAUCAAUUACUUCUAAGAAUUGCAUGUUCAGUCCUAUGUUUUAGAGAUCUAUAAAACAUGUUAUGUUUUUCCUAUACCUUGUGAGUUUGCUAUAACCUAAAAGAGAGCAUAUGGCUCUAAAGUGGUGGUUCGAAUCGUUCUGAAUGAAAACGAAAAGAGAUGGACAACUUCACUUCUUUUCUUGGUGAAGCCACUUCUCCCUUCCUCCUCUAAGUAUUUUUCACAAGGUUUUCCAUCUGAUCGACCUGAAACGUGCAAUAUUAGGGGAAGCUGCUUGGAGUGGAGACCCGGACCCACCAGGGGAGCAGGGUAGAGAGCCAGACCCUGUGUCGGAGACGGAAGUGCCGAAGACAGUCGAGAAGAACGUCUCCCUUCUCACUUCUGCCGAGCGCCCAGCCUGUGCCAGAGACUCCGUCCUCACAACCCCCCGGGAGGUGCUGGAGUAUCGUCCAGUUUAGUAGAUGAGAAAACUGGAGCUGCGAAUGGCUGAGUCAGUUGCCCAAGGCCACGUGGCUACAAGUGGCGGAGCGGGAGGUCUUGGGACCAAACAUUCUAAUGCCACAGCCAACACCACUGCCACUUUUCCUCCAGUCCUGAGAGUGCUUGCGGGGGUUAAGCAGCCUAAGGCUGAGAACCAGGAAGUCAUUCCGGUCAGAAGCAAGACAAGGGUCUGGCAGUCAGACCAGCUGGUGUGGGUCAAGGCAGGCAGAGGGGCUGGAGCUCGAUGGUCAAGCGAGUAACUGCAAGGGGCAGGGAAUGUUAGCUCCACAGACUUCGGUUUUCCUGCCUGGAGUAGGAACUGAAGGUGGGUGUGAGCUGAGCCGACCUGCGGUUGUGUGAGGAAGGAGGCAGCGAGUGGGACGGGCAAGAGAACAGGAUGAGACUCACACUGACAGGACGUGAGCCUGCCUGCUGAGUGACAUUGGGCAAGGAACUUACCUCUCUGAGCCUCAGUUUCCUCAUCUGUAAAACAGAAAUCAUAAUUGUGAGCCAGAUCAUGUCACUUCUCUACUCAGAUCCUCCAGUGGCAUCUGAUCGCCCUCAGAACAAAACCCCCCAAACCUGCAAGGCCCCGUGUGACGCGGCCCCUGGAUCCUCGCCGACCUCUCAUCCCGCUUCUCGCUCACAUCGCUGCAGCCGCCCCAACCUCCUCACUUUUCUUCCUACACCUGCUCACUCACCUCAGUAGACAGUUUGGAGCCUAGUGUCCAGGUCGUCUUUCAAUCUUUCAACAGGUGUUACUUUUCCUGGAAUGCUCUUCCCCCAGAUCUGUGCAAGGUUCAUUCCUCUAUUAAUCCAGGCCCCUCUUCCCUGCUGCUCCUCCGCUACCCCCCCUCACCUUCUCUAUCCCCUUCAUCCCCUUCCUCUGCUUCAUUCUUCCACCUCGUUUUCACCACCACUUGGCGUGACGUUACAGAGCCCGAUAUUAGAGGGUAAGAGAACAGGGAACACAGACACAGUUUGAUGCUUGCUGAAUAUUGGGUAAGAGAGCUAGGAAUAUAGGGCGGUUCUUACCUGUUGGCAAGGUAACUAAAACAUAGACACCAACGUAAAAGUUCAUUGUUAUGAAGUUCCAGAGAACUUCUACCAUGUCAUUGUUAUGAAGUUCCAGAGACUUCUACCGUGUCACAUAGAGAGGGAAGGGGACCGUGACUGCAAGGAUGGGGCAUUUGAUGAUAUGAGGAAGGCCCCACGUUUCUUUUUUUUUUCCAGUUCUCAUACCUUCUAUAACCAAACGCUCUCCAGAUAGUGCCACAUUUUCAUUUUUAUUGGUGGCAGCACAAGAUAUUCUUCAUGCGUUGGUACACAUGGCCGAUCUAAUUGUUAUGAGCUGGUAUUUGAAAUACAACUCUGCCACGGAUGGACAAAUCUGUAGAGGACCUGGGCUGGAAAGAGGAUCCUUUCCCCCCGACUACCGCAAAAAAUCUCCCAACCAUUUGCCUUCAGUCUCUUGCUUCUCUUCACGAUCCAUCUCAGAUUAUUUUCCCACAGCAGGGGAUGGAGCACAUCUCUGAACCCACUGUGGAACACCGUUGCCUACUGAAUAGCACAGAAACUCCUUACUGUCCCAUUCACAGCCUUCCACAGUUCGACUCCAAGUGCCUUUCCAGCCUCACACUGGAUCCCUCCGCAGUCUCUGGUUCCCAGGCAGAGGGCAUCACUACUCUUCACUGCUCCUUACAUGGUUAUCUGCAUUCGCACCUGUGUCCUUAUUCCCGAACCUGAAACUUCUCCCUUCCACCCACCACCCACACUGCCGUCAAAAUUCUGCUCAAGGCCUAGUUCAAGCCCACAUUCCUGUGACUUCUCUUUUGAAUGCAGAGCUUUCCUGUGUCCUACGCAUGCCCUUUACUUGUUCUUCCAUCAUACACUUAAUUCAUUUUGCGUGUUCUAGUUGGUGUUUUGUGUCUAUCUUUUCUACUACAGCCAAGGUUGGGGAGGGAGACUGUGUCAUAUUCUUUUUUGGUUAAGCCUUCAGGGCUUUGUACAAAGUGGGUGAUCCAUGGAGGUCUGAUGAAUGCAUGUUCCCUGGGUAGUUCAGCUUAGCCUCUGUGGUUGGUUUAAUAUUUAUAGAGAGUCCACGGUGAGGGAGACGUGAGACAGAGCUCAGCAGUGUCGGCUCGGCCACUCACGUGGCCGAUGAGAUGUGUAACAAAACUAAUUACAUGAACUUGGUUUGAAUUUUUUAGGUUAAUUUUUUUUUUAUGAAAAUACAGGUAAAAUGUAGCAGCUGUCUGAGGGGAGAAAAUAGGCCAAAACACCAGACAAGACCACAUAUAACAAACGGUGCUAUUAAUCCCUUAAUAUCUUUUGAUUUUUUAUGACAUUCUAAUGCUCAUAUUCAUCCCCUCAUUUGGCACAGCAGUUACUUAACUAGCACAGAAUUGAAGUGUCAUAGUUUCUAACAGGAUUGAGAUAUGGUGGUGCACUUAUAUAACUGAGCUUUAAGCAGUGGGGUGGGAGAGAAUAAUUAGGAAAGUUACCUAAUGUUAAUUGGAGGUUAUUUUAAUUUUUUUUUUUUUUUUUUAGUGUUUUACUUUUUGUUUUUGGGAGACAGAAAAAAACGUGAGUGGUAGAGGGGCAGAGAGAGAGAGAGAGAGGGAGACAACAGAAUCUGAAGCAGGCUCCAGGCUCUGAGCUGUCAGCACAGAGGGCGACACAGGGCUCAAACUCACGAACUGUGAGAUCAUGACCUGAGCUGAAGUUGAAUGCUUAACCGACUGAGCCACCCAGGCACCCUUGGAGGUUAUUUUUAUAGAACAAAGAAUUGGAAACUACCUAAAUGUUCAUCAGUUGGGCACUCAUUAAAGCAACUGGAGUAUGAACACAUUUUUUUUUUUUAAUGUUUUAUUUGUUUUUGAGACAGAGAGAGACAGAGCAUGAGCAGGGGAGGGGCAGAUAGAGAGAGGGAAACACAGAAUCCGAAGCAGGCUCCAGGCUCCGAGCUGUCAGCACAGAGCCCGACGCGGGGCUUGAGCUCACAAACCACGAGAUCAUGACCUGAGCCGAAGUCAGAUGCCCAAUCGACUGAGCCACCCAGGUGCCCCAGAGUAUGCACACAUCUUGUAGCGCAUUGUACCAGCAUGGGAAAAUAUGCGUAAUAUGUAGUUAAGGGAAAAGGGCAAGUGCAAAAUAAUACAUGUGGUUUGAUGCACUUUAUGUUGGGGAAAACUUUAUAUAAGUGCAUGUAAAUGUAAGUAAAAAACAUAAAUUAUAUAUAUACACACAUCCACACAUCCACAUACAUAUAUACACACACGUACACUUGUAUAUAAUAUAUUUUUGUCUGGAAGAAUAUGUACACUAAACUGUUAGCAGCAGUUACCUGUAAGAAAAGGAACUGGAGAGGAAGCACCAAGUGGGGGAAAGGGAGGGAUAAUAUUCAGUUCUAAUUCUUUAUAUUGCUGUGUUAUUUGAAUUUGUUAUGAGUGCAUGUUAGGUUUGCAAUUAUCAGCAGCAGCAGCAGCAGCAGCAGCGAAUCCUUUCAAGAAAGAGGACACUCGCUGGGCAGAAGCAUGUUGGAAUGUGAGUAAACACACAGAGGGCCUCAGAAACCUAGAGAGCAGCAGCGGUCAGGGGGGGCCGCACACAAGCCGAAGCCACCAUCCUCUGUGAGGAUCGGUCCCCGCUGCUGCAGAAUGUGCACCGAUCACUGCCAACCCCACGGUAACACACCCCCAGGAAGUCACCAUGGCUCCUUAAUCAGGGUCACAUGGUUCUCUCUCUUGUGGGAAACCCCUUCAGGAGAGGAUUCGAGCUUGGGAGCGCAGGCUGGAAUCCACUUACUGUUCUUUCUCAUGCCUAAGCCAGGCCACUCUGGCCAUAUUUCAGUGUGUUCAAUUCAGAUCACAUUUGAGCCUCCAGAAGGGACACCUAAUCAACACCGCUGUUUUUAUAAGCACUCGUAAACAAUUUUGAGGGAUAUACUUAAGUUACUCAUUGGUUCUGAUUUUUAGAUAAAGCUGUCUCAGUUCAUCUCUCCUCCUAAUACGUGUCUCAAAUAGUUCCUGCUUAAAGCCAGAUUUAGUUGGUUGUUUCUGUGCAAAGUUGGUAUAGGAGACAGAGCCCUGGAGGGCAGGCUUUGCCCUGAACCUUCCGUAGAACCUCGAACAGAGCUUAUUUUCUUAUCUGUGCUUCAGUGUCCUCGUCUAUUAAAUGAAAGAGUUGUACCCAGUAAUGUCCAGGGUCGUUAUAAGCACUAACAUUUGUAAUCUGGUCUAUGAACCUUUGGAUGAACAUGUAUCCAGGGCUUUGUGGGGGCCAAGGUGAGGCCCACAGACUUACAGUAUAAAUGACUUAUUCAAAUCCUUCCCCUUAAAAAAAUUUUUUUUUCAUGUUUUUAUUUAUUUUUGAGACAGACAGAGCAUGAGCAGGGGAGGGGCAGAGAGAGGGGGAAACACAGAAUCCGAAGCGGUCUCCAGGCUCUGAGCUGUCAGCACAGAGCCCAACGCAGGGCUCGAACUCACGGAGUGUGAGAUCAUGACCUGAGCUGAAGUCAAAUGCUUAACCGACUGAGCCACCCAGGUGCCCCUAAAAAAUUUUUUUUUAUGUUUUUUUAUUUUUGAGAGAGAGAGAGAGAGAGAGGGAGAGACAGAGUGGGUGGGAGAGAGGCAGAGAGAGAGAGAGGGAGACACAGAAUCUGAAGCAGGCUCAGGCUCUGAGCUGUCAGCACGGGGGACUCAUGCAAGGCUCGAACUCACAAACCUUGAGAUCGUGCCCUGAGCCGAAGUCGGAUGCCGAACCUACUGAGCCACCCAGGUGCCCCUCAAAUCCUUUCUCAUUUGACUGCUCCUCUGUCCUUUUAGAGCAAAAUCUGACACCUCAUGGCGCUAUAAUCUGAUGUGGAAUCUGACGAAAUGACAAACACAGAAAGCAGCAAAAAGCUACAUUUGGACAGACACCCAUUCUGUCACGAUCAAAGACGAAGGCCCCAUUGGUCCAGCACCACAUCUAGCACCGAGAAGGUGCUCAACAAGUUCUUUAAACAAAUAAAUUAGUGAGUAAAUGAUGUCACCAGCUGACAGAAAAGCCCAUCUGAUCCAAUCUGAUUAGAGGAAGGCCGGAACUUCCUGAAGUGGACCUUGCGGUCCGGCUUGAAGGUUCUCCUGGAGCCAACCACACCCUGACAGGCUUCAAUUGCCUUCACUUCCCAGGGAGGUCUCCAGGACUGACGGACAGUUCCCUGAGGUGUAGCAAGGGGGGAAGACAACACUCGCUCGUCACCCUGAGACUGGCAGUCGCCUCCCCACAGAAUGUUCUUCAAGAAAGGAUUUUGCUCCCUCACCAGAUAGGGCCCUUUAUUCCUCAUUUACAGUUGGGAAGUGAAUUGGCGUGACUGAAGAGACGUAGAAGAAAGUUUUUCUGGGUCUGCCUGAGCAGUAGAUGCGGCUCAAUCAAAGGCAGCACAGUGCAGGAAAAAAUUAAAGCUCAAACAAUGCUUCAAAGUUAUUUUAUUAUCUCAAGUAGGUUAAAAUAAUUUGUCGAUACUUCUGUUUAUCCCUUAAUUGGUUUAAUAAGUUCCUUCUUCAAAGACAGCACAGAGAUAAAUUUCAGCCAGCUUGAAUUAUCACAGAUGCCUAAAAUCAGUCAUUCAAAUUAACUUACUGGGAAAAUUGUUAACUUUCACAACCACCUCUUCCAGAGGCUUCUACCUACGUACUUGUGGUGUCCGUCUGUCUUGUCAACUCAUAUUUUACUGUAAUCUCUCUGAUUUCUGACUCUUUUCUUUUUCUGCUUUUCCUUUGUUCCUGCUAGAUUUUCUAGUUUUCACUCCUCGUAACAUCUCGUUGCCAAAUAGUACCAAGCGUCACUGCUCCUGGUAUUUCUGAAAUGUUGAGUUUUCUCCCCAAAUGUGUGUGCUCCCAGCAAAUCAACACACAUGAAGAAGCAUCGAAAUGUGGUUUAGUCUCUUCUUAAUGUGCCUUUGAGUCCUGGUCAAAGUGAGAGAAUCCAGCAAUGAGACAGUGUGACCUAGGAUGUGAAAAAAGCUUGACUCAUACGGUCAGUAGACGAGGCCUGUGAUUUAAGGGACAUUGGUUCGCCUUUCUGGGCCUCGGUUUCCCAUUGCAAAAAGAAGCUACUGAAGCUGACUGGCCUCUGUGUUUUCAGUUUUGACUUUCCACCACGUUGUGAGAGGCAGCAUUUGGAAGUAGUUGGUAUGAUUUAGAAGCCAUUUUAGGUCAACCAGAAAAGGGAUAAUGUAAAUCUUGAGAAAUACAACCACCAGGGUGCCCAUGAGACUCAUGUAAUCACCUCUCUUCCUGGAGAGAUUAGGAAAUUGUGGUUUAAAAACCAAAAGCCCUAAGUUGCAGCCCUGUACUCAUUGAUUUAAAAAAAAAAAAAAAAAAGAAAAAAAAAGCUAAGUCAGUAUUUUCCUUAAAAAAAAAAAAAAAAAGAACUAUAAACAGUAUGUUUUGAGGUGAGAGAAAAGUAAACAAGAAUGAAAAACUGUUUAUUAAAAUUUUAAAACUUUCAGUCACAUGACUGUUCUGGAACACAAAAGCCUUCCCUGUUUUUGUUACUAAGUGGCCUGUGAUUUAAAGCUCCUGACAACAGCCGCUCACAAUGACACUGUCCCCCUUUCUUCCCUGCACGGUCCUAGCAGACGCUCAUUUGUAUGUAUGGUUUCAGCCUGUCUGCCGUGUCUGGCCAAAGGGACAGAUACUAAUGGCAUAUGUUAAUUACUAUCCAACAACUUCCUUUCAUUAGAGUGUUUAUUAACAUUCUCACUUCUGCCCAUUGAACCAGCUGGCACGAGGGCACACUGGCAGCUUUGAGUUCACGUGCUGUUUUUCACUCCGGGCUCACACGAUAGAAUAGAUUUUUCUUUUUUGGAUAAUGAAACCUUUUCUGUUUCGAUCUCGGCCGAGAGCUUUCUGAGAUGCCCGGAAGAUGACACCAAAACGGUAACUUGGAAACAAAUGUCUUGCUGUGGUGGCCCACCUUCAGAGCUGUUCUAGAUGUAUUUUGGUUCCACAACAUGGGAGGUAUUCAUCGGUCUGUUUGGACAUCUCUUCGAUAUCAUUAGUGGGCGCCCAAUAACCCUUCUUUUAAUUAUAUGCACCCAGGAGCUAUGAAAUAAUUUGUGUAUUAGUGAAACUAUCUUCUCUAAAUACAACUCUAGACUGGAUUUCUCAAUAGCAAGACAAGACACAGUUCACUACGAUUUCAGGGCAUGGGCACUGGGGGUGGGGGGGGGUGGGGUGGGGAGAGUAAGGCAGCCAGGGAAAAGUCCGAAAGACCCAAAGUUUGUAUGGCAUGAUGAACUGCAAAUGGACAUAUUUUCACAUUUAACAGUAACAGCGCAAUUAACCAUAAAGAGCUCUUAGAUCUUUCCACUUGAUUGGUUGCACAUGUCCCUUUAAGGUGCCCUGAGGAGGGAAAUGGACGAGUUGCCAGCAGAAUGACAAAGCAGGAAUGACACGGUAAACAAGUGUUUUCCAGCGUUCUCACCCAGUGACAUCCCUCCGUGGUCACUCCUCACAGAAUAUCAAAUGUAGGAGAGAGAGCAGAAUGCUAAGAAGGCAGUUCUUAGACAGUCGCCUUGUUGGGAAAUCACAGUAGAUUCCACUCUCAAGGGGAUCAGAAGUUUCGUUCUCAUCUGAUCAGGCUGCCUUGCUACAAAUAUUAGACGAAUGGGUUUUUUGCUUUCAUAUUAGAUAGCGCACAGCUUUCGAAUACCAUGCAAAGAGCAGUGAUUUUGCCAAAGGAGUUUCACAGUUGCAAAGGCCUUGGGGCUUUUGUAACCGUUUUUUUGUUUUUUUUGUUUUUUUUUGUUUUUUUUUUAAUUAAAGCUAAAGCAAGUCUGUGCUUUGUAUUAUUAAUCCUGUGAGGAGGCCACACUCCUUUCUCUUCUCACCCCUCGUGUCCCAGCCACCAGACCCAACCAGCUCCCAAGGUUAUGUGAUCUAAAGCCAAAGCCAUGCUUAGUCACACUCUGCAUGGGUCUGGUGUCACAGAGCUCUGGGAAGGAAAGUCUUUGGCGUUGCUGGGAGUGGGCAGAUAAUGGAGUACCACCAGCCACAGGGAGAAUGCUUUAGUGAGAGGCAUUCAUUUAAUCAACAAAUAUUUGUUACCUACAAACAACGCUGAUAUUUAGUUGUUAUGCACCAGUAUGGCUGGAUCUACUGGUUAAAAAAAAUUUUUUUUAAUGUUUAUUCAUUUUUUGAGAGACAGAGCAUGAGUGGGGGAGGAGCAGAGAGAGAGAGAGAGAGAGAGAGAGAGAAUCCUUAGCAGGCUCCAGGCUCUGAGCUGUCAGCACAGACAAACCACAAACGGGGCUCAAACCACAAACUGUGAGAUCAUGACCUGAGCUGAACUCGGACACUUAACCCACUGAGCCACCCAGGUGCCCCUGGAUAUACUGGUUUUUAAAAUAUCAAAAUAUUUCCAUACUUAUGGGUAAAAUGUCACUACCCUGAGUCUUUCCAGUGUCCCUAUCUGCCCCAGACCUAUCAAUCACCUUGCACCUCCUGAAUUCUCUAAGACCAAGUACCUACAAGAUUCAUGCUUGGCCCCACAGGGGCCUCCAGAACUCUGCUCCAGCGCUAGAGCUCACGUCGUGUGAAAGGGGCAAUGACCACCGACAUGGGUGUAAAUAGCUAGACUAUCACCAUUGCCUCCAAUGUCCCUGCACUAAGCUGGGUAUUGGUGAUACACAGAAAAAGAAAACAUUGACCCCUGUCUUCCAGGAUCUCCCAACCUGGUGGAGACUAUCAUGAAAAAAAGCUCUGCGCUAAAUCCCAGGAAUUUUGAGCUGAUGCCACUCUGAUUUGCAGACUUAGAAACCGGACUUUGUCCACAUGCUAGAGUGGAUCAAGUUCUCAGGGACAGAUUCACAUCAGUCAAGCUCUCAAGAGACUGCUGUAUAAACCAAGUCGCAAUUUAUUAAUUUGCGACGAGAAAUAAGAACUUCUAGGCAGAGUGGACAUCUGUGGUCACCUUGACUAACAGUCUCUCCCAGUGGGAAACUAAAUAGGAAGACAAAUGGUAAUGAGAACACAGCUUGAGUACACAACCUGAGCAGGGGAUAUUAGAGGGAUGGUUUUAACGUCAAAGGGUGUCACAUUUUCUUAAGCUCAUGUCUUCACUUCCUCUUGGGAGAUGGACCUGCCCAAAUAGAGAGCACUGGAUGUUCCUGUCAGUUCCCCCAGGCACUCUCCCUUUGGCGAGCUGUCCCCCCUCACUCCCACUUCUCUUUCCAUGCCGACCUCCUCCCUUGGUUCACUCAUUCUAUCUUUAGAUUUGUUAAUACCUCCAACCAGGCUCCAGCCAAACACUGUUGGUUUCCUGUCCCUGCCUUGGAAGCAUUCUCUCUUUCAGGUGACCCCGCACAGAUCCUGGUGUUCUAGUUGGGUUUGGUCAUUUAACUCAUUGCUUCUCCGAUGAGGCUAAACUUUGGAAGCACCUAAGAAACCUUUAAAAAUACUGAUGUGUGGUUCCCAGAACCCCCCNCCCCCCCCCCCCCCCCCCCCGCCCAAGGAAUUCUGAUUUAACUGAUUCAGGGUGAACUUUGGGCAUUGAGCUUUUUUAAACAACCUCCCCAAAAUAGGGAACAAGAAUGCAGGGCUCCUGAAGAGUUCAAAUUCAAAGAGAAGAGAUUUGAAUUUGAAUAACGUUUGAGAAUCACUGCUAUAACUCUCAUGGGUGGAGGAUGUCUUGACCUGCACCAGCUUUUAACACGUACCGGUGCUCUGGUUCCAGCCUGAGCUGCUGAUUUAUUUGGUACCCAGUGGGAGCCAGGCAUGGGCAUUUUUACAAGACUCCCCAAAUGAUUCCAACGUGCAGCCAGGGUUGAGAUUCAAUGGUCUAAACAUUCAUUUUACUGAGUUUUUGGUGUCGAUUCCCCCUUGGCCAUAGCAUUGCAAAGAGGGGAAAAUAGAAGAUAGAUUGUGGGAAAGGUCUGUAGAGGUGAGUUUUUCCAGAGGAACAGCAGGGGCCUAUAUGUGUAAGCCCCGUGGCAUGAGCAGGAAGACCAUGUGGGCAGGAGGUAGCCAAGAAGCUCAAAGUCGGUUUCUUUGUAUCUGAACCAAACUUAUGAUUUCACUGCCACGGACAUGGAUUGGGAUGUAUACUCUUAGGGCCAUUUUGUGCCAUAUCAUUGAAUAACUUCAGUAGAAGUCACGGAAGUAAAUGGGUGUACUUAAGGAAAGUCUGGUUUACUGAAUAUUUUUCUAUAGGAACCUGAUUUGCUUAUGUUCUUUUGGUUGUUCCUCUGUGCCCUCCACCUGAAGCCCCUACUUUCUGAAGAUCGCCAUCUUGAAAGAGGUGCAGCCACAUUUUGGUCCAUAUUCUCCUUAGCAAUAGCUAUGUUUAGCACAGAAGCAAGAGAAUCCCAGCCUGUGGCAUCUUCCUAAAUAGGUUAAGGAUUUUCCAUUUUCCUCACCAUUCCCGAAUUUCCCGUUGUCAUUUUUAACCUUUCCAAUGUGCAUGAGAAUUCACUUGGGCUUUCUGGAUGUUUGUAGCCUUGUCUGAUUGCAGGGCAUCUGGGAAAGCCAUCAACUCCACUUUGUCAGCAACUUAAAAAAAAAAAAAAAUGCAUUCCUAGGAGAGGAAAAGGCAGUGGGCUGGGCAGAGGCCUACCCGGUGCCUCCACCCUUCCUUCUCUUGGGACUGCCAGUCGUGGGCCUUGAAACGAAAUGAUUUUGAGAAGGAACAAGGGGGACAGAGCAUGGCCACUGUGCAGAUGACACAGCACAAUUCUGAGGGAGCCACUGACACAACAUUCUACAAUCACGGUGCCUAUAGCCACCUUCCCCCACUGCCCUGCUCAGCAGUCCUGGCAGGAACACUGUUCUUUGAAUUUCACCUCCUCUGGGGCCCCAGAUUCCGGGUUGCAUUCAUGCUUCUGACACACACAGCACCCGAGAAAUCUCGUUUUCUUUGGGCUUCACUUGUUCAUCUAGAAAUCGAUAGGUGUUUUCCAGGUCUCAGCCUUAUUCCAAAAGUCCCUUUCUCUAGGCCUGUGGGAGCCCAGCUAUUUGCAUGACUGAAACAAUUUGCAUGUAAUCUCUCAGAUAGAAUAAAGAGAACAUUAGUUGGAAGACUUCGAUAGCCAGAUCUGAGGCUGGAUUCUUUUGUCUGGCCCUCUGUUUUACACAUUUCAGAUUAGGAUCCCUUGAAGCUAUUUCCCAGUUCAUUCAAAUGAGAGCCCAGGAUCUCUCAGAAAGCCACUGUGGAAGAAACCCCCACCGACAGUCAUCUCUCUGUGUCAUUCAAAGAGCAGCCAUGCUCAGCUCUUUAUAAUCUUAUAAAUAUCCAUAAUUCAAUAUGGUCAGAUAAAACAGCCCUCUCUCUCAACAUAACCGAUAAGCUACAAAUCAGGAUUGUCGGUCUUCGGAAACCAGCAGGUUAGGCGCACUGAGGUUUGUUUUACUGCAAUUGCACAGUCACGUAUGUAUCACUGCCUCAUAGAUCUCAUCUCUCACUGGUCACAGUGAGACGCUUCUCCAAACUUUCAGACCCUGUAAUGAGGGGUAAGUCCAGAUGAAAGAGAAUUGGAUCCUUAUGAUGUUGAUAGAUAUCCAAUGUGACCCGUGUGUGUGUGUGUGUGUGGACCUGUGAGAGAUAGUUCGGCCUCCUCAUUCAGUGACAUUUAUUUGCUCAUUAUUCAAAGUAACAAAAACUUCCAGGAGGCAACUGUGCUGGGUGCACUUUGUUCUCGCCUUGUUUCAUGCCCUCUUCUCUAAAAAGAAUCUCUUGUAAUUGCUUGAUGUUACCCUGGAAGACCCAUAAAGAUUUUCAGUUCAAAUUGUAGAAUUUUAGAGCUAAUAGACACCUUAUAGAUCAUCUGUCUGAUGCUGGCACCACGUUUCUACACAGGAGGAAGCAGAGGUGUAAAGGCACACAGCAAGUUUGUGACAGGUAACACCCAGGUCCCUUUAACUACGUUACCCCUGAGAACCUCAACCCCGCCCCUGUUCCCACUCUAUCAUUGCAAACAUAAGCCGGUUUUCCCCACGCCUCACCUUCCUGAAGCUGGACUACAAUUGUUAGUAAUGAACCAGAUUUCACUAGUUCAUGCCCACCAGCUCAGCCAAGAUAUCCUCAGUCCUCUGCAACAUGUCUCCCUCGUUUUCUGGACGUCUCCGUAAACUCACGGACAAAUUUACUCCGUUGGGUCCACCGGGCCACUCUUUUCCUGCCAGGCAGCUGUGGCCACUGCUGUCUCAUGCCACGGCACUAGGAAGCAGUGGGAUUCCCAAAAUGCUAGAGUUGCCCUGACUCUCGUCCCACCUCCUCUUCGAAAAGGUUUCCUUCACCUUAUGGUUAUGCAGAGGCCUUAGUGAAGCUGCUUCCUUGGGGGCUCCAAUGUUUUCUGUAAAGGACUCACGCAUGAGUCUUGUGUAAGUGGUGAGUGAAGAAGUGUGGAUGUGUGUCCAUGAAACAAAAGCGGGUAACACACACUCUACUGAGAAUUUUAAUGACAAAGUCUUACCACUGGUCAAGCUGCCCAAGCGAGGUCCCUGCUCCUCUUAGAAUGAGUUCUUUCCCAGAAGGCUCCUCUGUUCUUCAUGCAAAUAAAUGACUUCUAGGCCUCCCCCAGCGAUUUAGGAUUGGGCCCGUAGUUGAACUCCAGCUUACAUGCAAGGGGGAGCCCUAUUAUACUAGUAGUUUUCUUCUUUAAACUAUGUAGUGAUAUUAUUAAAGGAUCCAGUUGGCUUGCGGGGAGGGGGUGUGAUCUGACCUUUGCUGUGAAUAUGGUCUAAAAUAAGACUCUCACUUUCUGUUCCUCAAUUCUUCCAUCUACAGUAGCUUUCCCCCAUCUGUUCUGCCGGUACACAGGGAAGGAUCCAGGCUUUGUGGGGCCUGAAGCUGGCAUUUUUUGGCACCUUCCUUAAUUAAAAAAAAAUACAAAAUACCAAAUACAAAGUCAGAACAAGAAUGAAUCUUGGUUUAGAAUGAGUAAAGAAAUACAACAAAUUUUACAGUUUAAAAAGCUGACCAGUAACAGGGACACCUGGGUGGCUCAAGUUGGUUAAGACUCUUGAUCUCAGCUCAGGUCUUAAUCUCAGGGUUGUGAGUUCAAGCCCAGCAUUGGUCUCUGCAUUGGGCGUGAAACCUACUUAAAAAAAAAAAGCAAAAAAAAGCUGACCAGUAACAAAACCUAGAAAAAUAUAAUAUUUUUUGUCAUUUAACUGCCUAGUAUACCUCUUUAAUUCUUUGUCACUACUUUUUUUGUUUUUUUGCUGCAUACUUAUUAAUUGCUUCUUUAUUUUACCAUGAUUUUCUAGUACCAUUUUUUAUAGUGAUAAUACAUGAAAUAGUCUUUCCCUUAGCAUGGUAGAUGGCAAAUUAUAUUUUAUUAGGAACAGAAAAGUUCCUUUUGGCUUUACAACAUGUUGUUGGUCGUGUCGUGUAAACUUUUAGGAUUGGGAGAACCUCUAUCAAAUUUCUUUCCUGUAUGAGCUUUCAGGGCAGGUCAAGUGGGCACAGUAACUCCUUUUCAACACUCUGGAUUGGUGACACUCAUUGACUGGAAUCACGAGGGUUCCAUGCAAGUGAAGCAUCCUGAAGCUUAAGCCUCCUUUGCCUCCUACCCUGACUUCUCUGGAAAAUGAGGAGAAAAAUGCCCACCAAAUCCACUGCUCCUCCCCAUGCCCUCCCCACCGCUAUGCUGGGGCCAGCCCUGAGACUAAUGCUCAGAUAGCACUAGAGUCUGGAACGUGUGUGUAUAUGACAGCUGUGGCAGAGAGAAAGAAACUGGUCUUGAGGUGCCUGGGUGGCUCAGUGGGUGGAGCGUCUGAGUCUUGAUUUUGGCUCAGGUCAUGAUCUCAGGGUUCACGGGAUUGAGCCCUGAGCGCAGAGCCCGCUUGGGAUUUUCUCUCUCCCUCUCUCUCUCUCUCUCUCUCUGCCCUUCCCUCCACUCAAGCACCCCCCCCCCCCCCGCUUCUCUCUCAAAAUAAAUAAACUUAAAAAAAAAAGAAAGAAACUGGUUUCAAGCUCACUUUUUUUUCCUGAUGCUUGAAGCACUUCCAGCUAACAAGUGGAUACAUUUAUGUUGGAUUAAGUCACUAAGGAAAUGUUAGGAAUGAAUUAAAGUUCUUGGGGUGUCACAGGGGGCUGUCACACUCACUAUCUUUUUUCUUGAAUCCAGCAGUCUUCAAAUAGUGCUACACAGACCCCUAGGUUUCCAGAGGUUCCUCAGGGGCUGCCUAGAGUGAGGAUGGGGGAAGGGGGUGGGGUGCUCAGGGAAAGGGGGUGCUGGGUGGGCAGGGCCCUGGGUUCCCCCUCCACCGCCCGCCGCCCCCAUCAACCAGAUUCAAUUAUUCUAUAUACCAAAAGAGUUCCACUACAUCAAAGUGUUUUGCUUAAAAGAAAAGUUUGAUAAUGUUUACCCAUCAGUUCAUUUUCAUCAAGAACAAGCAUUGUGCGCCCAACAUGUGUACUCUUUGCCAUUUAGAAAUACUAGCCAUUCAUUUGCCAAUGAUUACUAGCUAAAACACUUGCAAUUAAAUGAUUUUCCCUGUUCUGUGUUUCGCUCCUGCAUGUUCAUCUAAUAUGUAGGUCAGUUUGUUUCAGGAUUGCAUUAUUUUUGCUUUCCUUUCCUUUCAAUUUUCGGUUCAAAAUGCAGUUGAUUGAAUAAAAACCACUUUGCUUCAAUUACUUAACACAGAUACUCUGGGAACACCAACAAAGUCUUGGUACAGCAGGGACACAUCCACUGUUGGCAUUUAAUAAGGUGUUUUUUUUUUUUUUUUUAAACUUUCCUUUUUAGCUCUCAGAGUUAUUCUUGUAUUCACUUGAGGUUUGCCCUAGUAUUUUUCUCUGGAUUUCUUUAUCAAGCUCUACAUUUUGCCAACUCUUCCAUUUAGGUGUUUGCUUUUGUAAGAUAAUUUGCGAAUGAGAAAUGAUUAGCAUUUUUCAGUUGUUGUUUGUUACAUUUGUGCUAUAUCUUAUUCUAUCUCUUUAUAAAGGUCAUAGGACAUGUAUUACCUUUCCCUCUUUCUUCUUCCUUAUCUUCAAGAACUGGUCAGGAAUUACAUACCUUAGGCAAUUAGUAAGUCAAUUUAUCCUUGAACAAGUAGAUACUUGAACAACCCGAUAUUUCUGAUUCCAAGUUUUCCUGCCUGGAAUUUUUUUCCCCCCUCUUCCAUGGGUUCCUUAGGAGCAGAUUUUGGUUCCUUCUCAUAUUCCACAUGUUCUGCCUGGGAAAUCCCACCCACAAGCACUGCUGUAGCAUCACAUGUGCAGGAACAGUGUCUGUUUAUCUCUCAAGCUGUGUCUACUUCCCUGAGUUCAAGGCCCAUAUCUUGUUUGUUUCCAAGAAACUCACUUUAGUUUUUAAAAUUUUUAUUAUGGAAGCAUAGUUGACAUGCAAUGUUGUAUUACUUUCAGGUGCAGAAUUUGACAAUUGUAUACAUUACACACUGCUCAACAUGUUAGUGUGGACACCAUCUGUCACCCAGCAAUGUUAUUACAAUAUUAUUGACUAUACUCCCUGUGCUGUACUUUUUAUUUCCAUGACUUACUUAUUUUAUAACUGGAAGUUUGUACCUCUUAAUCCCCUUUAUUUCACUCAUUCUCCGCCCCUCCACCUCCCCUCUGGCCACCACCAGUUUGUUCUCUGUAUUUAAGGGUCUGUUUUUGUUUUUUGUUUGUUCACUUGUUUUGUCUUCUAGAUUCCACAUGUAAGUGAAAUAAUUUAGUAUUUGUCUUUCACUGACUUGUUUCUGUUAGCGUAACAUCCCCUAGAUCCAUCCAUGUUGCUGCAAAUGGCAAGACCUCGUUUUUUUAAAAUGGCUGAGUAAUAUCAAGGCCCAUAUUUUUAAUGGCUAAUGAGUUAUUCCAGGAAGUCCCCUAAAGCUUCAAUAUUAAACUUCUCCUUGCAAUAAAGAAUUAAGUGGCCUCCACAUAAUGUGAUAAAUUGUUAUGUUUGCUCUAUAAUGUUAUUUUCUUUUGAGUGAAGUAUAAUGCCAAUUCAAUGAAAUUUCCUUUUCAGGGUCAGCCCAAUUCAAAAUGGAAAGAGCAAGUUUAAAAGAAAAUAGCUAUUAUUAGGAGUGAUCUGUUAUACUUUAAUUGAAGUAGUCGAACCAAGCUAUUGUCCAUUGUGAUAAAAAUUUGCCAGCUUCUGGUGGUUUAACAGCCAAUCCUCUGGGAGAGAACCAGGCACAUGCCCAAGCUGUGUCAUGAGCCGUGUUUAUACGACUGUAAAACACGGAUUAUAGUUCCUCUAUUGGAAAUCCCAUUUUUGGAAGAAAUGUGAAAAACUGUCCCUUUUGAUUGGAAUUUGGAACCAAGCAUCUCUUCCUUUCGUGUGUCCGAAAGUCCAGAUCAUGUUCCUUCCUUUACAGUCAUCCACUCAGCUCACAGAUAUCUGCUACAUACUUUCUUUUGGUAGGCACAUUCUAGAUGCCAGGAGACCUUGGAGACCCAAGACAGGAAAUGGAGCUUUACCUUAGGAAGCCGGUAAACAGAUAAACUAACACAUAAACAACAUGACUUUGAAGGUGUUAAGUAAGGUUGGGAAAUGAGACAGAACAAGAAGGAGUGUGAUGGGGAAAUUAAGUGUUUCAGGUAGAGGGGUGAGGGUAGGACUCUCUGAGAAAGCAGCCUUUGGACAGACACUUGAACGAGGCGAGAGGGAGCUCUGCACAGAUCUGGGGGAAGAGCAUUCCAGGUGAGGGAAUAGCAGGUACACAGGUCCAGAGGUGGGAGUGAGCUUGGUGAGUUAAGGAAGGGUUUUUAACUUGGUGUCCGUGGAUAGAAGCAGCGGCUCCUGGAGUUGAAUGGGAAAGAAAAUUACAUCUCUAUUUUCACUAACUUCUACCUGAAACUUAGCAUUUCCUCCACUAAUGAAUAUGGGCAAACAAACCGCAGUGUCUUAGCGGCAGCUUCGACUCUGUCAUCGAAAGAAAUCACCGAACUUUCAUAUUGCGUUAUAGUUGCCGCAGAUAUCCGCAAAUGUCACUCGUGCUCAUCACGACUUCAAAAUUAUGAUAGCUGUUAGAGCUGCUGGAUCCUGUGACUUAACACGGUGAUGAAGACGCACAUCUAUUACUGUGUCACAAAUUUGAUUUUUAAUAUUCUGGUAAUCAUAUUUCCAUGCAGUUGUAUCCUUUGCAAUCUCGAGUAUUUUACUUACUGCAUUUAAAAACUUGCUUCUAAAAGGCGAUCCGUAGGCUUUAUCAGACUGCCGAAGGGAUCCAUGGCACAGAAAAGGUUGAGAACUCACAUGUUAGAAGAAGAACAAGGAAGAAAGUGACUGGAGUAAAGUAGCAAUUUAGUAGUUGAGUUUGACAGGGGAGGCAGGGGCCAGAUUAUCAGGGUUGGAUAGGCCACAGCCAAGAGUUGAGGUUUUAUGUUAAAGGCAAUGGGAAGCUAGUAGUGGCCUUUAAUGACUUUUUUUUUUUUUUUUUUUUAAAGUAAGCUCUGUGCCCAGCACGGGGCUUGAACUCACCACCCUGAGGCCAAGAGUCACAUGCUGUACCAACUGAGCCAACCAGGUGCCAGUAGAAGCUUUUGAGUAGGGAGGCAACAUGAUGUGAUUUAAGCAUUAGGUCACUCUGGCUGCUGUACGGGGAAAAGACUUGAAGUGAAGACCAGGGGACCAUGAAAGAGCCAGCCGGAAUGCCAGUUGGAAGAUGAGGGUAGAGAUGGAGGUGGUGGAAGAGAUGACAAUUUGCAAAGUGUUUGGAAGGUAGAACGGACAAUUUGGUGCCAGACUGGAUGUGGAUGUGUGAGGAGAAAGGAGACUUUCAGGUUCAUGGCGAGUGGGUGAAAAGUGGUGGCACGUGUCAGUAUAGCAGGGGCUGGGGAGGGGCAGGCUUGGGAGCACGGAGGGAGGUGGCUAUGGAACCAAGAGUCCUCUUUUAAGCAGGUUACUUGAACUGCCUACCAGCCAUCCACGUGGAGCUACCUGGGUAGGAGCUGGGUAUGAGUGAGGAGCCUGGAAAGGGGGUAAGGGCUGGAGAACAAAGUUGGGGUGCUGGAUAUCCAGGCGAUAUGUGAAGCCGUGGGACAGAAUGAGAUCAUCAAGGGAGAGAAUACAUCCAACAUUGAGAGGUCUGGAAGAGAAGGAAGGAGCUAGCAAAGCUGAGCGAAGAGAGCAGCAAGUGAGACGGGAAGGUGGUGUGGAUGUUUACGGAAAUACUGGGGAAGAAAGCCAUUUGAAUCACAAAACAUGCCUUAGUAUAGAUGCCACACAGUACUUUCAAAAUGGGAAUUUUGUAACACAAACAACAAUGGGGGAACAGAGUACGUUACGAUUUUCAGAACUCCACUGGGUACUGUGGAUUAGCCAUGAACAGGUCCUACAUUCGAGGACUUGCGAUUUGUGAUGUGUAGACUGUGGUUGGCCUGUGGGUAUGUUACGUUCUUGGGCAAGCUGUUUGACCACUUUGUUCUUUUUUCCUCUUUUCUGUUUAUAAAUUGAGAUCCAUCUAUAUGGCCCAACAAUUUCACAGGAAGCUUGUGAAAAAUCUCACAUAUCCACAAGAGAAAAUGGAUCACAAUUUGCUUUAUAAUCUCAAGGUGUGAAACAUCAGGGUGGGACCUUACCCAGUUGUGUGUUCAGUGUGGCUCUAAUUCAGAUCCUGAGUUCACCAGUUUGCAUCUUUACUAUACGACUCUACUAGGCCCUGUUCUAGACAAAAAUGUGAAAGAAAAAUUGGUCUUUAGCUGUGCCAUGUCUUUCUUUAGGUACUUCUAGCCUUACUUUGUCAGGCCCCCAAAGGGUGUCCUGAGUCUGACUCCUUCACGGGUCUCCCUGGUGACCACCUUUCCCAAAUCUCUUCCCGCAAUGUGCAGUAAGGCUUCCCAGGCCUUCAGGGCUGUGCCCUAGACAUGCGUGCUUCCAACUCCCUGGCCCAACGUCCCUCACCGAUAGGCACAGGGCAUGUGGGAGUUGUGGGAACAAUCCAGUCCUUAGUAGGUACAAGUGGGGGCUCCGACUUCCUCACCUGCUCUUCCCAUUGUCUGUAACGCUGCCGUGUCCCUGUGCUGCCCCUUCCCUGGUGUGUGGCUCAUACCACAACCCAGUCUCUUCCCCCUGUGCCCAACUUUCCCAGGUCACAAGAUACAGGUAUAGAAAGGACUUUGGACCAGGGGUGAAAGGCCUGGGUUCUGAUUCUAUGUCACUACAAGCCUUGAGUGGAUCACCUCAAUGCCAAGUCUCACUUUCCACUUCUAAAAAACACAUGGUCUGGAUGAGCUCCAGAGUCCUUCUCACUCAGCCACACCACAGCCUGAUAUGGGGGAGCCGGACUCUGGUAAAUGUUCAUGGACAGCAACUGGGCUGACAUGUUUCCUUUUUCUGGUGACGUAUUUGAACUUUACCUUGGGUGCCCUGAGGAAUUUUGCCCUCCCUUCGUCCUAAAGGUUUAUUUCAGUAUUGAUAGCAUAUAAAUAUCGGGGAAGGCCUCUAAGAGUACAUUAUUUCAGAUAAUUGAGCCUUUUAGUAGACCUCAAAAACACCUUCUCCACUUAUGUAUGUAUGGAGAGUCCUGGUUAUGAGGACCAGUUAUUUAAAUGAAAGGGAUAAGGAGAUGGGUCCGUGGAGAACAAUCUGAUAAAAAAUUGUUAGGUUUCAGGCGUAUAGAGUAUAUCUCAUUCCAGAGGAGACGGAUUGAUGGAAAAACAAAAAACUGCAGAUAACUGCUUGUGACCCCAUCCUCCUUCUCCACUGGCCUAGGAAUGACCAGACGAGGGUCCUUCCCCAUGGACAAGAGUGGAGAAUCAAGAUAAUGGGAAAGUCAUCACCAGACCUCAUAGUCUAGCUCCCAGAGGGCAGAAAGAAUCCUUGGGUCUCUGUUAAAUCCAGAGGAAUAUUCUAGCUUUUCGGUCUGCCUAUCCUGGUGUUGUGACUGUAAGAGUAGACACAUUAAAAGCAAGGAUUUGAAAUGCUACCUCACCCUCUCUGCAUCUCCAAAAUCAUCCAGGCUCCAAUUGGGCCCCCGUUGACUCCUGUGACCUUUUCAAGGCUGGAUUCCGGGGCCAUUCCCAAGUGUGCCAAAAAAAAGGUCUAGAGGGAAGCCCCACUGAGGAGGAGAGGGAGGAAAAUGCCCCUCCACCCCAGCUCCUCAAGACCUGGAAAAGGAAUAGCAAGUCGAAUUGUAGAAUACUGCACAGUCUCCCUGGGGAGAAAAAGACAUCCACUAUCUGGCUGGCUUUGGACUUUGUGGGGAGAGUCCAAGAUCAGACAAAGGGUGCCUGAGAAAUAAGAUCUAUCCCUUAAAUAUUCAGCUCUCCAAAAUGUCUACAAUUUAAUUAAACAACAGGGUUGAUCUUCUAGCUCUUGAGGAGCUCUUUUUAAUUAAACUUUGCAUUUCUUCUCUCUGCUCUGCAGAGGCAUUCCAGGGUAACAUUUGGCUUUGAAUGAGCAGUCAUUUUGGCCACCCACGAUGGUUUGGAAAAGCCUCGCUGCUGAGUUAACAAAAUUCUUAAACGUGAAUAUCAUUGGCUUUUCAUUUGCACCGAUAUCCAGAAACUUCUGUUGAUGUUAAUAAAACUUGUGUGUUAUUUUAUUUCUUUUGUGGCUGUCUGCAAAAUAUCUCUGUACAGAACUCAGAUGCCGCCUAUGUUUCAGGCCAAAUUUCAGUUCUUCCAUCUGUAAAAUGGUGUCACAAUUCUGACCCUUAAUACAAAAUUAUUUUACACUUUUGAGUGAGGAAUAAAAAGCUCAUGACAGUGUGUGUGGUGUGACAUCUAAAACACAGUAGCCUUGGGGCACCUGGGUGGCUUGGUCGGUUAAGCGUCCGACUUCGGCUCAGGUCAUGAUCUCGCGGUCCGUGAGUUCGAGCCCCGUGUCGGGCUCUGUGCUGACAGCUCAGAGCCUGGAGCCUGCUUCAGAUUCUGUGUCUCCCUCUCUCUCUGACCCUCCCCCGUUCAUGCUCUGUCUCUCCCUGUCUCAAAAAUAAAUAAACGUUAAAAUAAAUAAAAAUAAAUAAAAUAAAACACAGUAGUCAGAAUUCAUGAGUAGCCUGGAUACCAGUCACCCUUCAUUAAAGUGAGGAAGCGGCCACUGUAGAAAUUGCUUAAAUCUAAAGUAUCAAGUUUAUUUAUUUUAUUUAUUAAAAAAAUAAUUUUUUUUUGAGAGAGAGAGAGAGCUAGUUGGGGGGAGAUGGAGGGGUACAGGGGGAGAGAGAGAAAGAGGGAGAAUCCCAAGCAGGCUCAUGCCCAGCACAGAGCCCAACAUGGGGCUCGAUCCCACGACCCUGGGAUCAUGACCUGAGCCAAAAUCAAGAGUCAGAAGCUCAAUUGACUAAGCCACCCAGGUGUCCCUAAAGUAUUGACUCUAAAAGCUCAGGGUGGAGAGAAUCCACAAGGGUAAAAAGGACAUUAAAUUAUGACAUAAACUUUAUUCUCAUAAACUAUUCAAGUAGGACCUGAGACAGGGCUCUGUAUACAUUGAAGAAAACUGAUUAACAGGUAGGACAGAGCAAACUGAUGGACAGGUAAGAAAGAGAAGGGUGAAGAGAUGAGAAAAGAUGGGUGAAUGAAGGUGAACAAAGUGUUCAUUGCCUUCCCAUAAUGCUGACUGUAAAAAUUUGAAAUCGUGUGGCCAUUUCCUGCUCCGUAGAAACAUACUUCACAGGGAACCUGGGUGGCUCAGUUGGUAAAGCAUCUGACUCUUGGUUUCAGUUCAGGUCAUAAUAUCGCAUUUUGUGAGUUGGAGUCCCAUGUUGGGCUCUGUGCUGACAGUGCAGAGCUUGCUUGGGAUUCUCUCUCCGACUCUCUCUGCCCCUCCCCUGCUCAUGCUCUCUCUCUCUCUUUCUCUCUCUGUCAAAAUAAAUAAAUAAACUAAAAAAAAAAAAAGAAACAUACUUGACAAAAUACUAUGUUUCAGUCCAAUUCUAUGCCACAGAUAUUCAUAAUCUGAGUGUCUCCAUCUAAAUUCUUGUAAAAAAAUGAGUCAGAACAGCAUUGAUUUCGGCCUGGAAACAAAGUACACCAAAGUAAUUCAGAUUUCUAAAAUCCAGGGUCAACCUUGAUGGAUUGGUGUUAAAAAUAUUACUGUAACCUUCCCAAAAUUUUUUCUUACAGAAUGUUAUUUUAGAGCAUGGCAAAACCACUCCUAAAACUGAUCAUUGGAAUUUUUUUUUUUUUUUAACAAUUUGUGAUCUGGGAAACCUGGCAAAACUCUUUGUUGCUCUACUGUAACCAUUAAUAUAUUGUGCUUUAAGAUAGUUAUUUUACAACAAAUGCUAAUUAAUCCAGAAGUAAUUACAUUAUAAUGUGUAUAUAAGAAACAAGAAAUAUUUUUAAAAAAUUUUUUAAAUGUUUAAUUUUGAGAGAGAGAGAGACAGAGCGUGAACAGGGGAGGGACAGAAAGAGAGGGAGACACAGAAUCUGAAGCAGGCUCCAGGCUCUGAGCUGUCAGCACAGAGCCCGACGUGAGGUUUGAACCCAUGAACCGUGAGAUCAUGACCUGAACCAAAGUCCGAUGCUUAACUGACGGAGCCACCCAGGCACCCCAAAACAAGAAAUGUUAAGUUGGAAAGGAACCAAGAAAUUUUUCCAAGUUUGACUUUCUUCUUUUUGAAUACAACCAUCUGAUACAUUCCUCUUUUUGCUUCUCUGCAUGAAAGCAGAGUAAUUCUGGUUGCUCUGUUUUGCUGUCUUUGAGUGUUUCUAAUAACUAGUUGUAAGCAAUUUGAACAUUUUUUUUUUUUUAUUCUGAAGGGAAAGCGCUGGCCUCUGUAACAUAUGCUUUGCUUCAAAAGUGACUAAUGUUAAGAUUAUCUACAUCAUUGAUGAACACAAGUGGCUUGAAAUAUUAUACAGGGCAAUCUGUUCUUCUUAAGGGCAGGACCAGGAACAUAGCAACGGGGAAAAGAAAUCAAUUCAUAAUAACAAAUGGACAGCCAUGGAAGAAAAGAGCUGAGAUCUCUUUCUAGCACAAGACAAGAAACUAAACUAUUGAAUAAAAAGAACUAUUGGUCAUCUUAGAACCCAAAAUGUAAACUGGAUCUUGAGCCUCACCAUCACUGUAAUUUUCCAAACCUUUGGAAAAUUGACUUUCUAAGCUGGGCAAGCUGAAUGCACAAAUAUAAUGGACUUUACUAAGUAGGUGCAAUUAAUGUUAUGAUUACUGGGGCGCCUGGGUGGCUCAGUCGGUUAAGCGGCCGACUUCGGCUCAGGUCGUGAUCUUACGGUCAGUGAGUUUGAGCCCUGCAUCGGGCUCUGUGCUGACAGCUCAGAGCCUGGAGCCUGUUUCAGAUUCUGUGUCUCCCUCUCUCUGACCCUCCCCCGUUCAUGCUUUGUCUCUCUCUGUCUCAAAAAUAAAUAAAUGUUAAAAAAAAAAAUUAAAAAAAAUUGUUAUGAUUACUUAUCCACAUCUUUAGCUAGCGGAGGUUUUGGGUAGCAUUUUAUAUAGGUCAAAGGUCAUUAAAAAUAAACUCCAAGAUCUCAUAACAAAGUACAUGUGAAAAGCUUUUCGAAUGUUUAAAAUGCAGGGCCAAUGUAAGGAAGUAUUGUUUUAUGUGAUUAUAGGUAGAACAUAUGGCAAGGGGCUUGGGACUCAUUUUUAGAUGGAAAUUGCAGUGAUAGUUAUUCUAAAUGAAAAUAACCAGUACAUGUAUCCUUUGCCAUUGAAUUUGAAGAAGGAGAAAGAGGAGGAGAAAAGAAAUAGAAAUUUGUAUUAGUUAGGAUUCUAUUUUCAUACAACAGGAACCCAACACCAACUAAAUAAAGGAAAUAUAUUGGCUCAUGUAAAACUUAAAGUCCAGAUAGGGAACUGGACCCAGAGACUUGAGUAUCAUUUGGCCUCUGUCUCUCUGUUGGCCUCAUCUUUUCCACAACUAUUGUUCUUUCCUCAAGACAUAAGAAAGAUGGUGUAUUAGUCAGGGUUCUCUAGAGAAAAAAACAAAACAAAACAAUAGGAUUUGUAUAUUUAUACUGGUAGAUAUAGAAAGGGAUUUUUUAAAUUUUAUUUUAAGUAGUUGAUUGGCUCAUACAAUUGGCUCAUACUAUACAGAAUGUGCAGGACCCUUCAGUCCAGAUUCUAGUCCAAAUGCUAAUAUGUCCAAACUCUGCAGGGUGGGCCAACUGACUGUAGAGCCAGGGAAGAGCAAAGUUACAGUUCAAGUCCAAAGGUCAUCAGGCUGGAGAAUUUCCUCUUUCUAGGUGUACAUCAGUCUUUUGACUAUUUAGGCCCUCAACUAACUGGGUGAGUUCCACCCACAUCAUGAAGGUCAAUCUGCUUUACUCAAGUCCAGCUAGUUAAAUGUUGAUAUCAUCCAAAUCUUUCUCACAGAAACUUCCAGAAUAAUAUUUGACCAUAUAUCUGGCAUCAUGGUUCGGCCAAGUUGGCACAUAAAAUUAACCAUUACAGAUGUCUUCCAACAAUCCUAGGCCUCAACAUUCCAAAUUAGCAAUUCAAGCAAAAAAAGUAAGCUUUUUUUCUCCCAGUAUCCAUAUACUGAGCCCAAACAAAGACCUUUAUUAGACAUACUUCUAUCCCAUGACAAUCCCUGAGCCUAGAAAUGCCAUUGCUAUGGUUGACAGACCCAUCAGAACCUCAUGGAAUGGCAAAGGGGCAUGGUAUGUAAGCCCUUUGUAACUGUUCUGCUGUAUUACUUACUGAACACAUGACCAUCUGGGACAUACUAAGCCAUCUUAUAAAUGGGUUGGUGCUAUGUAAAUUCUCAUCCUGUAGAGAGUACACAUUUUGGGGAAAGGUAUAUACAGUUAUAUGCUGUGGGAUAAGAGAUAGGUGGGAGGGUAGACAGAGAAGAGCCCAUCUUUAAGUAUGGGGCAAGGAAGUGUGUUUCAACCAUAUAAUCUAUGACCUGUUCAUUGAUUACUACUUAAAUUCAUCCCAAUAGGAGUACACUUGACAACAAUGAAUGCCCUGCCCAAAUUAGAUUACGUUGUUUGGAAUGUUCUUUAGGUAAUCAUAGGGCUCCCGAGGUUUUAGCAUGUGGAUAUAAGUUGGAAUUUGGUUAUAAUGAUUUGUUCUUAUUCCACUAGCCAUAUAUAUAUGUAUAUGUAUAUAUAAUCUAUAUAAUCUAUCUAUAUAAUAUAGAUAUAUAUAUAUAUAAUCUACAUAUAUACAAUCUAUAUCUAUGUCUAUAUAUCUCUAUAUAUAGAUAUUGAUCUCUGUUUAAUGGUGAUAUAGAUAUUGAUAGUUUUAUUUCUAGUUAUUUGUAUUUGAUCUCUAAAGUAUGUUUAUGCCCAAGUCAACUGCACAGGAAAAUAUACACAUAUAGAUACCCAUGCGAAAAAUUUUCCCUCUCAAUUUCAGAUAUACUUAGGCAUCUGUUGAACAAUUGAUUUACUUCUGUCUUUAUAACUUAUUGUUUCCCUCCUUCCUGUUUUGAUCCACACUUUCCACUCAUUGAUUCAAUAGCUACAAUGUUCUAGGCUCUGUGAAAGAUUCUAAGGGUAUGUGGAUAAAGGAGGCGGGGUUCACGUAUAUCCUAUGAAGAAAGGCACAUUGAAACAAGCCAUUCUCUGUGUGACAUUGGGGCUUCAGGGCAUGCAUUUAAGUACUAACCUCACUCAGGCUCUCUCUGACUCUCAUACACUUAUCUUCCUUUGCUCUACUCCUGUUGUCCAGUUUAUUUUUCUUUUAUCUUGUAAUGUUUUAUUUAUAUUUGAAAACUACUUAAAUUCUGCAGAAUAUAAAUGAACUAACAGUUCUUAUUUUGCUGUGCAAGUUCAACUAUUUUGGCCAAUGGAUUUUGUUACCUUCAUAAAAUGCCCCAUUAAAGAACCCUCUCAAAGCAUGGUAACAGAUGUUGUAGAUACAUGCACUAUACAGAAUGUGCAGGACCCUUCAGUCCAGAUUCCAGUCCCCAGUGCAAGCAAAAUCAGAUACACAGCCCUCUUAUAGGGAUGGUUCUCAAAUUUAAAUAAUGAUAACUUCUCUAUUAAAAGAAAAGAAUUAUCAUAAACUUCCAUUAUUGACUUAUUUUUAUUAUGUUACUUAAAUAUGUAAAGUCAUAAAAUAAGAUAUAAGCUUCUUAUGUACAUGGUUGUUAUACGCUGACAAAGGCAAAACAAAUUUGCUUAUUAAAUACAAGUAAGGCUACAAAACUAAAAUAUGCAGAUCAAUAAUUUUAAUGUGAUAAAAAAUGUUGUUUUGCUGCAAUGAGAUUUCAAGCACAGCCUCAUCACUGAUUUUAUAUGUUUUUUGGUUUCUUUUUUGUGACUUUUAUAAUACUAAUGUGAAUUCAACAAUACUACUACUAAUACCUAGUCACCUAAGUAUCAUCAUCAAGAUAGUGUUAACAUUUUCAAGAUGUUGUUCUUUUAGUUCAAUAAAAUCUUACACAUAAGCAAAACUGUCAGUGAGAAAUCCAGGAAUUUAACUCCAAAUUUAAAAGCAGCUCUGUAACGCUGUCUUGUUCUUUUGAAGACAAAGUUAACAUCACAGUGUAAUUGGAAUAUACAUUAAAUGAAUAACAAAUCCAAUUACUGCUUGAAUAAGGAACAGAAAUAUGCUUCACUGUAUAUUUGCUAUUAUGCUUGCUGCUAAUGAAUUUUUGCAAGUUGGUACGUAUAACGAUGGGAUCUGCUUACAAGAGGAAUACAUACUGACUGCAGUAGAGCAGAUUCUUUUGAAUGUAAAACUUUGACCAUUGGAUUAGUGAAUCAACUCUCUCAGCACUUUCCUCUUUUCAAACUCCUGCAAAAUUUUUGUCCGCAUAGCAUCCUCAUUGGAAGUACAAGUAUCGCGUGGAUAUACUCAGAGUUCCAUGUGAUUCUGACAAUCCUAAUUCUUUUUUAAGAUCACCAUUGAAAUGAAAACUUAGUGUUAAAAAAGAAAAAGAUCCCAGACCCUAAGAAAACAUGUGCAACCCAUAGCUUAUGAAAUGUUACCUCGCAGAAUGCUUUUAUAGCAGGCUGAUCCCUAUGAGACAGAAUAAUAGCCUCAUGGAGGUGGGACAGAGAGGUCAUCCCAAGCCCCAAGUCCAGGCUUCUUUCUCUUCUUUUCCUCCUUACCACUUGUCAUCAUUUGCCUCCAUCUGUGGAUGGACCAAUCCGUGGCCCAUCAGCUCCUGCCCUAGAUGCAGAGGGUUCAUUAUUUGCCUUUACCAGGUGGUCUGACAAAAAGAGGGCUGAGGAGCUGUCGGACUGUGCUUCUCACACUUUAAUGUGCACACACAACCCUGUAGAUCUUGCUCAAAUGCAGAUUCUGACUUAAUGGGUCUGAAGUGGGGCCUGAAAUUGCAUUUCUAACAGGCUUCCAGGAUCCAUGCAAUGCCCUUGGCUUGUGGCCCACACUGAAGAAGCCUGAAUCUAAGGCCUUUUGGCUCUCUUCAAGGAUGCACCUUUGAGGAGGCAAAGUUUCCAUCUUUUGCCUUAAGUUACUGGAAAUUUGCCUUAAUCCUGUGUUUUGUUUGGGACUAUGGUAGUUUGGCUUCUACAAAAUGGAGCAAUGACUUAUUAAAUAGAUUAAAUGGAUUAUAAGAGUCUUAUUUUAGGGGCGCCUGGGUGGCGCAGUCGGUUAAGCGUCCGACUUCAGCCAGGUCACGAUCUCGCGGUCCGUGAGUUCGAGCCCCGCAUCAGGCUCUGGGCUGAUGGCUCGGAGCCUGGAGCCUGUUUCCGAUUCUGUGUCUCCCUCUCUCUCUGCCCCUCCCCCGUUCAUGCUCUGUCUCUCUCUGUCCCAAAAAUAAAAUAAAAAAACAAAAAAACAAAAAAAAAAAGAGUCUUAUUUUAAUCAGAGAGAAAGCAAAGUUUCAUCAGACCCAAAGGAUCUUUAUAUUAGAGGAAUUUUUCAUAUCAUGAGUUGGUAUGAAGUUUCUAUAAGAUUAAUAGCCAAAGAAUCAAUAUAUCAAACUCUAGAAACCCUGAAUUACUUCUAAUUCUUAGUGGUAAAUCAAUAAAUCGAAUAAUUUAAAAGUGAAUUGAGUGAUUUUAUUUUCAUUUUGGGUUGGAUUUCACUGACUGUCAGAUGGCUUUAAUGUGCCAUUAUAUAAGCCUAUUCCCAGAUUGAUAUUCAUGGUUAGGAAGUAUUUUGAUUUUUAAUUAAAUGCUAUGUAUUAUUGGAAGAAACUCAGGACAAAACUAUCUUCCUUCUGUGAAACCUACGAAAAUCAUCCUGUAUCAGUUAUAAAUGCAGAUGGCUGUAUUUAUACAGAGAAUCCAACUCACUGUGGUUUUAGCAGAUGGUGGGUUACUUUUCCUCACAUAGCAAGACUCCUGGAGGUAGGUGGCUUAGCUGGUUCAGCAGCUCUGUGAUGUCAGGGUCAGUAUCUUGGCCAUUCUCCUGGUCUUUUCCUCCUCAUUACAAGAUGGCAGCCUCUGUUUUAGGUGUCAGACCUGCAUUUAAGGUAGGAAGAAGGGGGAUAAGGCCGGCAUCCUCCUUAUCCAUCAAUUUAACCAGUACAGCCAAACAUUUCUCAGAAACCCCCAGAGGACUCCUGCUGACGUCAUCGGCCAAAACCAUGUCAUGUGACCAAUCCCUCUCCAACCCCCAGUAAUGAAGGCAAGGGAGAAAUUUGGGAAUAAAUAAAGAAACAGCCAUCCAAUUUCUUUCUUUCUUUCUUUCUUUCUUUCUUUCUUUCUUUCUUUCUUUUUUUAAUCUCCAAACUUCCCUUUAACCGAAAAGCAGAAUAUUAUCUUUUUUUUUUUUUUUUUUUUUUAAGUGCUACCUCUCUGUUGGGAGAAAUUGUGGUGGUUUAAGAAGUAUAAUAGAUACAUGAAAUUCCUGAAAGGGACCUCAGGGCCCAAAGAUUUCUGAUUAGUCCUAAAAGUGGAACAUAAAAGAAUCCCGCUGCUUGAAGCUCAUUCUAAGAACAUGUGAGAUUGUCCUAAGGUAAAAAGGUCACAGGGUCUUCAACAAAGUCAUGGAAGCAUUCUUGUGGUUCUAUCCCCCUGAGUCCACCAAGACCGCAGAACUUAGCAGGAAAAGAUUCUCUUUCCCUCACUGAGAGCAGGUUUGGAGCUUUUAAUAGGACAGCUUCUGGAAACAUGCUAGUGCUCCCUCUCCUUGCUCCUUUGUCCUUCCCUGGUUUUGUCACAGCAGGUUUCUGUUCCCAGGGGGUCCACAUCCCACUGGAGACCUCCUGGCAGCAGCAUUCCCCCCUCCUGCAUGCCCCAGGGGAGACCAUCUCCCAUUAGGCAACUAAGAAAAGAACGUUGCAAAAAUUCCAGCACUUGCUCAGUCUUGGAUUUCUCAACCUCUUCUUUAUUUUGAUACUUUGAUAUGAUCCAAUAAUUCUUAGCAUUAAACUUUGCGUAUUUGAUAUAUUUGUUCUGAACUGGUCACGGAUUCUUUAUCCUUAAUUUCAAAUUCCGCUUAUAGGCAUGAAGGUCCUUAGUGACUGUUUCUAAGGAGGAGUUCACUUGUUCCUAUGCAUUUAUCUGUGUGGAGAGUCUUUUGUUUUCCAGUUUUACUAAGAGUUCCCUGUUUCUUACCUUUUUGCAAAACUAAGAUGGCUGCUGUUAUGAUGUUAAACUAAUCUGUAAAUGGAUUUCUUCGUUUGUUUGUACUUUAAGUGCUGUGGUACAGGAUGCCGGUAUUCUAGAUCAUAAUUCUUGGCCUGGUACCCCCACCACCCCCAGAUGUCAGCCUCAAACAGGAUAGAAAAUAUUUAACCAUAUUUUGAGUCUUCUUUCCAUUGUGCCUAGGAGUUAUGUUACUGACGUACCAGAAUAUAAUCACACAAAAUUGUAAUUUCAAUAGAAGGAAAAAGUGUAUGCAUACAUAUUUAAAUAUACAAUAACAUCUUUUUGAGACCUAUUUUAAUGAGUUAUUCUUCCAGAAGUUUCUGUGUUUUAAAGAUGGUGGGGGGGAUAAAGAAGAUGGGGAAAGAAUUCAGAGGUAGAACUCUGAAUUCAAAGGAUUCAGAUCUUGGGGCACCUGGAUAAAAGAGAGUUUUAACCAAGGGGUCUUAUGUGGACCCCUUAAACCUUAUGGUGUAGAUGGGGCGGAGUCUGCAUACAUUACUGGUCUUUACAAGGGUGGCCCCACCCCCACCGCAUGAUUAAUGAGAUGUUUCCAUGGAGGACCCUAGUCCAGAAUGGUUUGAAAUACCACAAGUGUCUGGAGUGGCAGCUGAAUUGCAAGGGGAUGGGACUGAACAAGGGAGUAAGAAACUAAAGAGAAACUGAAUCUGCCCAUCAGGUCUUUUUUGAAGGCAGCCCCGGUAGUGUAUUUUGCUAAAUACUUUCAGAGGGUAAAAACUAUAAUUUCUGUGGAAAGAAAGAAAAAGUAUGAAUUAAAUAUCGGAUUUCAUCCCAACGUUCUGACAUAAUAAACUAAGAAAAGACCAGAUUUGGUGGGAUGGGGGGGAGGGGGGGAAGGAACUCAACCUUUCUGCUUUACUUGGCCACUACAGAAUGUCCCCAUUUGAUAAAUGUUUAUGAUGGUGAUCCUGGUGAAAAUAUGAGCGCUUCUUUCUGAACAAAAAGCAUUUCAUUAGCAAAUCAUUUGCAAAGAAUAUGAGCCAGGUAUUAAAAGACUGAUAGAAACUUAGAAAGGGUAAUGUCAAGAUAUUUAAAAAUGACCAAAAAAUGGAAGACGGCUUAAGUACAUAGAGUGGCAAAAAUAUACGUUUGCUCUUUGGAGCAGCAAACAAAGAGAUGUCAGUUUAUGGAACGAGGAAAUGAUGGGUCUCUAAACACACUAUUUUGAUGAGUCGCAGCUGAUGACUAUGUUCUGUGUGGGGCAUUUUGGAGAGUUUUUGUAUGUGCGUGUGCUAAAGUACAAAGAGUUGUAUGUAACCACCUCCUAGGGCUUGCAACUGACCUUCCUCCCAGUGGCUACUUUUCCCCAGCUCUGGAUCUCUGGUCACACAACUUUUUUUCACAUUCCCUGAUGCUUUGGUUUGCGUUUUUAUCAUUUUUCCUUAAGUUUUCUACAAUCUCACCACCUACCUCCAGAAAUGAUAUAUCCUCCUUCUUCAGUAAGAAAAUGGCAGUUGUUUGGUCUAUACCUCUUCAGCUUCCAUCCCCUCUCGUCCAAGUCAAUGAUGUCUUUACCCAACCUUCCCUCCUUCCUGUCUCAGGGGAGGUACCGUCCUUGGUUCUUUCCAGGGCUGAUCCAUUUCCCUGUGGUCUUGAUUCUCGAUGUAUCACUCAUCGCCAAUCUCCCCCUCUUUCUCUUCACUGGCAUUUCUCUAAUCCAUAUACACAUUGAAUUUCCACCAUCCCUAAAUUAAACACACCAUCUUGCAAUGGCCAUUCCCAACUCGCUCCCUGCCUGUCAUUGCUGUUGACCAGACCUGGGGCCCCAUGUCCCUGGGAAAUGGUUGCUUCACCUCCUCUCUGUUGUCAAAGUCGUGAAGACUCCUAGGUUCUGACAAGUCCCCCUUCUGCACGCCAUAAUCUCCCUCGGAACACCAACUCUUCCCUGCCCCGGGGCUGGGGCUCCCAUGGCCUCCUUUGUCUCAGACUUGACUUUCUCCCAUAGACCUGGAGCCUCCUCCUCAUUUUUGAAUUGUACCUUGCAAAGCUGUUCUGCAGAUCCAGUGAAAUAAUGGAUGUGAAGCCACAUAAAACCAUUUAAGAAAUGGCAGCUCUUAUCAGGGUUAACUUCCCCGACUGUAGAAAAAUGACUCUAACACCCUACCCCUGGGUCCCCCAAGCCUGCCCUCUAUUCCCUCUGUCCACCAGUCAGCAUCCUGAGCUGAGGCUGCGCACCGAGCUCUCUCCCCACAAAUGACAUGCCGGCCUAUGUGACUGUGUUUAAGGUGCCAGCUGCCCUCCACCCUGCACCCUCCAUCCCACACAACUUGAAUUCCCCAAUAGGGUGUAUUUCCAUAGUUUCUGCUUUGUCAGAGUAAAUGGACCACGGCACUGUCCGCUCCAUGACACGUAGCAUCUCAAACCUUGGCUAUAUAGGUUGUGACUUAUCAAUUUAUUCCUUAGGACCUAAAUUCCUCAAAGGUCAAAGUCCACUCUCCAAGGAGCUGAGUCUGUUUCCUCUCUUUCGUUAGCACGUCCUUCUGCAGACUGACUCUUGGAAUCUCUCCUGUUGUAACUAAUUUCCCUCAAACUCCUUUCUCUCUCUUCCUUUUCCUGCUCCCCUGCUCUGAAUGCCCCUCUCAUGUCAUGUACCUUUCUUGCCUGAGCAGGCUCAUGUAUUCCUACAACUUUAGCUAGUGACGCCAAAACACGUGACACGAGUGUGGGCCCUCCCUAACUCCAGACCCAGAGGGCCUUUAAACUAUUCACUUCCAACAGUCUCUGGUCCCCUUCCUUCCCCCUGUGUCCUCUAACUCUGUGAGUGGAAAACUCACCCACCUCCAGUCAAAGCAGAAAAUUCCGUUACCACCGACCCCACCGUCACCUACAGCUCCAGCUACAAAUUCCAUCCAUCUCCGCGUUUUAUCCCUUUUUGCCUCUUUUGCAUCUUUUCACUAUGUUUAGUUCAAACUCUCACGAUUUUUUCUCUGAUUUCAAUAACCUUCCAACUGGCCUCACUUCUAGCCACCGCUUUCUGGGGCCAGCUAUCUUUAGAGAAUUCACAUCGCCACCCUGUUUAAAUGCCUUUGACAAGACUCCUUUGCCAAAAUCGUUAGUAAAGCAUUCCAUAUCCUUCACAAUCAGGCUCCAGUUUGUUCUUUUAUGCUCACCCCUUGCCAAAAGGCCCCCUGGACCCAGGCUGAGUGGGACCUUGCCUCUGUUUUGUUUGUUAUUUCGUUUCAUCAACUGAUCAACUAAUUUUCACUCGCAGGUUUUCUCCUCUGCCAAACAGCUCAGUUCUGCCUGAAUUGUUUAGCAUAUGCAGAUGAUUCAAUCCCAGAAAAGAUCUUUGCGUGGAUAUUUUCAGUCAUCAAAUGACAUAAACACUUUACACAUUAAUCACAGAGUUUAUAAAAUUUCAAAGGAAACCUAUAGCUAUAUGAUGGCAUCUCAGAAAUGUUUGGAAGAAUCGUGGCGUAAUGAUAUUAGCACAAUGAUUCUCAAAACUUUUUCCCAUUAAUAUCAAACGCUUAUUUACACAAGCUAUGGGAAGGAAAUAGCACAAAUAACUCACAGCAUUAAGUAUAGAAAUAGAUGUAUUUUGUUGUGUGAUACAUUAUACAUUUUUUUCUGCCCUGCAGAGUGACUUUUCUAAGGAGGCUCUUGUUAGAUUGAGAAAAAUUAAUUUCUAAUCCCAGACAUCACGCAGCUCAUGCUAAACUGGGGAGUGACUCAGAAACAUGGGGAUUUCAGGCAUCAGGCUGACUGGGAGACAAUAUCUGUUAAUAAUAUGAAUUUUAACAUGAAUUUAUAACUCUAAUUUGGACUUCAAAUGUGUUUUUCUGGCCCCGCUUGGCUGUUGAUUUGCUUUCAUUUUAUGCGGUCGUGUCUUAUGUCUUAGCUAAAGACUGUCAUUAACGCUACACCAGGAACCUGCUUCCUGAGGCGUACUUUAUACUGCCAGGAAUGUAGAAAGUUGGUGAGUUUUUGUUUCUUGGUCAUUGUGUACGGGUCAGACGUAAAGCACAUUCACACAGUGGAGUCUACAAAAUAUAGUCAUUGUUGAAAUGAGAGGUCAUUCUAUUUUUACUCACUUUCACUUUAAUUGCAAAUUGUUAGUGCAGGAAUUUCCACAAAAGGGUUAUGCAAGCAUGCCCAAAUUGCUUGAAAUAUUUUCCACUUCUCUGACUCCCCAUGGGAAAAGCCACUAGGUUGCAUUUGUGGCAUCUCAGUUGGUUCAAGCAGCCUAAUUGGGAUUUAGAAGCUCUAAACUGCGCAGGUUUACAGAGGGACAUCCAGGAUUGGAACUCCUGUCUCCAUUUCCUCCUUCGAAUCUGGAAAAGUGUAAAUUACCCAUGUAACCUACAACCCGAAUGAUGGCAGCUGACAUCCAACUUUUUUUGUUCACUGUCCCAUUUUUACAUUUCUUUAAAAUGAUUUAAAAAACAAAAAAAGAUUUGAACUCUUUGCCAGGAAUUUCAUCAAGAAGCAAAAUACACUAUUGUCCUCUUUAAAAAAAGGGGGUUCGCAUCUCAUAUGGGAGAAAUACACUCCUGGGCACAGGUAACUUUCCUGUCUCUUGGGCAGAAGCACCUAAUCACUGCCCCAUCUGUCAGAGCCACCUAAUUGCAAACAGGGGCCCUUUCACAAUGUAGUGAACGAAGGCAAAACAAUUAAUUAAAGCUCAGAGGAAAAGAGUUGUUUAAAAGUACAUACUCCCCUCAAGAAGUAGAACUCUUACUGUGAUCUUGCAUUGAUUCUCUCUUGUGCUUGCUUUCUUACCCUCAUCCAUGUAUCCAUGCAAAUUUCAUUUGUCCUACUUUUCAAUUUCUGCUGUCUAACAUUCAAUGUGAUUUAAACAAGUCAGAGAAAAGGCCAAAGUCAGCAGUUCUUUGUUUGCCUCGCAAGCUUUGCUGUGCGUAUAAAUCUCUGGGGGUCUUGUUAAGAGAGCAGAUUCUGAUUCAGUGGGUCUGAGGGGGGGCCCAGGAGGCAGCAUUUCUAGUGGGCACCCAGAAGUUCUGCCCUUGCUGCUCCCAGACCACAAUUUUAUUAGGAUUGAUCUAGAUUAUUAGAUACUCUCCCCAAUGUGUACUGAGACUUCAUCUUUUCAGGAUUGCUGUGCAAACCUGUCUCCGUCUUACUUGUCCAUACAAUAGACACAUCCCAGAUUAUCAUACCUACUUCUCCUCUUCUCAAACCCACUUUCCUCCUUGGCCUCAUUGCUAUUUCCUCUGGAAUCCUUAAGGAAGCACAUCGGUAUCUAGGGCUCUGGUAGAUCACACAAGGAAUAUGUUCAAGAUGUAUUCCUUCCUGACAGUUUUAGAAACAAAAUGACACACGUGUGCUCUUCUCGAUUAUAACUGAACUGUGGUGAGGCAGUGCGCUGUUUGGAAAAAGGCACUGGGCGUGAGUGAUGUGUACAAAACUCCCUGAGGGUCUUAAGCUUAUGUGCCUCAGUUUCCUUCUUGGUAAAAAAAACAACAAGGCUGAAUUUGAUGAUCUCUAGAGCCCCCUUCUGCUCUAACUUAACCCUUUAUGACUCUGACAGUUGGUCAUUUAAUCAUCUGGAGGAACUCUUACUGACCUAAACCAAUGGAUGCUCUUUUAGGAGGGUCAGUCUACUACUAUUGAACACUCUUGAACUCAUCAGAUUCUGCUCCCAGGAGGAUAUUACCCCACUCAGAAGAAUAGCAUGAUGCCACUGCAUUCUCUUCAGUUUAUACCCACCCACCGUUAUGGCUGGACUCUGAGUGUCUGGGUCUGAGCUCUUCACUGGCAAUGGAGGCAGUCAUGAGGAUCGUGCCUGGUUGCCAGGACCACAGGGCUUGGCCAGACUAGGCAUGAAUUUACCCAAAGCACAAGAAGUCUGCCUAACCCAAAACAGGACGUAAAAAGCGAAUCUAAGAAGAGAAGCCAGAGAUGAGACCUGGAGUGAGGUGGAACCAUGGUCAAGAAAAUUAGAGGUGAUCAGAAACUAGAAGGCGUGGGAACAGUCCUGGAAGCAGAAUCUGAAAGGACAGGGGGUGAGUGGUUUUUGGGGGGAGAUUGUGACCGAUUGCAGGGGCUAAAACUAAUGUUUGAGUUGCUCCAUUAAAGGAGCUACUCACGGCUAGUCAGAGAACUUUGUGAGGGCAGAACCUCUACUCAUUUUUUGCCAAAUACCUCUAACAGUUACCUGAUCCAAUAAAAGAUGAGCCUGUGGGAAUGAACGAAGGAAGGAAUGAAUGAAUGAAUGAAACAAGUAAAUUUUCAGACCACGUAAUUUAUCCACACUCCUCACAUCUAUUUUCUCCUUUUUCUUUGCCACCAUACAAGUUCAUAUCCUCAUUAUUUCUCAAGCAAACCCGAGGAACUCCCAGUUCUCCAAUGCCUCCCAAUUUAAUUUCAUUCUACAGACUGCAGCAGGAUUGGUUCUCUUGUUUGUGCCUUAGUUAUUUGUAUAUUCUGUUCCAUCAGAGAAAGUAAAUCUCUUGAGGUCAGAGGCAGUGUUCUACCAAGUUUUAUACGUUCACUCCAGCUAAUACUCAAUAACUGUUGAAGUGAAUCACCGUGUUCAUUAUAAGUCAUUAUAAGAUCAAUAUCCUGAACAUUUAAGGCACUAUCUUUCUUACUAUAUUAUUUUUUAAUACUCAGGUAUCCAAGAGUUAUAGUUGACUACAAAGUUCUUAUAAAAUCAACUCAUUUAACCUUUCACGUUAGUUAUUUCUUUAGAGUUAAAUUAGUACUUUUUUAAGUUAAGAAAACCUUUUAUGAAGUAGCGAGUCAUUACUUAUUGUUAAAGUAGCAUAUUCUGAGAGGUUUGGGUACCUCUUCCCCACAAAUGCACCUAUUCACACAUGUACAAUCUUGCAUAUGAUUUCAAGGGGUUCGGGAGUCCCCUAAAGCCCUUGCAAGCCCUUAAAGUUGAUGGAAGUCAAGCCUAGAACUUCUGCUGGAGAAGAAUAAAGGUUUUCUACAGCCAAAAGACUCUACCUUGUUCCCCCCUGUGCACCCCUCCCCCAGGCUUGCCACCUGGCAUUUAGAAAUGCAGAGGACCAAUCCAUCAAUACCCGUUUUGAAACUGAAAACAGAAAAUAGACAGGAGGUAGGGUACAGUACAUUUUGUACUCUUGUCAACAAUGAUCUUUAUCAUGGGAUUAUAGAAAUCAAGGAAGGAUUGGCUGAUGUGACCACUCUUGGAAAAAUAGGCAGGUGCUUUUGAAAUUGCCAGCUGAUGAAAGAGAGCACACAGUAUUACCUCCACCCAGCCCUGCUGGCCCCUGGGAGCUUCUAACUGUCCUUGAGGAAAAGUUGAGAGCAGGGGAUGGUUCUGAGCCUGAGGAUCAACCCCUACCCGUUUUUUUCUUUGAAGAUUCCUUUCCCCAUCCCUUCAGUUUCAAAAUAGUGUGUGGGUCUGACAUAUAGGAAAGGUUGCUAGGAGAAGGGGGAUUAGGGCCUCAAAAAUAAAAAAUGAAGCUAACCUGUCAAAUGUUGACUUUAGUUUAAUUUCCCGACAGCUUCAUCCCAGAAGUAAGGGCUUCCAAGUUUCUGUUUCAAGAGAAGAUAUUUCCAUAUACUUUGCAAUUUUGAAAGAAGAAAUUUCUCUGAUGCAAGUUGUCACAGCAUGAUGGAAGAGAACAGGAAAAUCUAUUGAGAUCUCAGGAUUUGCUCACCUCUCACACAUUUUCUUUUCACUCUUUUUGCCAGCCUUCCGUCUUACAGUGAUAGUUUCAUCAGGAUCUAACCAGCAUUUGAAACAGGAUCCUCAACCUCUUUACAGGCCCGUGAACCUUCCUCGGGCCCCACCAGUUCGGCUCAUGAUUGAUUUUGCAACGUGUUGAGAGACAGAUAAUUUGAUAAGCGGCGUGUUGACGCAUACAAAGCAUAGUCAUUGAUUACCAAUUAUGUAAGAAAUUUGUGAUGUGAUAGACAUCAUCAAUUUUGAUUUAUGUCACCAGAAUAAGUAAAAUGAUGGGGCAGGAAUAGUACGUAUUUCAUCUAAUUAACCUGUGAAGAAACUCAUUGUUCUGUAGCAGGCUUCACAUUCAAUCAUUUCAAAACGAGAAGGAAGCAAGUUGCAAGCAGAAUAACAGGUAUUGAGAGAGGUACGUAAGUUGAAGACCCUACAUUUGGAGGCAUAUGGAUUUAAAAUUAAUCCAAGCCUCAUUUGAUAACAGGGUACAGAGUAUCCAUGAAUACAAAGGAGUGGUGUUCUAGGAGCCUGUUCCUAUAACUUCUGCUCAUUAACUAAUGCUCUUAAUUAUACUCUCUUAUACAAAUCAAUCAGAUGAUUUACACCGUUCUCCAAGAAACUUAAUUUUGUACAAAAAAGGGAGGCAUAGUAUGUUUUCAGGUAUGACCUAGCUCAGUUACCUGUAGAUGUAAGGUUUAGUCCUUUUUCAGAGACAGAGAGACAGAGCAUGGGAGGGGGAGGGGGAGGGGCAGAGAGAGAGGGAGACACAGAAUCUGAGGCAGGCUCCCGGCUCCCAGCUGUCAGCACAGAGCCCAAUAUGGGGCUCGAACUCACAGACUGUGAGAUCGUGAUCUGAGCUGAAGUCAGAUGUUUAACCGACUGAGCCACCCAGGGGCCUCCCUCCUCCCCCGCCCCCACCCCUGUUCCACACAUGUAAAAUAAGAGGAUUAUAAGCGUCGGACCUAGAACUUAUUAAGACUUUCACUGUGUCAAACACUGUGCCUGGCGUCUUGAUGUAUUAUCUUUACUUCCUUAAGCAACUUUCCAAAAGAGAUAUUAUUAUCUCCACAUUACAGAGGAGUAAGUUGAGGCACAGAGACAAGAAUUAAUUACCAGAAGCACCAUAAGAGACAAGUGAUGGAUCUACAAUUGGAACCCUCUAUGGGGCUCCAAGAUAGUCCCCAAGGAGCUUGGACUAAUUUGCUAAGGCAGCUGUCAUGAAGUGUCAUAGGCCGAGUGGCUUAAGCAAUAGCCAUCAAUUGUCUCACUGUUCUGGAAGCCAGAAGUUUGAGAUCAGGUGUGGUGAGGAUGUGCGGCAGACGGUUCUAGGCCUCUGUCCUAGCUUCUGGUGGAUUGCCAGUAAUCUUUAGCAUUCCCUGACUUGUGGCAUGAUAGCUCCAGUCUCCACAUGGCGUUCUCCCUGUGUUCAUGUUUGUCUAAAUCCCCUCCUUUUUGUAAGAAUACUAGUUACAUUGGAUUACAAGACCAUCUUACUCCAGUAUGAUCACAUCUUAACUAAUUUCACCUGCAACCACUUUGCUUCCAAAUGAGGCCACGUUCAGAGGGACUGGGGAUAAGGGCUUUAGCAUAGGAAUUGUCGGGGGACACAACUGACCCCCCCCAUGACAGUGCUUAUAAUCUUGUUAAGGUUCUAAGACAGAAGUACACGAAGAGUUUAUUAAUAAUAGGACCUAUGCAAUACUUGCAGAUCACCCUUUAUGGCAGAGUGCAUUAGCGUUUUCUUUGGUGGAUAAUUAGUGCUAACCCUUCAGAAACUUAAGAAAAUCACAUUUGGCUGCAUGACCGGGGAAUGCCUUAUACUGGAAUGGGGUUUGAACUGAGUGGAAAUAAAUGGCCUAGUCCACGGGGUCAGUGGAGAGAAGAAAGAGGGUUGUCGCGCUGGGUGGAACAGUAGGCAUUCGUUAGAAGUUGCGAGAUAGGUAAAGAAGGGAUACAGUCGCUGCCAUCAGGGAGCUUACAACUGAGCCUCAGAGGCACGAAUCAAACUUGAGACAAGUAACCACCGAGGCAAAAGUUGAAUGCAUGAUCUUCACCGUCACAUACGUGGGCAGCUGUGCAACACGGUGAACUGCGGCGGCCGCACGAGUGACAGAGGGGGUCACGGUGAGUUCCGGCACUUUGAGAAUGUUCAUGGGUCACUGGUGAUGUGAGCUGGGAUUUUUUUUUUUAAGGGUGGAUUUUGUUAUAGGAGAGCAGCAGGGAGAGGGGUUCCCAUGGAGAGAGAGGGAGCUGUACAUCUAGGUAGUGAAAUCUGAGGCCUACCUGAAAGCCAUCAGACGUGCCAGUUGGGCAGGGACAUCGGGCUCUUGUAAGGGAAUGCUCUUGGGCUACCUUCAAUUUUCCAGAAUCCCGCCUCAAAGCUACCACCUGGGAAGGCGUUUGCCAAGUAUGUGGUCAAAACCUGUGUUCUAUAGGACAGGGAUAGGUGUUCUUCAAUUUUUUUAAGUAGUUGCAGGUUUAAUAAAUUUAGGAAAUAGUGCAUUAAUUAAUGGUAAUAUUUCAGUCAGGUACCGGCAGAAAACAAGUGGCUUAUGCCAAGUGAGUCGUGUCGGGAGACUUUAGUCAACGACUGGGCAAGGCCUGAGGCAACCACAAAGGAAGGGACAGUGGCCCAGGGCUGGUAGCAGCAGGAAGCCAUUAACCAUCCCUGGGCUGAAGGGUGAGGUAUAGAAAGGCUAUACUGCGUGUGCAGAGGGGAAGACGGACAGGACCCGUGUCUUUGAGCUGAGGAAGGCAGCCAGCCCAAGGUGACUCAGUCGGGCAGAGUCAGGGGACUGAAUACACUUCCCACCUUACUCCCCCGCACCCAAGACCUCCUGCUCAAACCUCGAUGAUGCCAAAGUCCCACUGAUGAUAGACAGCGUCCUUAGAAGUCUCGAGGACACAAGCGGGGGGAGAUGAUGCAAAGUGGAAGUGGAGGGACAGAUGGAAGGUUUCCAGCACAGGCAACAGUUACUUCACAGGAGGGCCUCUUAUCGUAUUUAAUAUGUUAAUGUGUUAAUGACCCUACAAAGCAGGCUAAGGAAGGCAGUAUUCCCAGGCUAGUUUUACCACAAAAUUCCUUUUCUGAAGAUCUCUAGGACCGGUGAUCAAAGGAAUCCAAAUUGGGAAUCUUUGAUCUGUGGCAUGAAAUCCAAGCCUCUUCUAUCCGUCAAGCUUCUUUCAAAUCAAAGCGUCGGAAACCAAUCUCAAGCUAGUUUAAACAAAAAGAAAAUCUGUUUGGUUUACACAUAAUUGGUGAGUUGGGAGGGGGCCACUGAUGCAGGCAUGGAUGGACCCAGGAGCUUUAAGUAGGGCGAGAGCCCCGUUGGUCCCGUUGGCAUUCCACUCUGCUGCUGGUCUCAGCCAAGCUUAAUUCUGCGCGCUGGCUCUCACCACCAGGUGAGCAGCACUACUAGUCAGUACCUCACGCCCAUCCCCCCAGCUCAGCAAUCCCAGUGAAGGAGGGCCUUCUCUCUCCCCAUGCACAUAUACAAAUCCCAUGACACUUCUGAGUGCUCCCACACUCAGACGGUAGAGUGUCCAUCUCUAAACAACACCUGUGCUCCCCUCCUGAGGUCCUCUGAUUGACUCCUCUCAGCCCUUUGGAGUUGGGGAAGGUGACUCACCCCGUUUUGACACUCACCAGGACCAUAUCAGCCCAGGGAGAGGGGAAGGACUAGUCCAAAGAAACAAGAAAGAGGGUCAUAAAAAAGCAUGCGAACUUAAUGCAAAUUAAAAUGAUAGCUUCCAUGAUCCACUGCAUUUCUUUACAGGGCGUUCAUGGCUUCCCCCAAAUUGGGCCUCGAACAAUGUAUUCCAAUAGUCUCUUCAUGACCUCCCUGCUCCAGCCAGACUAGUUUACUUGAACACAGCAUAAAUUCCCAAGUUUGUUCCUUAGACCCUCAUAGAUUUGAAUCCAGCCUUGUCUGAAUCAGGUCUCAGGACUGCAACAGAUCCUGUCUACUGUGUCUCCCACCCCUCACUACAAAACUGCGAUUCUUUGUUUUCUGUCCUCCUAACUCCUGGUGCAUUAAAGUUCUACCCCAUCCCUUUGAUCUUUAUGACACCCCGCUCUUUCUUGUCAGUGUGUGUGUGUGUGUGUGUGUGUCCUGUAUCCCUACAGACAUCCCUAGAUUGUAAGCUCCUUGAACUCUGUGAGAUCAUACCUUUGUAUUCUGUAUCUUCCUACCUUUGUAUUCUGUACCUACCUCGCCCGGCACAUUGUGGAUGUCAAUUAAAUGUGCUUUGGUUGUUUUUUCACAGGUUUGAGGUUAGCAUCCCAUCUUUUCUUGCUUGCCUGCAUUGCCAUCAGUCCUUUAUGUCCUCCAUGCCAACCUGUAGAGUGGCUUUGAGAAAUGUUCUUGCCCUCGUGGGGUCCCAGUCUCCCGUCAAGUGGAUUAGCAGUGUCGAUAUUGUGGAAAAGAAUUAUCCACUAAUUCAUUUAUUCAUUCAGUUAGUCGCUUAUUCAGCUCGCAUUGACCACCUUCUGUGAACAACACACCGUUGUGUGUCGAAACAUUUUACCGCGCUCCUGUACAAAGGAAUUGGCAACAUUUGACAAAAGUACAUAUACGUUUACCCUUUGACCCCGCAAUGCUGCUUCUAGGAAUUUACCUUGAACAUAGAUCUCCAUCUGUGGGAAACACUGUAUGUACAAAAAUUUUUCAUUAUGGAAAUUUUGUAAUAGAAAAAUUAGGAAGCAACCUAAAUGUCCAUUCUUAGAUGAUGGUUGAAUAAACUACAAAACACCCACAUAAUGGAAUACUAUAUAACCCUUAAAAUAUUUUUAAAAGAUUGUUAUGAGUUGAUGGAUUUCCAAUAUGUAUUGCUAAGAGAAAAUAGAAGCAAGGCACAAAAGCAUACAUAACGUGCUAGCUUCUAUGAAAGGAAAACAUAAAAUACUAUAUUUGCUGAUUUUUGCACAAUGAAACAUGCAAAGGAUAUGAACUUGAAAUUAAUGAAAAUGUCUACUUUCAGGAUAUGGGGGAAACAGAUGGAAGCGAUAGGGAUGGAGCAAAGCAUCUGAAAGUUUUAACUUUUGAACCAUGUCUUCUACAUACUCAAAAAUGAAACUAAAUUUAAAAGAAUGAAACCAAGCAUUCAAAUUGAAUGCAAAUACAAACAAAUGAACAUAACUGCAUAUCAAAUUGGUAACCUAAUCACAGAGAGAAAAGAAAUCAUCCAGGGGUGCCUGGGUGGCUCAGUUGAUUAAGCAUCUGACUUUGGCUCAGGUCAUGACCUCACGGUUUGUGGGUUUGAGCCCCGCAUCCAGUUCUGUGCUGACAGCUCAGAGUCUGGAGCCUGCUUCAGAUUCUGUGUCUCCCUCUCUCCCUCUGUGCCUCCCCUGCUUGCCCUCUGUCUCUGUCUCUCAAAAAUAAAUAAACAUUAAAAUUCUUUUUUUUUUUUUAAUUUUUUUUUUUCAACGUUUAUUUAUUUUUUGAGACAGAGAGAGACAGAGCAUGAACGGGGGAGGGGCAGAGAGAGAGAGGGAGACACAGAAUCGAAAACAUGCUCCAGGCUCUGAGCCAUCAGCCCAGAGCCCGACGCGGGGCUCGAACUCACGGACCGCGAGAUCGUGACCUGGCUGAAGUCGGACGCUUAACCGACUGCGCCACCNNNNNNNNNNNNNNNNNNNNNNNNNNNNNNNNNNNNNNNNNNNNNNNNNNNNNAAAGAAAGAAAGAAAGAAAGAAAGAAAGAAAGAAAGAAAGAAAUCACCCAGGUAGCUCUGAAGCCAGGACUCUGACUACCCAGUUAGUAAGAAAUGUUCCAAGGCCAAAGAGAAACAAGGAAAUUAAAAAAAAUUUUUUUUCUUUAAAUGUUUAUUUAUUUUUGAGAGAGACAGAGACAGAAUGUGAGUGGGUUGGGGCAGAGAGAGAGGGAAGCAUAGAAUCCGAAGCAGGCUCCAGGCUCCAAGCUGUCAGCACAGAGCCCGAUGUGGGGCUCGAACUCACAAGCCAGGAGAUCAUGACCUGAGCUGAAGUCGGAUGCUCAACUAACUGAGCCACCCAGGUGCCUCAGGAAACUUUAAAUUUUAGUAAAUUUAUUGUCAGAAUUUAUGUUGGUGUUGUAAUUAUGAAACUCUGUGUGUGUGUGUGUGUGUGUGUGUGUGUGUGUGUGUGUGUGUUGUAGAAGAGAGUAAAUGAGUAAUUACACUAAGAGUGGGAACCAGAGAGCUCUCACUGUGAAAUAAGCAAGACUGAUAACAUGAAAUUGGGGGAAAUGAAGGAAAACCUGUGGUUUGGGUUUGAAUUUAAAAUAUCAGUAUAUAUUCUUUUUUUUUUUUUUUAACCUCUAUUUAUUUUCAAGAAAGAGACAGAGUGUGAGCAGGGGAGGGGCACAGAAAGAGAGCGACACAGAUUCUCAAACAGGCUCCAGGCUCCCAGCUGUCAGGACAGAGCCCAAUACGGGGGUCAAACUCACAAACCGUGAGAUCAUAACCUGAGCCAAAGUCAGAUGCUUAACCAACUGAGCCACGCAGGCGCCCCAAUUCUUUUUUUUUUUUUUUUUAAAUUAAAGAGAUUUCCUGACCUGUCCACUGAAAGGGCCUAAAACCAAUGAUAUCCUAGAAGAAAUGAGCAUAUACAACACCCAAAUUUUGCCUUGUAAUUACCAUUCCCCCACUAAAAGGAACCAGGGCUACUUGAGUAAUGGCUCGUGUUAGAGCUGGUAGAAUAAAAGUUUAAGGUAAAUAUGGAGUAUCUUGUGUCAUAAAAUAAGGAGUAUGCAACGCUAAUGGAAUUAGUGUCAAAAUAUCACAGAAAUGAACUUCAGAGUUUCCAGCUAGUCAAAUUUGGCACAAAUUGAGUAUAAAAAAAGCAUAUGCAUACCAUGUUGAAUUUUAAAAAUCGAUGAGUCUAUGCAGACUUAAAAGAGAGAGAUAUAGGAGAACAAAGUGCUGAAACACACAACAUGGAUGAAUCUCAAAAUGAAGCAGAGUGAAAAAGUCCAGACAAAAUGGGUUACAUACCACAGGAUUCCAUUUAUAUAAAUUCUAGAAAGCGAAGACUAAUUUAGAGUACAGAAAGCAGAGCAGUAAUUGCCCAUGGAUGGGGUUAGAGGAAAGAGGGUGAAAAGAAACUUAUCCCUUAAACAACUGCACUAUGAGGAGCAAACUAAAAAGGAAAUCAGUACAUUAGGUCUGACCUUAGUUCUCUAAAAUGGUAAUUUGGAGGAGCUACCUGAGGCCAAGAAGACCUCCUUUGCAGUAGAUCUUGACAUAUGAAUGGAAUAAAAAUCUCAAUCAUACUGCUACUCACCGGAUCUGUGCUAUUGGUAGAGGACAACUGACGACAUCCUGGUUCUAAUACUGGGUACCAUUCAGUUGGAAUAUUUUGUUACUGGUGAGAUUGAAUUUUUUUUUUAAGUUUAUUUAUUUUUGAGAAAGAGAGCAUGAGUAGGGGAGGGACAGAGAGUGAGGGGGCAGAGGAUCCAAAGCGGGUUCUGCGCUGACAGCAAGGAGCCCGAUUGGGAGCUUGAACUCAUGAACAUAAGGUCAUGACCUGAGCCGGAGUUGGACGUUCAACCAACUGAGCCACCCAGUGGCCCGAUUGUUAUUUUAAAUUUUUUUUUUUCAACGUUUAUUUAUUUUUGUGACAGAGAGAGACAGAGCAUGAACGGGGGAGGGGCAGAGAGAGAGGGAGACACAGAAUCGGAAACAGGCUCCAGGCUCCGAGCCAUCAGCCCAGAGCCUGACGCGGGGCUCGAACUCACAGACCGCGAGAUCGUGACCUGGCUGAAGUCGGACGCUUAACCGACUGCGCCACCCAGGCGCCCCCCGAUUGUUAUUUUAAACAGUAUAUAGUUGUUUUCAAAUAGACUCUUUCAUGGUUCCAUUUUUUUACAGUAGGCAUUGAGAAAUAGCAGUUUCUAUUCUACCCAUGUACAAGUCAUUACUUCCAAUUUCGAUGUUUUAUCAUAUUGAAUAUUUACUGAGUUCUGUUGUAAAUCAUGAAGCAUGUAAAUACUGUCACAAGAGAACAAGAUUAUAAACUACUGUUAUCACGCAGAUUCUACUGUGUGGAGAACCCAUCUCAUCAGUCACUUAGGAAUCCUACGUGUAAGAUUUACAGUCCUUGCAAGUGGAGCUUUAGAGGUUUUCGUAUGUGAUUGAAGUGUCCAUCCAUUAGUGCCGUUACCCAGUAAGUGCCGUGCGCUGAGUAGAAAUGUGGGGCGGCGACCCCAGUGCACUCACCUGGUGCGUACAGAGAGAGGCCAGCAUGUGGGCUUGCCGCACGGUGAAAGAAGAUGCGGCCUAAUUCAAGGGCUGACACCCUCAAUGAGCGAGAGCCCCCGUGCUGGAGAGGAGUUUGGUGUUGCCGUGGUUCAGGGUUUUGGAUUGUCCAAUGCCCCUAGGAGAACACCAUGUGCGAUGCAACCGUGGCCACGUGGUCCUUGAUCACACCCUUGGGGUGAAGUGCUCCAUGUUCUGCUAUAACAGAGGUGAGUCAUCCACCCAGGGCACUUCUAGAUCUUUCCAACAGGGACUUGGGCUUUCACCUGUGUGCAUCUGUUUCUUCCCGUGCAAAUCCGGUCCAGGCUGCCACAGAGCACUUAGAGCCUUGCGGAGGAAACUGCAGCCUGUACUUCGGCUUCAUCCUUCAUAGCCCAUCGCUCUCUGCGACAAGGUGUACCUUGCUCUUUCUUUCCGAUGGCUACUGCGGGAUGUAAACCUAAUCUUUAAAGUCUGUCUUAGGUAAAGAGUUUGGGGGGUGCUUGCUGUUUAACGCAAGCAAGUGGCACCUCCCGGGAAAAUGUGAAUAAUUGCAAUUUACAAAAUUAUUACAAAUAAAGACAAUAAUUACAAAAUAAUUGAUUUACCGUGUAAAUUUGCAUCUCAUUUCAUUUAACUUUCAACAUGGGGAGCUGGCGUGCACAGCUGCCUUUUUCCUUUAUUUUUCAAAAGCAGAGGCUAGAUUGUUCUGUUUUCAAGGUGGCAAGUUGUUGAUCGGGAGAUCACAGUCGCUCUGACCAGGGGGCGGAGUCUUCUCCUUGCUGCCCUCUGUUGCCAGGGCAUCUUCUCCUUUGGGUUUGGGGCAACCAUCCCCAGCUUCCUUCUUUUUCCUCCUUACUACACUGUAUAGUGACUGAGCAACCUCCAAGAGCUAAUUUGGGAGGAGUUGAGAGAGUUCCAAUGGGGUUUUGUAUUUAUGAUUAAUUUCCACUAGCCUUACAAAGAUGAUGGAUGUCACUGAAUAACACAUCCAAUUUUUGAGGCUUGAUAUUUGCUAACUGUGUAGCCAGGUCCCUUUGGCUCUCAUUGAAGGGGAAACUUAAGCUAUUAACUGAGAAUAAGUGACUCAUUUUGAGGUCAAACAGUAAAUCAGGGAUAGAAUGAGAAUUAAAACCAUAGCUCUAAAGAGCUGCAAAAACAGACUUAAAGAGGAAAAAAAGAUACAGUUUAGGAAGAUUGCUCUUUCUCCUCUGGCUACAGUGACAGACAACCUUGGCUUUGGAUUAUUCUCAGAGAUUAAUAAUUCAUUUUGAACCUCAAUAAUGAAUUAGAGUGUUCAUGGGCACAGCAUCUUUGUGUGACAGUUCCGUGCUCUGCUGUAGAUGGAAACAGAUUUAAAUGGUUCACCAAUCUCUGCCCACUCUGCCGUCUGCAGGGUUGAAGCACUUCAACCUAAUGCCACAAGAAUUUAUUUAGCACACGUUGCAUCCUCUAAAACAAAUAUCAGAAAUUUAAGUAAGACCCAAUCCCUGUCCAUAAGGAACUUAGAGUCUAGUGAUCUGUUCCUUACCUCAAAUUAUUGUUUGAACCACUCUCUUUUUGACUUAUACAAUCACAAGAACGGAAAUUAGACUUUGACUCUAAAGUAUCAAGAAUACACAGUGUUCUUGAAGGCACAAUUGCUUGUUUUUCAUUCAGCCAGAUGAACUGGAGAAUGCCAACAUGCACACACUGACAUCAGCGGCUGCCCUUCAGUUGUAGACUUGGAAAGCAUAUUCUAAAUCCUCUAGUGAAAUGUUUUGGCAGGCAUUUUCAUCCAGAUAUUAUUAACAACAACACUAAAACAAUCCACACAUCAAUUCUGACUCUCAGGGAGGUCCUGGAUGGAAAUGUUAGCGACUGGAGUUUCAAGUGCUUUUGUCCAACCAAAUCUCAUGUCCCAAUCAGUCAUAAUCUUUUAAGUAGCUUUUCUGUUUGGGGGUAAAUAAAGUAGCAUAGGCAUUUCCUUGUCCAGCCAUGUUUUGCAUUUUUCAUUACUGUGACAUUUUUGGAGGCUAUGACUGAUUCAUGACUUAACGACAUAAGAAUACUCUCAAUAGCCAAAAGGCUGUUGGAAAAAAUAUCAUACAAGUGUGCAACCAACUAGAAACCUGAAGGAGCGUGGUCUGUGCAGUCCAUUCAUUCAACAAAUAUUUACUAAGCACUCUGCUAGACCUGGUGUGUCUUAGACCCAUGACUCAAUCUCUUUGGGCCUCGGCUUUCCUCAUCUGUGAAAUGGGAAUAAUGAUGCUUACUCCAUAGGAUGAUGGUGGAGAUUAAGGAUGGCAGUUAUGUGAAAGUUCCCAGCCCAGGAUCUGCAUAGGGGAGGUACUUGGUAGGUGUGGUUUCCUGUCAUUGCUAGGGGAGAACAUAUUAAUGAAAUGUUCCCACUUUCUUCAAGUUGCGUUCCCCACCUCUGUCUUCGCCUUUAACAGAUGCAACUUUGGGGACUUCCAUAGAAAGAAAAUAGAGGUCGUUGCUUGGGAACACCUUCACCUUCCCGUCUUCUGACCUCUCAGACUGCUCUCAGCCUUACUUACAUGGUCUCAGAGCAUCACCAUCUUUCCUGCUGGCCAGAUUAAGUCAUCAUUCUGUGCUCUGGAGCCCAUUCCUUCCCAGUUAGGGACCUCUUGUCUUCCAAAAUUUCUUUCUCUUCUUAUCCUUGGUGACUUGAUUUUCUGUGUAUGAAGAAGCUUGACCCUCUUCUUCAGCUCUUGAGCUCCACUCUGACCACAGUCCCCUCUUCUUUACUUUAAAGCUUCUGGAAGGACUGGAGAUGUCUCACUUUCUCACCCACUGUUUGCUUCGCAUGCCACAGUGCUCUGGCUUGUCUUCCUGACACCACUGGGAUAACUCUUGGUAAAGUUAGCAUUCAUUUCCAAGCCUACUGAAUUUCAUUUCACCUGUUCUUCAUGGCUCUGUAUGACUUUUGAAACUGCUUUCCUUCUGGAAACUGCUACUCCAUUAGCUUUGUGGUGUACUAUGUUGGUCCUUCUCUUCCUUCCUUGCCUAUUCCCGGCAGCUCCAGGGGCUCCUCAUCCAUGAUGCCUGAUGAUGGAAACCUCAGUGUGUGCGGGUAGGUUUUUUUUUUUUUUUUUUUUUUUUUUUUUUUCAACGUUUAUUUAUUUUUGGGACAGAGAGAGACAGAGCAUGAACGGGGGAGGGGCAGAGAGAGAGGGAGACACAGAACCGGAAACAGGCUCCAGGCUCUGAGCCAUCAGCCCAGAGCCUGACGCGGGGCUCGAACUCACGGACCGCGAGAUCGUGACCUGGCUGAAGUCGGACGCUUAACCGACUGCGCCACCCAGGCGCCCCUGUGCGGAUAGUUUUCUAUGCACUUUACAUAAACUAUCACAUUUUAGUCUUCACAACAAACCUUUAAUGAGUACUAGCAUUUCCUCCUUUUAUUAACAGUGAAUGUGAUGCUAACCCAUCUGCCCAGAGUGACUCACUAGUAAGAACUGAGGCCUUGCAGAAAAAGCAUUUGACAAAAUACGGCAUCCUUUCUUGACAAAAACCCUCAAGAAAGUAGGGAUAGAAGGAACAUACCUCAAGAUCAUAAAGGCCCUAUAUGAAAGACCCACAGCUAAUAUUAUCCUCAAUGGGGAAAAUCUGAGAACUUUCCCCCUAAGGUCAGGAACACAGCAGAGAUAUCCACUCUCACCACUGUUAUUCAACGUAGAGUUGAAGUCUUAGCCUCAGCAAUCAGACAACAAAAAGAAAUAAACAGCAUCCAAAUUGGCAAGGAGGAAGUUAAACUUUCAUUCUUUGCAGACGACAUGAUACCCUACAUGGAAAACCCAAAAGAUUCCACCAAAAAACUGCUGGAACUGAUACAUGAAUUCAGCAAAGUUACAGGAUACAAAAAUCAAUGUACAGAAAUCACCUGCAUUUCUAUAUACCAAUAAUGAUGCAGUGGAGAAAAAAAAUCAAGGAAUUGAUCCUAUUUACAAUUGCACCAAAAACCAUAAAAUACCUAGGAAUAAACCUAACCAAAGAGGUGAAAGAUCUAUACACUGAAAACUAUAGGAAGCUUACGAAAGAAAUUGAAGAACACAUAAAGAAAGGGAAAAACAUUCCAUGCUCACGAAUAGGAAGAACAAAUAUUGUUAAAAUGUCAAUUACUACCCAAAGCCAUCUACAUAUUCAAUGCAAUUCCUAUCAAAAUAACACCAGCAUUCUUCACAGAGCUAGAACAAACAAAUCUGAAAUUUGAAUGGAACCAGAAAAGACCCUGAAUAACCAAAGUAAUGUUGAAAAAGAAAAUCAAAGCUGGAGGCAUCACAAUUCCAGCCUUCAAGCUGUGUAUUACAAAGCUAUAAUCAGCAAGAUAGUAUGGUACUAGCACAAAAACAGACACAUAGACCAAUGCAAUAGAAUAGAGAACCCAGAAAUGGACCCACAAACGUAUGGCCAACUCAUCUUAGACAAAGCAGGAAAGAAUAUCCAAUGGAAAAGAUAAUCUCUUCAGCAAAUGGUGCUGGGAAAACUGGACAGCGACAUGCAGAAAAAUGAACCUGGACCACUUUCUUACAUGAUUCACAAAAAGAAACUCAAAAUGGAUGAAAGACCUAAACAUAAGACAGGAAGCCAUCAAAAUCCUUGAGGAGAAAGCAGACAAAAACCUCUUUGACCUCAGCCGCAGCAACUUCUUAUUUGACAUGUCUCCAGAGGCAAUGGAAACAAAAGCAAAAAUGAGCCAUUGGGACCUCAUCAAGAUAAAAAGCUUCUGCGCAGUGAAGGAAAUAAUCAGCAAAAUUAAAAGGUGACCAACGGAAUAUGAGAGGAUACUUGCAAAUGACACAUCAGAUAAAGGGUUAGUAUCCAAAAUCUAUAAAGAACUUACCAAACUCAAUACCCAAAAAGCAAAUAAUCCAGGGAAGAAAUGGGCAAAAGACAUGAAUAGACACUUUUCCAAAGAAGACAUUCAAAUGACUAACAGACACAUGAAAAGGUGCUCAACAUCACUCAUCAUCAGGGAAAUACAAAUCGAAACCACAAUGAGAUACCACCUUACACCUGUCAGAAUGGCUCACAUUAACAACUCAGGCAACAACAGAUGUUGGCGAGGAUGUGGAGAAAGAGGAACCCUUCUGCACUGCUGGUGGGAAUGCAAACUGGUGCAGCCACUCUGGAAAAUAGCAUGGAGGUUCCUCAAAAAAUUAGAAAUAGAACCACCCUACAACCCAGAAAUUGCAGCACUAUCAACAAUAGCCAAAGUAUGGAAAGAGCCCAAAUGUCCAUUGACAGAUGAGUGGAUACAGAAGAUGUGAUAUAUAUAUAUAUAUAUAUAUAUAUAUAUACACACACACACACAUAUAUAUACACAAUAGAAUAUUAGUGAUCAAAAAGAAUGAAAUCUUGCCAUUUCCAAUAACAUGGAUGGAACUAGAGUAUAUUAUGCUGAGUGAAACAAGUCAGUCAGAGAAAGAUAAAUAUCCUAUGAUUUGACUCAUAUAUGGAAUUUAGGAAACAAAACAGAUGAACGUAUGAGGAAGGAAAGCAAAAAUAAGAUAAAAACAGAGAGGGAGAGGGGAGCCUGGGUGGCUCAGUCGGUUGAGUGUCCGACUUCGGCUCAGGUCACGAUCUUGCGGUCUGUGAGUUCGAGCCCCGCGUCGGGCUCUGUGCUGACAGCUCAGAGCCUGGAGCCUGCUUCAGAUUCUGUGUCCCCCUCUCUCUCUGCCCCUCCCCUGCUCAUGCUCUGUCUUUCUCUGUCAAAAAUAAAAUAAACAUUAAAAAAGAACAAAACAGAGAGGGAGACAAACCAUAAGAGAGUCUUAAAUACAGAAAACAAACUGAGGGUUGCUGGGGGGGGUGUUGGGUGGGGGAUGGGUUAAAUGGAUGAUGGGGAUUAAGGAGGGAACUUGUUGGGAUGAGCACUGGGUGUUAUAUGUAAGUGAUGAAUCACUAAAUUCUAUUCCUGAAAUCAUUAUUAUACUAUAUGUUAACUAACUUGGAUUAAAAACAAAAAAAAAAAAAGAACUGAGGCCUGAUUCAAACCCAGUCAGCCAAGCCCCAGAAGCCUAUUUUUCUGGAAAUUUUUUAAUGUGUAUUUAUUUUUGAGAGAGAGAGAGAGAGAGAGUGAGCAGAGGAGGGGCAGAGAGAGAGGGAGACAGAGGAUCCAAAGCCAGCUCUGCUGACAGCAGAGGCUUGAACCCACAACCUUGAGAUCAUAACCUGAGAUGAAGUCAGACACUUAACUCACUGAGCCACCCAGGCGCCCCCAGAAGUCUUUCUUAUUAGCACCUAAAUGUUAGCUUUCCCCUCAACCCUUUCUAUUAAUUUUAACACUUCAAUGAUCUUUAUCUCACCUCUGUGUUCUCCUAGAUCUAUCUAAUUUACUACCAGAUUUUAAUGAUUGCCUACCUACAUAUUGAUGACUCCUGGGUCAGUUCAGACCAGGAAUCAGACACCAAACUGGAAUUGGGUGUGCAAGAGACUUUUUUUUUUUUUUNNNNNNNNNNNNUGGAGAAAUGCCUGUAAGGGAUAAAGGAGAGAGGGAGGGCCUUCGGACCCUCAUGCCGAUCGCGCCUUUGUGAACUUGAGCCAGGACAAAGGAUCAGGUGGGGAGAACCUCGGAUUGCAGUGUGGCCCUGAGAAAGUCUGUGUUGGGGAAAUCCCCCAGGGUGAUCCAUGCUCCGUCACCCCAGGGGAACGGCCCAGGGAGGUGGGGAUCCUGGAGCACCACGGUGGGCGGCAGUGAAGGAGCAGAAGGCUGUCCGCCAACNNNNNNNNNNNNNNNNNNNNNNNNNNNNNNNNNNNNNNNNNNNNNNNNNNNNNNNNNNNNNNNNNNNNNNNNNNNNNNNNNNNNNNNNNGGGGGGGGUGGGACGGGAGCGGUACACCUCUGUCCUCACCACAAAGCUCCCAUCCAUAGUCAGUCCUAACCUGUCUUUGAAUUUCAGUCUGAUACAACUGCUCGCUUCCCAUGUCUAUCCUAGUCCCGUGAAACCUCAGGCUCAGCAUGUCCAGCCUUCAACCCAUUUCAGAGCCUCACCCCUGAAAAUUCCAUAUUCUCUGUAUUCCCUACUUCAGUGUAUAGGAUGGCCACCCGCUUGUCAUCUGAAGCCCCCUUUCCCCUUAUGUCUGCAUAUACAAUCAGUAACUAAGUUCUGUGGAUUUUAUGUCCUACAUUUCUAUUAAAUUGGCUGGUCAUCUCUUCUCCAUACAUACUGCUGCUGCCUCUGUUCGUUUGGAGCCUCGUCGCCUCACUCUGUUGGAAGAGCUUUCCAUCUGGUCCCCUCAUUGGGCCCCCUCCCACUGCACUGCCAACAGAGUGAUCUUUCCCCUACACACCCCAUGCACCCAGGGUGAUGUAGUGGGGGCUUAGAGGUGAGCCCCAAGUGCUAGGGAAUUCAGUGCCUGCUGGAAGUUCAAGGAAGGUUUCCUAGAGGAAAGUACCUGGAAAAUCACAAAGUAGAUGACCAGCCCCUGUUUCAACGGAGGAUUGUUCACUCAGCCAUGAUUGAUUGUUCAGGGCCAAGAAAGGUUUAGUCAUAGGAAAGUUUCAUGCUGCUGUUACAACAGCAAAUUGCUAAAGGCAAAUAAGGAAGGCGCUUCAAUUUCCCUGAAAUCUGAGGACCUUUAGGCUUGGGAUUUCUGUCUUUUAAGUGCAGUCAUCAUUGACACAUAUCUGUUGGAUGGGAUUCAAGUUCAGCCACCGACUGCCAUAGUGCUCCCUGACCUCACCUCACACUUCCCAUCUCCUUUGAACUUGAGAGGCAAACUCAUUCUUACCUCACUUCAGGGAGGGAUUGUUUAUUGUUUCUUCGAAGAGAAACUCGAGAAGGCCAACAGUGUGGGCCUCUUUGCAGGUACAAUGAAUUCUUGAUGGGUCUGAGAAACAACUACCUAACAGAAUCUAUUUCAGUUUUCAAGGAUAUCAAAGAACUUGAGAAAAUCACCCAAGUUUUGAGUAUUUUGAGUUUAAUUUCAGGACAUGCCAAUAGAGAUAUUACUCUAACAUACUCUGGAGGAUACUAGAUAUUUUGCUCUGUGAACUGACUUGUGAAAAUUUAAUCAGCUAGCUUACAGUUCCAGUCUCAGCCCUUCCAGGAUACAGAAACGAACACUAUGAACACUUUGCUUCUUCCAGAAGAAAUUUAUUCCUCAUUUGCUUGAGACAAUGUAAUAGAAGCUAUAGAGCAGAUCAAUAGAUACAUGUGAAGAUGCUAUAAAGUAUAAAUAAUGCCAAAUAUCAGCCUUAUGAUUUUGAUACCUAAACAGAAUUUCCCUAGAGGAUUUCAUUUUAAUAACAAAGCGCUUAUGAGCUUGGUUCAUAUUCAUGUUUAUUUUCUAAAGGAAAUGAUCCCAUUAUCUUCCUUUUGACUGUGGGAGGACAGGAGAAACAGCAGGAGAAAGACAGCUGAAGGAAAGGUCGCGAAUAUCGAUUUGAUUGUUCAGGCAGAUGAUUAACUGCCUCUGCAGAGGCAGCCCCAAGGGCCAUGGAAGCCGUUGCUCAAUUUAAGACUUUCCCAAGUUUCCCUCCUUGUUUUUGAAACCUGACCUUUGUUUCACAGGCAUACAUGGGUAGCGUGAUAACUUCAUAUUGUGGGGUGUAAUUUUUCCUCCAUAUUCAAGACUAGCAAAGCAGGUGAUAGCUCUAUGCACAGUGCAUCUCCGUGCUGGUGUUUGUCUUUGCAUGCCAAGGUGGGAAGCAACAAGAGCUAGUAGAAGAUGCCCAGAAAGUUCAGACCUGAGAAACACAGGUAAUGAGAGGAGAGGGGCUGUGUCUGCCUUACUUUGUGGCUAUUCAUUCUUUUUUAGAGUACUGGAUUAAUCCCCGUACAAUUAGGCACUUUCCUGGUGGGCCAAACUACUGUUUUUUCUAGAAUCCAGUUAGUGAGACAUCUUGGGAUAUCAGGAUCUGUUGCAGAAUACGUGUCACCCCAAGUACUACAAGUAAAGUUCUAGUUUUAUUAGUAGCAUCCGUUAUUAUUGUGAAAUAAAUGUGAGCAUGAUAAUGGUUAUUCUUAAAAUAACGUCUUUCUUACUCCUGUCCAUUCCAAUGAGGUUCCCUGGAGGAGGGAUUACUAAUGGGCCCAGGAGAAUAGGAAAUCACUUUACAGCUCCUCUUCUCAGGGUUUUGUGUCUGAGCACCUCAUCUGCAUUGGGUGCCAUGGGGAGAAUACAGUUGAGAACUGCCUGACCUUGGGGGGAUCUCCCGGCCUCUAGGCUGGCUCACGCCCAUCCUUAUAUGUGACAAUUUCUUCUCUCUUCCUUCUCACCUUGUAGUCUGACCGCAGGUACUAACACAACACAACGUUCACUCAGCUCUUAUACUUCAGAUGAGCUCCUUCUGAAACCUUUCACUGAAUUGUCUGGGCCUAGCCGGCUGCCUCCACCAGGGAGCCGCAUCUCUGCCCUCCUGGCUCCAAACAUCCAAGGAAAAGAGGGAAACAGACCCUGUCACCUGGCUGUUCCAGGACACCACCAUUGGGUACUUAGCAUACCAGAAAAAUUGGCAGUGUUUUUCCUUUUUCAAGUAAUAAGCAUUUGAACCCCAUCUCUGCCAUUUAACUGCUAUGUGACCUUGGGAAAGUUUCUGAACCUCUCCAGGGCUCAGUUUUCUCACCUGGCAAGUGGAAAUACAAUAGGGUUGUUGUAAGGGUUAGGUGAGGUCAUGUGGCUGGGAGGAAAAACUUUUCUCCUAACUUGAGUUCAGAUUAUCAGGAGAAAAGACAACACUUACGUUCACAGGAGGCUGUAGAUGAGAUGGCUCCCAGAGGAGCAAGAGAUAGGGGUUUAUAUAUGAAAUAGGGGGAAAGGGAGAGAGAAAAGGGGCUUCUAGGGGAAACAGACAGAAGGUAUGACAGUUUCAGAUAAAGUUUGUAAUGCAAUUACUCAUCUAGGUGAUAAUAUUAGACUGAUUUCUGGCUGUAAAUCUCCUGGAGAGGGAACUUACGAGCUGUAUUCUUUGGGAGGCUCUGCUUAUGUCCCCAAAAGUUUAGAUAAGGUUUAUUUCUGAAGCAGCGGUUUGUUCAGGUGUUUUUAGCUUGAAAUAAUCUUUAUGCCACUGAGGUACAUAUUGGAUCCCUUCAUUGUAAGACACAUUGUGCUACCCACGUGUUGGUGGUGUUACAGGAUAGGUCACUCUUUCAGAGUUCAGGGACAUUACCAAGCAAGUGGCACCAUCACCGUUAAGGUCAAUGGCUCUCUCUGGACACUGAGGAGUACGAUGGACCACAGAAGUUAUGGUGGCAAAGGUGGCCAUGAGGAGAAUGCUCUGCCUAUCUCAAGAGAAGAAAUUUCUAGUCUCCACUCUUGUACCAUAAACACAGAUGAAGGGUUAACACCACAGGUGGGCCUCCGUUUUGACUCACAGCAUGGGAAAAAAAUGAAGCUGAAUAAAAAUAAUUUUAUUUACCAAGCUUUUACUUCAUAUUACAUAGAUUUUCUAUUUUAAUUCCAAUUUUUAAGAAACUCAUAUUCCCCAUUCUGUUUGUGAUACAAUAUGUGUAGCUGGGAGUAAAGACACAUUAGAAAACAUUCAUGUGGGGCACCUGGGUGGCUCAGUCAGUUAAGCGUCCGACUUCAGCUCAGGUCAUAAUCUCACGGUUUGUGGGUUCAAUCCCCGCUUUAGGCUCUGUGCUGACAGCUCAAAGCCUGGAGCCUGUUUGGUUUCUGUGUCUCCCUCUCUGUCUCUGCCCCUCCCCACUCGUGCUCUCUCUGGCUCUCUCUCUCUUUCUCAAAAAUGAAUAAACAUUUAAAAAAAUGAAAAAAAAGAAAACAUUCAUGUAAUACACAGUUAUAUCAAAUAUAGUUAUUGUACCAACACAGACUGACUUCCAAUGAGAAAUUUGCUUUAAUUUGGUUAUUUAUAAUUUUUAAAGGAUUUAUUAAUUGCACACAGUACAAAGGGCAUUGCACCAAACCCGUGAAUGUUAUUCUUCACUUAUGCAAAUAAUUUUUAAAUGGAUAAAUCUGAGAUUUUAACAGGGAAAAUAUGACAGAUCUUUUCUUCAGUAAGGUAGAUUCCCCCUCCCCCACUAACUGGUAAUUAAAUAAAAACUAAGGAAAGUAAGGUACAAUGGUGAUAGGGAAAUGAAUUUUGUUUAUUUUAAUAUAAACACGUACCCAACAUUUUCUGGAGUGACUUAGUCACUGAUGCCAAAGAUGAUCAAUCAGACUAAGAACACGAAGUACAUAUUAACAAGUAGGCAUUUCUGGAAUUAUUUGAGGAGAGGUGACAUUUUUCUUACUCCAAGAGGCACCCUACAGGUCCCCAUUCCUUCUUCCCCAGAGGCACCUGCUUAUGGCCAGUACAUAACAGAACUGUUCAAUGGUUUUAUUCACUUAAAAAAAAAAAAUCUUGCUCUCAGCAUGUUGCCAGAAUAUUUAUCUGCAUUAUUAAUUCUUUUGGUUUGUAAAUCCCAAAGCAGUAGCUUUCAGCUCUGGUAUCAUGAGCCACUGAUGCGUCAUCAUCUGUGCAAGAGAAAGGGAAGGAUGGCAACUCAUGGAGGGGGAUAUGGGUGGGACUGAGUAAAACUCACAGCCUGCCCUGCAGGUGUGCCUAGACCCCUAACACAUCUUGAGUGCCAUGGGAGCGGGUCCCUCAUGCAAAUGUCUUUUGUUAAAUGUGCACCUUUAGAACAAAGGUUGAGGCCCAGAGCCCAGACGGCUUGAGGUCGUGUUGACCCAGAUGUUUCUGUCCAGCUUGGAAUAGUGACACCACAAGUGGGAAUCUCUUAAAGGCCCCUGAUGAUGAUAGCAACAAUGAAGAUGACAAUAAAGGAGGUGAUGAUGAUGAUGAUAAUGUGCCUUUGUUCUCCAGUAAUUCCCAAUUUCCUCUAUUUCAUCUUUUCUUAGCCUAGACCCAGAAGAGCUAGAAAGUGGACCAAAAGCCUCCUUCCUCCCAGGAAGCACAAUGAAAGCUAAGAGGUAAGAUGUACAAACUCUUCUCCUCUGCCUCUUACACCUAUAGGCCUGGAUAAAGGUAAGAGCUGCUACCCCAUGUCUGAAGUCCCUCUGGAGCCCCAUCAGUAUAAAGUCAAGGUUCAGCAUGGCUAGCAAAGAAUAAUGGGUGUUGCUUUUGUGGCCAGACACUGUGCAUUGUCUACCCAAUAGCCAGUCUCACCCCCAACCCCUUCUGGUGUUUACAUCCUUCUCAGCUCUGGGGCAUGAAACAUAUCAAUCAAAGGCAAUCACAAUAGUCUUCUCUUUGCCAAUAACUGACUUAGGCAUGGGCACCUUGACCCAGUCCGUACCUGAGAGUCAGUCUGCUUUGGAAAUCCUGGGAAAGCUUUUCCUCUUAGUUAAAAAGUUGCACGGGAGGACAUACUUGUUCCCUUUGCUGGACAUCUUGACACCCACAUCUGAUGCCUGGAGCUGCUAUAAUCCCUUGGGGCCAGGAGAGGAGACACUGGCCACACACUGAGAACGGUAAACUGCUGAACAGAAAGAAGGAAAGCACCUGGGUCCUUGAGGCCAUCACCGUGCCACUGUGCUAAGCUUACCUGGAGCUGCCCCUCUGUAGAGUUCUAGUUAUGGAGGUCAUAAGCCUGUUAUUGCUUAAACCACUUUAAGGAAAGUAGGUCUUCUGCUGCUUAUGCGCAAGCCACCAGACACACCCUUUAGAAGAUCAUCCAGACUUGAGAGCAGCCGAUCAGUGAUAGAGGCCAUGAAAUGGGUAAAGAGACCACAAGACCAUGCACAUGAGUUGUCCCGGCCACCUCAGAUAGUUGCUGGUUUAAAAAAAAAAAUCAUUGAAAACUAUAAUUUUUCGGACUUCUACAUCCAUUCAUUCACUCAUGCAAUGAAUAUUCACUUAGCUCUUACUGUGGUUUUGCUGUGAAGGACCCGAAGAAAUAGAGUAUUUAGCAGUGACUUAGUACUUUAGCAUUCACCAAGAACUUCACGCGCACUAUUUGAUGCCCGCAAGAACUCAGUGAAAUCAGUAUUUAUUAAUUCCUUUUUCACAAAUGAAAACAUCUGAGGCUCAAAAAAGAUUGUCUAAAUUUCCAUAAUCUGACUCUAAGUCCAUGUUUUUUUUCCACCAAAAUCUGAAAUGUAUCUUGCCCUCAGGAAGCUUAAGGUCUAAAUUUAGGGAGAGGAGGUGUUCCUAUAUUUAAAAUGAAAAAAAAAAAAAAAAAAGACAUAAACAAUAUUUAUAUGUCAAUGCAAACAGCUAUUCAAUAAAUUUGACAGUAAUAAAUAGUCAAGUACCAAAUGUACAGGGUGAGAGCAAGAAUCAUUCAGGAGGAGUUUACCAAUGUUGAUGGAGAAUCGGUGUGUAUGUUUGUUGCAAGUUGGAAUCUGAAGUAAUCAUAUAAAAACUACUAUAAUCUCACAUAAAUAAAAAAUGCGUAAACUAGAUUCGUGUCUCUUAUCAGAUCUUAGUUACUUUUGUCGUCUGUAAGUAAUUAAUUCUAAGCUUAAAAGAUUUGCCACGUGUGCCAUUCUCCCCAAAUCUCCGUGUGUUCGCCGACCCGGAAGCUCUCUGGAAUUUCGUUCUUUAGGUUUUUAUGGAGGCCUCAUUCCAUAGGUACGAUUGAUCAAAUCAUUGGCCGUUGAUUGAUUGAAUCUCUAGCAAUGGCUGGAGGUGGGACCGACCUUCUAAUCACAUGAUUGGCUCAACAGGUUACCUAAAGGCUUCCCCAAAGUCACUCAUUAACAUAACAAAAGAGACCUUGAACCCUCUUAUCACAGGAAAUUCCAGGGGGUUUAGGAGCUGUGAGCCAGGAACCAUGAACAAAGACCAAAUAUAUACGAGAACUAAUUUUCGGUUAUCUCAAUGACCAACAACAUUUCUUGUAAAUCACAAUAUCUCAGGUACACGAUGUUGUGUGCCGAUAACUAUAUGAUCCUUCUUCAUGAGACAACCUCUUAUCUGAUAAAAUUCUACAUUUGAGGUGGUCAUUAUAAUGUACUGCUGAGAAACAGAGCCGCAGGUAUCUAAAUUUUUUUUUUUUUUUCAACGUUUAUUUAUUUUUGGGACAGAGAGAGACAGAGCAUGAAUGGGCGAGGGGCAGAGAGAGAGGGAGACACAGAAUCGGAAACAGGCUUCAGGCUCUGAGCCAUCAGCCCAGAGCCUGACGCGGGGCUCGAACUCACGGACCGCGAGAUCGUGACCUGGCUGAAGUCGGACGCUUAACCGACUGCGCCACCCAGGCGCCCCUGGAGCCGCAGGUAUCUAGAACAAACUGGUGUCUGCCAGAAGGGAGGGGGCAGGGGACGAGUGAAACAGGUGAAGGGGACUAAGAGGCACAAAAUUUUAGUUAUAAAAUAGACAAGUCAUGGGGACGAAAAGUGCAUCAUGGGGAUACCAUCAAUAAUUUUGUAGUAAUAUUGUAUGGUGACAGACAGAACUACACUUAUAAUGAGCACCGUGUAAUGUACAGAACUGUCGAAUCACUGUUGUGCCCCUGAAACUAAUACAAUACCGUAUGUCAACUAACUAUACUUUAAUAAUAAAAACUACCAAAAAAAAAAAGGGGCACACUGUGAUUUUCAAGACGUUCAUAAGAGUCUUAGAGCUUCUGCUUACGCUGGUGGGCAUACCCUCUCUUUGGAACUCUCUCUCUGGAGGAAACCAGCUACCAUGUAAGAACUGCAGUCCCAUGAACCACUUAUGCAGAAAGAAUGAGGCUGGCUAGCUGUCAACUGUUCUAGCCAUCCCAGCUUAGGCACUGGACCUGAGUCAAGGAGCCACCUUGGACUCUCUGUUCCCAUCAGACGCCUCAAUGAGAAGAAAGGAAGUUCCAGAUGUAUGGCCCCAGUAGAGAUAUCCUAGCCAUCUCCAACCAUUCAUGCCAAUCCAGUUGAGACCCCAGAUUUCAUGGAACAGAAACAAGCCAUUUCCACUAUGUCCUACUCAAAUUCCUGAUUCACUGAGUCAUGAGCAUAAUAAAAUGCCUGUUGUUUUAAGCCUCUAACUUUCAGGAUGCAAGAAAAGAUAAGUGGAACAUCCUUGGGAUUUUUCACAUCCACAAGACUAAACAAUUUUAUUAUGUUUUUUUUAAGUAGGUUCCACGCCCAACUUGGGGCUUGAACUCAACGACCCUGAGAUCAAGAGUCACAUGCUCUACUGACUGCCAGCCAGGUACCCCAGGACUAAGCCAUUUUAAAUAUUGGCCUCUCAGAAUUUCAUUUUAACUCUAUGAACAUUGUCAUCAUAUUGAGCUAUUUCUCCAUAUCUCUAUUAUCCUUUUGCCAGACAUCUUGUUUUCCUCGCUGGAUCCAGGACUAUCUGGUACAACUGUGGAGGUCAUGCACUGCACAAAGGUGUCAGACCAAGGGGUCAAGUAGUGGUUGAAGCAGGUUUUUUUUUUUUUUUUUUUAAUUAACAUAAACAAGUAGUAUAGCUUAGUGGCUGCUCUGAAUGGGACACUCAGUCUCCCAAAGUUUUCAGUCCAUCAGUUCUCUUUGUUUAUAUUUGAUUGCUUAUAAAGUGUAAUCCAAUCCUACCUUUACCCCCUUUUUAAUUUUGUUUUUGUAUCCUUGAUGGCUUCAAGUACUACUCAUUGUGCCUAGAGCAAGUCCUGUAUUACUUUUCUUCUUCUUUCUCUAUUAAGACACUCUUUUUUUCUUUUGUCUCUCAAUUGAAGUAGCUUAUUUUCCUAAUUAUAUAUAAUAUUUGCCUAUUAAAAAAAUUUAAAGAAUAAGUAAAAGUAUGAAGAAGAAAGUAGGGGCACCUGGGUGGCUCAGUUGGUUAAGUGUCUGACUCUUGAUUUUGGCUCAGGUCAUGAUCUCAUGGUUUGUGGGAUCGAGCCCUGCAGCGGACUCUGCACUGACCUUGCAGAGCCUGCUUGGGAUUCUCUCUCUCCUUCUUUCUCUGCCCCUCCCUGACUUGCACACACACACACACACACACACACACACACACACACACAUUUGUUCUUCCUCUCCCUUUCUCUCAAACUUAAAAAAACCAAAUAAAAUAUAUUUGGGAUAUAUAUUCAAGAACUUCUAAGUUAACACAGGAAAUGAAUGGGCUCAGAGAUUCAUGUGGUAAUGUCUUCUCUUCGUCCAUAUGAAGGUCAUAAUUUACAGAAAAGGGGUUUACAGAAGAGGAAUCAGAGAGUUUCUGAUUUAGGAGUUACCAGGCAUGGUUUAAGUUUGGGGUACCAUGAUGAAAUCCGAGGAUUGAGAAAAAUCCUACAGCUUUUCAUCCCACUGACAGUCAGGCUGUCUUUUUUAGGCAAGAGACCAUAAGAGCCUUUUUAAAGAAAUCUGAUUAGCCCAAAAGGAAAAGCCUGACUAUAUAGACAACAGAGGCUUCCUGUGCCAGUCAGCGAUCUCCAUAGAAACAGAAUCAAUAGGAUAUAUGUAUAUUUAUAUUAAAAGAUUUAUUUUAAGGAAUUGGCUCAUGGAGCUGUAGGGGGCCAGAAAACCCUAAAUCCACAGGCCAGACCAGUAGGCUGGCCACUCAGGCAAGAGUUGAUAUUGUAGUCUUGACCCUGAAAUCUAUAGGACAGGCUAACAGGUUGGAAACUGAGGCUGUAUUUCUUUGUUACAGUCUUGAGGGAGAAUUACUUUUCUCUGGGAAGCCUCUGGGAAGUUUUUUGCCCUUAAGGCCUUCUACUGAUUAAAUGAGGACUACCCACAGUGUUGAGGAUAAUCUCGUGUAAAGUCACCUGAUUGUAGAUGAUAAUCACAUCUAUAAAAUGACUUCACAACAAUGUCUAGAGUAGUAUUGACUGAACAACUGGACCAUGCCAAACCUAGCCAAGGUGACACAUAAAAUUUAACCCUGCCCUUGCACUUCCCAAUGAAACAGCUCUAACAGGUUGCCCCAACACCGAAGUCUAUGAUCAGCAAGGCCCACUCAUGGCACAGACCUCCUAGUAGGCUUUUUAAAUGCUCCAUGCUAAGAAGUGACUGGCUGACUCAGUUGGUAGAGCGUGUGACUCUUGAUUUGGGGCUCAUGAGUUUGAGCCCCACGUUGGGUGGGGAGAUUCCUUAAGAAAAAUAAUAAUAAAAUAAAAAUAAAGAGUUUUUCUAAAUGCUUCAUUCUAACGAAAAAAUGGUUAAUCAAGAAUCAGUAAAUAUCUGAAGAAAGUCUUUUAGAGGAAACAAAAACGGUUCAGGGUGAAGAAAACAACAAAAAAACUAUCAUUAAGAUCCUCAGGGAGAUAAGAGAAGAUAAUUCGACCAUGAAACAAGAAAAACUAGGGGAAAAAAUGGCUUCAGAGAAGAAAAAGGAGUUCCUUGAAAUUAUAAAAAUUAUAACAUAAAUUGAAAACUCAGUAAGAGGGUUAUAAGAUAAAGUUGACGAAAUCUCUAAGAAAGUAAAACAAAAUGACAUGACAAGGAGAUGGAAAAUAGGCGGGGGGAAAAGAGGUCCUUUUAGGAGGAUCGAAUCUAAAUAAGGUUUCCAGAAAGAAAACAGAGAAAAUUGAGGAUGGGGAAAUUAUCAAAGAAAUAAUUCAAAACAUUUCUGAGCAUUAAAGAUUAUGAGUUUCCAGAUUGAAAAGGUUUACCGAGUUUCCAGCCCAGUAGAUAAAUAUCUAUCCACACCAAGCCAUUUCAUCAUGGAAAUUUAAGAAAACAGAGAUAAGAGAGUACAGCUUUGGAUGAGUGGGAGGGAUAGAUUACAUACAAAUGAUCAAGCAUCAGACUGACUUUAGGCUUCUCAACAGCAUCAGAAGAGGGCAAUAAAACAAUACCUUCAAAACUCUGAGGAAAAAUGAUAUUUUUACUCAGAAUUCUAUUUCCAACCAAAGCUAGCAAAUUUAAGGGUAGAAGAGUGAUGUUUUUGUAAAUAAAAGUUCUCUACAACUCACUUCCCAGCCACAUUUUCUCAGCAAGUAGUGAAAGAUGUAUUCCUCCAAGAAAAGGAGUAAACAAAGAGAGGAUGUGAGAUUCAGGAAUCCAGGACUCUAACCAAAAAGACAGGCCAGGAGAAUACCUAGCAGGAUGGUGGAGGGAGGUCCCGGGACACAGCUGCCCUACAUGGAGAGAGUAGUUCAUCCAAACUGAAUGAGGUCAGAGGAUCGUGGGACAGACGUCUCCAAGAACGUGAAAUUGAUACUGCACCUGGCAAAUGUGAACAUUUUAAGAAGAGAGUUACACCUCAUGAGGACUGUUUGGAGACAAAAAAUUAAAGUUAUAUAAUAUAUAUAAUAGUAUAUAUAUUAUAUUAUUAUAUAUAAUAUAUUAUAUAUGUAAUACACAAUAAUGAUAUAAUUAUAAUAAUAUAAUAAUUCUAUAUUAUUAUAUAAUAAUGUAUAAUAUAUAAUGAUAUAUAUUAGUGAAUAAUGUAAAUAGUGAAUAUAUAUAAUAUAUUAUAAUUAUAUAUAAUAUAUAUUAAUAUAUAAUUAAUAUAUAUUAAUAAUAUAUAUAAUAUAUAAUAAUUGUAUUAUAUAUUAUAUAAAAUAUAUUAUAACUUAUAUAAUAUAUAAUAUAUGGGGGAAGAGAAUAUAUUAUAUAUAUAUUAUAUAUAAUAUAUAUAAUAUAUUAUAUAGGGGGGGAAGGGAAGUGUUGAACAAGCAGAGAGCAGAGAAUUUUUAAGUCAGUGAAAAUACUCUGUAUGAUAUUAUAAAUAUCAUUAUACAUUUGCCCAAACCCAUAGAAUAUAGAACAUCAAGAGUGAACCCCGAGGUAAGCUGUGGACUUUGGGUGAUUAUGAUGUGUCACUGGAGGCUCAUCCUUGGUAAGAAAUAGACCAUUCUAGUGAGUGAUGUUGAUAGUGGGGGAGAUUAUGCACGUGUGGCAGCAGGGGGUAUAUACCAAAUCUCUGUACCUUCCUCUCAAUUAUACCAUAUACCUAAAUGUGCUCUAAAAAAUAAAGUCUUUAGGGGCGCCUGGGUGGCUCAGUCGGUUAAGCGGCCGACUUCGGCUCAGGUCACGAUCUCGCGGUUCGUGAGUUUGAGGCCCGCGUCGGGCUCUGUGCUGACAGCUCAGAGCCUGGAGCCUGUUUCAGAUUCUGUGUCUCCCUCUCUCUGACCCUCCCCCAUUCAUGCUCUGUCUCUCUCUGUCUCAAAAAUAAAUAAACGUUAAAAAAAAAAAAUUAAAAAAAAAAAAUAAAGUCUUUAAAAACAUUUUUUUUCUCGGCCCCUCCCCUGCUCUCUCUCUCUUUCAAAAAUAAAUAAACAUUAAAAAUUUUUUUCAGGAAAAAUAAUUUAUAUACAAAUAUAUAUAUAAUAAAUAAAUAAUAAAUACAUAUAUAGUGAUAAAUAUAUAUAUUAACCCCAGGAAAACAAAAGGUUACUGAAGAAAGGAAAAGGUAUAAUGUUAGUAAGUACCACUUGGUUCAAUUGUUAAGUAGUAUUUACCUAGUCAAAAUAAUGUAAAUAGUGAAUACAGUUUAACAAAAUCACUUGUUUAUGUGGCGGUUGUAUGUUAUGUUUGUGGUAAAGGCAGGGAAGUGAAGAAAAAGAGCUAAAUCCUUAUUGUGCAUAAUAAAAGUAGAUCAUAUAUAACAUUAAAAAGUCAAGAAACAGUAGUUAUUUCAGUAGCGGUCCAGCAGUGUUAUUUAAAGAUUUAGAGGUGAAUUUAAAAAGAGAAACAAUCAAGGAGUUGAAAGGGCUUGUCUCCUGGAGGAAAAAAAAAUAAUGGCAGGGACAUGGAGAGAAGAUAGCUAUUUUUCAUAAUACGUUUGUAGAACUGUUUGGUCCUUUCUUGCAUAUUAUAAUUUUGGCUUUUUUUUUUUUUUUUGAACUUGCAAACAUGUAGAAUAAAACCAAACUCUAGGCUGUCCAAGAGCUCACCGUAUGGAUUCAGAAUGACCUGGAUUCUAAUACCAGCUUCGCCACUUCCCAGCUAUGUAACCUUGGGCAAGUUCUCAAAGUUCUCCGAACUCCCUGGAAAGGGGAUAAUAAUAGUUCUCAUGGUAACGGUGCAUACCGACUGAUUCACAGCCCUGGUUGUGAAGAAUGAAUAAAAUAACCCAUGUCAGGUCUAAGCAUUAUGCCUGAUGCAUACUGUGUUGUAUAAACUUUCGCUGACAUUUUUUGCUAUCAUCAGGCUGACAUUCACGGCUCUUUGUAAUCUCUCUAAUCUGCAUUUCCGACCUCACGUCUUAUUCCUCUUCUAGACAAACUCUAAGCUGGGCCAGGCAGUUCUCAUCCUUUCUGAAAGACCACGCUCUUUCCUGCCUCUCUGAAAUUAUUUUCUUAUUCACCAACCUAUUUGGGUUGCGAUAACAAUGGAAAUGAAAUGUGUUACACCCUGUAAAUAACUGGACGGUAUUUGCAUUCAUAGGAUUGAAAUCCAAGAUGUAAAUAUUUCCUCUAGGGGCUAAAAGCCGAAAGGAGGAGUUUCAUUUUUUGUUCAAGACGUGUUAAUCUUGUCAUUGCUCAAGGUUGCCAUGGUUCCUGUUUGGCACUUCCAGGACUUAAGCUUAUGCCACUACAUCUGAACAAGUAGAAAGAACCGCAUUUGAUUGAGACAGGGAGACCGGCAGGGUAACAAUCUUGGGAGAUAUGUCAGUGCUGGAAGUAGAAACAUAAGCCAGAUUUUUUGUGUCUCAGUUACACAAUGAUUCUGUCUGCUCCUAACACUGCACAUUUCCAGCUUUGUUUUUUCCUGGGGAAUAGGGAGUAAUUUAUUUUGUAAACCAGGGAGACACUCUUUUCUCUUUUCUGUGGCACAAUUUAAGUGGGAAAAAUCCAGUAACCAUUUGCCGGUAGUUUUUUUAAAAAUAAGUCUUUGAUUUCAUAAGGUAUUUGUUAGAGCCGGUUAUUUUAUUGGAGAGACUUCAUUACAAUAUAAAGAUAAACGAGUCCUAGCUUAAAAAAAAUAGGGAUUAAACCAGAGAAAAUGAAGCUAAUUAACUUGGACAAUUCAUACUCUUCUGUCAACCUCACAGUUAUUUUCAAAUUCACAGUCAUAGUUAGUAGGGUUCCUUGGAUGGAAAUCAAAAUGGUGUUUUUAUGAGACUCACUAACCUAUCUCUGGUGACAUUUAUGCCCUAUGGUACUUUCUUGGUUCUUUUGGUCUCUGGCGUAUAUGGAAAAUAAAUAGUAACAUGGGAAUAAAUAGUGUUAAUCGCUCUUGAUUGCUUAAAAUGCUCACAAGAUUUCAAAACUUUAUAAAUCAUUUUAUAAGAUUUCUUCUGCAGAUUUGAAGAGGAGGGUUAAUAUUAUCUUCCUUCUAGCCAUCGUUUGAAGGUGAAUUCAGAUAGACCAUCCAGAAUCUUAUACAAAUUCAACAGCAUUUUGUCAUUUAUUACACUUGCCAUCAGUAUUUUGUUGACAUUUGCUGACACUUUAUGAAUGCCCCUAAGGCAUAUGAUAACUAAAUCAGUGGCUAUAAGAUGUACAUCUGUGUAGACUAGGAAUAUUAUCUUUCCUCAUAGGGUAAAUAAUUCAUGAAGGGCUGUUUCAUAUGAGCUGUAUUAGUUUUUUAGAUGUAUCAACAGUAAAGUGAGAAACGAGAACAUUUUAAUGCAAAACAGAAAAUUUAAAAUGCUCAGGUUGAGUCUUGAAAACCCUUAUUCCCUUGGCUUUAAAGUGAGAUAAAAUGGAAGACAUUUAGUAGAGCAAAGAGCUUCUAAAACUUUUGCUUUAGUUUCCACCUCAACUUUAGGAUACUUCAGGAACAAUUAGAGCACAGGUCAAUCUUUGUUUUAGAUAAUUUCUUCCAAAUUGAUUAUUAACCCAUGACUGCCCUUUAAUUCUAAUGAUUUUCUUGCUUAUCAACAUCUUUAUUAAUUUGAAUACACGUGCCUGUUUAAAUCUUACGGUAACAAAGUCCUGGUUAGCAAACAAGGAUAUGUGAAAAGUUGCCAACUAUAGGUUGGAACUGUUCUUAAAAUAAGGUGAAAUCCAGAAAAGGACCCCAAAACCAAGUGUCCAGGACCCGUUAGUGUGAACUGGCUAUCAGUGACUAAACAUAAAAGUAACACUGAAUUUCAACCUCUGUGGUUCAAAAAUUUCAUCUUCCUUGAGUUCAAUACUACAAUGACUUAAAAAUAUAAUGGUUGCCAACUCUUCAAUUAACAGAUUGAUAAAUAUACUGAAAAAUUGGGCAGUUCUCAAGUGGUAAUCCCGCUAAUGGAUAUUAUGCUUGAUAAAUUAAUUCUGAAAUUCAACUUCUGUGCAGAGUGGAAAACAAUUAGAAAGUCAAAGAGAAAACAAAAAUAGAAGCACAAGACACAAAUUUCAAAGAAAUGGCUUAUAGCAUCUCAUAUACAAGAGGACAAGAAGAAAUAGACCUUUCCAGAAACAUGGCCCGUGACACGAGAUGACUCCUUCAUUAGUUUGCCUCAAGUGGCUGAGGGGCAUGGAGUGCUGCCUUGCACAUGCACGUGAUGUGAGUGCAAAAGGUUUUUGUUCGUGACGAUUUUACUGCUGUCUAUGCAGGACUCACUCAAUUACAUGUGAUGACCACGUACUUUUUCCAUCACAGCAUCUAUAAGAAUGUUUCAUUUGGAUUUUCCAGAUCAACAGCUAAUGGCCAAUGAGGCUUCACAUCCCUUCCUACCAGGUGGUGCCCAGGGAACCUGAUUGCAGUAGAUAACUGACCAUUAGGUUUAAUAUUUCCCUGAUUUCUUUCUUUUUCUUAUUCUACAUUUUUCUUUUGUCUUUCAACUACUGGUAAUACGCAGAUUGGGGUAAAACACUUCACAAAUUAUUUCUGGUUUAAUAGUCCUCGCUUUCAAAUGUGCUUUUCAGACUUUAAUUAAACCUAGUCUCCCUGAGGGCCCACAGGGAAGCAGGGUUUUUUCUGCUUUUCCAGAAGGGGACAAUGAAAAAGGAGUAAUGACUACAGACAGUAGAAGUGGAAAAGGGCAAUGAAAAAGAAACUCUCCUGACUUAUUCUGAAUUUAGAAGCUUUUCUGCCUUUCUUUAGACCUAAAUUCAUACUGUUAAGCCUUUUGGGGGGGGAAAUCUGUUUCCUUGAGGAGGUUGAGAGACAUUAGAUUCUAUUUCAAUUACAUAAGAAAAAAUUCUUAUUAACUAAUUUCUAAUAGGUGUAGCAUCAUAUAUAAAGUAAAAUACAAAAUAUUAAAAAACUGUCCAGUUUCAGCUUAUUUGCUUACACAAAUUAAUAAAAUCAUUUUUAUUAAGUAAUAAAAUGAUUAUUUUUUAUUUCUAGGCAAAAUGUAUUCAUAAUUAAACUAAAAAAUAAUUAUAAUUUGACCUAUCGGCCUUUGAGACAUAUAAUUUGAUAAUCUUAUAUAAUUAUAAUUUAGUGAGACAAUUGGAAAUAUAACCAUUUUGUCUUUAAAAUCCACACAUAAAUGGAUGUAAAACAGUUAACAAAACUCCAGUGAGGCAGCCACUGGUUAGAUGUAGCUGCAUUUACUUAGGCCAAAGAAUAUAUUUGCAAGUAGUAUACCAAAAGAAACACAGGGAACAUAUUUUGUGGGGAUAAUGAAGUAUCCUUGAGAAAGCACCUGUCGUUUCCUCGAUAGUAAGGCGACAUGAAUUUUUGUGUUAUUGAGAGAGCAUGAGUGGAGGAGGGGCAGAGAGAGAGCAGGACUGAAGAUCUCAAGUGAGCUCUGCUGACAGCAGUGAGCCCAACGUGGGGCUUAAACUCAUGAACUGUGAGAUCAUGACCUGAGCCAAAGUCGAACACUCAGUCGACUGAGCCACCCAGGUGCCCCCCAAAUUUUAUUGUUAAAAGCAGGUGGUAAAGGCUUGUUUUUAAAGAGAAGACAAAAGAGCUCUCCCUCCUUGCGGUAGGUAUAGUUCUGCGCAAAUCUUAACAGCUUAUAGGAACAGAAAUAAUGAGGUACAGACCUCAAAUUGAUGAAGAUCCUCUCAUCUAAAAUUUGUAUAUUUUUUAUUGAAGUAUAACUAGCAUACGGUGUUAUCUUAAUUUCAGGUGUACUAUAUAAUGAUUCAACAAUUCUGUAAAUUACCCAGUGCUCAUCACAAUAAGUGGUCUCUUAAUCCCCUUGCUCUGUUUCACCCACCUUCCGUUUGGCAAGUCCGGGUUGGUUGUAAAAUGUGCAUAUUUAAUAAUUGCAGGCAAAGAAAUGAAAAGAAUGAGAAUGCUCUACAGACAUCACAUCAGAAAGAAAACGCUCGCAUGGGCCAGUAUGGAGUGGACAGAGGAACAGGAGUGACAGAGUUCAGGGGCAGAGGAAGAAGACACGGACCAGAUGAGGUGAGAAACAGCCUCCUCUGUCAGCAGGGCCCUGGCAGAGUGCUCAUUACCGUUGACUUCUCACCACCCUUCCCGCACACUAGACGAUCAGUCGAGGCUGGCUGUGGUAAUUCCAUUCGCCUUACCAGUUAGGAAAGGGGCUUGUGACCCAGUGAGGAAAGGUCUGCUGAGAGGCUUCUGGAAUAGGUUUUCUCACUCUGAUGAAAGAGAGGAAGAGAUGGCCUGUCUUCUUUUAUUGGGAAUAUACUCAACCAAAUCUAUUCUCUGAAAUUGGGAGAGUGGGUGAAUGGAAAGAACUUCAGUAUUUAAUGACCUUGUUGAAUUAUUAAUCAACCGAUCUUGAGUCCUGUGCUCCUGGACUUCUAUUCAUGUGAAGUAAUGUUUCCUUAUGCUUAAGCCAGUUUACCUAUUUAUUUAUUGAAGAUCUGAUUGGCUUUAUUAACUGGUUCAUGAAUUGGGCAACACCUCAUCUAGCAAGUAGAGGGGAGCUCCCAAGCAAGUUUAACUCAGGGUUUUCUGUUAACUAUUAACCAAGAAUUCUCUAAUUGAAAUAAUUAAUGAGAUAUAUUGGGUAUUUCACCAAAACACUUGCAGGCUAUAUUUUAUCUUAUUUUAUUUUAUUUUUUAAUUUCAUUUCAUUUUAUUUUAUUUUAUUUCAUUUUAUUUAUUUCAUUUUAUUUCAUUUCAUUUUUUUAUUUUAUUUUAUUGUAUUUUAUUUUAUUUUAUUUUAUUUUAUUUUAUUUGAAAGAGAGAGAAAGAGAGAAAGGAGUGCAAGCUGGGGAGAGACAGAGGGAGAGGGAGAGAGAAAAUCUUAAGCAGGCUCCGUGUCCAGCACAGAGAUGGACACAGGAGUGGGUCUCACAACACUGAGAUCAUGACGUGAGCUGAAAUCAAGAGUUGGACGUUCAACUGAGCCACCCAGGCACCCGAAGACUAUAUUUUAAUUACAGUUUCCGUAACGUAUAUUUAUACAUAAGUUGGCUGAGCCUAGUUCAUUCCAGUUUGGGUUCUCUUCUCAACUCAUAGUGAUCUUUCUCAAGUUCUAACUCAAGAAUUCCUUCAUAUGUUUUUUAGUGGAAAGGCAUCUAAACUAACUGACUCUAAGUAACUUUGCAACCAAGAUACUGGUAUUCAGAAUGGGAGGAUAAGCAAACAGCAUCAGUUACAAAAUAAGGCUUAAAACAUCUAUGCAUGUGUUACAUAUCAAUCCCUUGCAGAUUAUGUGAUAAAUGAGUUAAUAAGGAUGUCAUCACCUAACCAAUCUGUCAUUCCUAACAAUGUGACCAGAAAAUAAAUAGAAUUUAUAAAGAAUUUCUUUAUUCUUCUCCUCACUCUUUCACCAAUUGGUGACUAUCUUAUUAAUGACAAUAUAUUCUCCAUUCUGUGCUAGCAGCUGAGAGUUAAACAUUCACAAUGGGUAUCAGUAUGCAUGUUGCUGGGAUUAGGAACGAAGGAAAUUAAAGAAUAGUCCUGUUAUUUCAAGGAUCUGUAAGCCAGUAUUGCUGAAGCUGAAAAAUUAUAGGUCUUUCCGAAAGAAUAUCUUUGAGUUAAAGUUUGACUUUUUAGAGUAGCAUGGCAAGAGCAGCCCUACAAUGAGUGCAGUCUAUGGCAGGUCUGAAUCGUCCAGCAAAGUGGGAUGGCCUUUAACCUCGGGUUUCUUACGUCCUUUGGGACCACUUGUAUGAGUCUUGGAAGUGCUCUGUCCUUUUGCCAGGACUCUUUUGUCCUUAGUUUGGCCCUAAUAAUAGCACGUAGUUAAUAAGGGGAGAGAUAUGGUAGGGGAGAUAUUAAUUCUUGCACCUAGCAUUCUUAGGAAUACCUUCUUUCUUUUUAUAUUUGCAGUCUUUCUAUAGUGCUUUAUUACACUUAAGUGCACCUCACAGAGCAUCUAAGCUAUUGCAAUCUCUUGACCUCUGUUUUUCCCACUUGAAAUAAAUCUCAUGCUUCUGUCCAAGUUGCCUUUUUUGCCCAUAGUUCUUAUUUAUUGCCCUCAUGACAGCUAGAAUGAUUCUUCUAAAAUAUUUGCAUAGUAGGGACACCUGGGUGGCUCAGUCGGUUAAGCGUCUGACUUCGGCUCAGGUCAUGAUCUCGCGGUUUGUGAGUUCGAGCCCCACAUCCGGCUCUGUGCUGACAGCUCGGAGCCUGGAGCCUGUUUCUGAUUUUGUGUCUCCUCUCUCUGCCCCUCCCCCACGUGUGUUCUGUCUCUCUCUGUCUAUCAAAAAUAAAUAAAUGUAAAAAAUAUAUAUAUUUGCAUAGUAUACCAUUUUCCCUCAUCUUACUCUCACCUUUUCUGUGUGCUUGUAUUUAGGAUGCGCUUCUUGUUUUUUUUUUUUUAAGAAUUCUUUUUAGCUUUUUUUGUAAUGUUUAUUUAUUUUUGACACAGAGAGAGACAGAGCAUGAGUGAGGGAGGGGCAGAGAGAGAGGGAGACACAGAAUCCAAAGCAGGCUCGAGGCUUCAGGCUCUGAGCUGUCAGCACAGAGCCGGACGCAGGGCUGGAACUCACAGACCAGGAGAUCAUGACCUGAGCCGAAGUUGGAUGCUCAACCGACUGAGCCACCCAGAUGCCCCUAGGACAUGCUUCUUGUAAGCAACAUGUAAUCAAAUUUUGUUUUCUUAUCUGGUUUGACAAUUUUUGUAUUUCAAUUGGAACAGGUAACUCACUUACAUUUAAUAUAAUUAUUGAUAUGUUUUGGUUGAUACCAACCAUCACAAUAUUUGCUUUCUAUUUGUUCCUCCUGCUCUAUGGUCUGUUUUCUUUCAUUUCCUUUCAUCUUUUGGGUUGAUUUUAUUAUGUAAAUAUUCCAACUUCCUCCCUUUAUUAGUUAUAUAUUCUUGUAUUAUUCUUUUACCGCAGAGAUUAUAAUAGUAACUUAUCAAAGUCUAAUAUUAGUUGGUAUUUUUACCCUCUUACCAGACAACGUUAAGAGCCUUAGAGCCUUAGAAUCUUUAAACUCUAUUUGUCCUUCUCCUGACUUAUAUGGUAUUGUUGUGUUUUAGUUUAAUUUCAUACUUAUUGAAAACUCCACCAUAAAUUAUUAUUAUUUUAUACAAUCAAUUUUUAUUUAUGUUUAUUCACAUACUUAACCUUCUCAUUGCUCUUUAUUUUGUCUUGCAUCUCUGGGCUUCUAUCUGUGAUAAUUUUCUUUCUGCCUAAAAAGUAUCCUUUGUAUUUUUUUACUAUGAAUCUGUUAAUACGAAUUUUAUUGAUUUUUGCUUGUAUGGAUAUUUAUUUCAGCUUCAUUCUUGAAGGAUAUUUUCAUUAGGUAUAGAAUCCUAGGUUGACAGUUAUUUUCUUCCAGCGUUUUUAAUUAUCUAUUUUCUUCAGGCUUCCAAAAGUCUAUGAAGAAGUUAGCCCUAAGUUUGCUGUUGCUUUGAAAUUUGUGGCUCCUUUUUCUCCCACAUGAUUUUAAGAUUUUUCUCUUUGUCUUUGGUUUUACUCUGAUGAAUCUAGGUGUGGAAUUCUUUUAUUUAUCCUAUCUGGGUUCAUAGAGAUCCUUGAAUAUGGGCUCAAUGUCUUUCACUAAUUUUGAAAAAUUCUUAGCCAUUGUCUCUCAAAUAUGCCAUCUGCCCCAUUCUCUCUCUCUCUUUCCUCUUAGGGCUCUAAUUACAUGUAUCUUGGACUUUCUCACUGUAGGUUCCAUAUCUCUUAUCCUCUGUUCUGUAUUUUCCAACUUUUCUCUCUGUAUAUUCUGAAUAUUUUCUUCUGCUCCAUCUUCCAGUUCACUAAGUCUCUUUUUAGCUUUGUCUAAUCUGUUAUUAAUCUCUUCCAUUGACUUUUUAAUUUUAGUUAUUGUAAUUUUCAGAUAUAAACUCUGGGGGGCUCAUUUUUAGAGUUUCAGUUCACUUCCAAAAUCUCAGUCUUUUUUGAUCUUGGCAUAUUAAAUAUAGCUAUUUUUAUUUUUUCUCUUUCCUUUUUUUAAAAAUUUAAAUUUUAGUUAGUUAACAUACAGUGCAGUAUUGAUUUCAGGAGUAGAAGUCAAUGAUUCAGCACUUACAUACAACACCCAGUGCUCAUCACAAGUGCCCCCCUUAGUACUCAUCACCCAUAUAGCCCACCUCCCACCCCACCUCCCACAAACCCAUAGUUUGUUCUCUAUCAUUAAGAGCCUCAGCUUGUUUCCCCCUCUUCUCUUCCCCCCCUUCCCAUAUGUUCAUUUGUUUUGUUUCUGAAAUUAUAAUAUAGCUAUUUUUAACUCUGUGCUGGAUGGAGCCUUAGUGGGUCUAUUUCUGUUUUCUCUUGUUUAUCUAGGUUUCCAUUCAUGUAUCCUCUUGUGUACUUGGCUAUUUUGGCUGUGAAAUGUUUUCACAGAAAUUUGCUUCUAUGGCAGCAAGGGGCUGUAGCAAUCCAAUUGCACGAUUAAGCUGAUUUGAACCAGUGAUUCACUCCCUGUGAAAGUCAGUUGACUCCCAGUUCACCCUUACUUCUGUAAGGUAGCCUAUUUAAGUAUCACUUCAAAGCCCAAAUGGUUUACCAGGCUUAUUCCCCAACGCUUUGUGAUUUCAAUUCCACCCCCCCCCCCCACCGGCUUCACAAGCCUGUCAAAAAUAUGAAUUUCUCAACUUCUCAGUCACUUCUUCCAGAAUUGGUAAAGGUUCUAUAGGAAAAGUUCCCUAACUGCCAAGCUUAUGUCUGUGAUUUGUCUUCUUCUGGAACUUGGCCUUGUAAUUCUUAAUUAACUUGUUGGUUCUCCAAUGCCUUCAAGGAAUUUUUUUUUCUAACAUUUUGUCCAGGGUUUUUGUUUUUGUUGUUGUUUUCAGUGGGAGCGUUUGUUCAAAUUACCCAGUCUACCAUGCCAGAAGUGAAGAACCUGAUCCUUUAAAAAUGUAAGUCAAAUGAUGACACUGAAAUUCUCUAUAAAUAGAAUAAAAGUCCAGUGACUUCACGGUGGUCCAGAAGAUCCUAUGCAUUCUGGCUCCAGGCUACUGCUCCAACUUUAUCGCCUACAACUCUCAAAUAACUUUGCAUAAAUCUAAGGAUCAACUCAAUAUAAACUUCUAAGGUAAAAAGGCCAUGUGACACGUUUAUUUUAGACCCCCCCCAUAACGUUUAGCAUAUUAUCCCAGCAAUGUAUCAAUUUUGAUUAAAUUUGAACAUCUGCUUAAAAAUAAAGAUUGCCCAAAAUAGUGGCUUAAACUAGACAGCUUAUUUCCCACUUACAUGGAAGAAGUCUGGAGAUAGGCAGUGCAAGGGUGGGAUGAAGGCAGCAAGUACCAGGGACCCAGGCUUUUUCUAUCUUGUCACGUGAAUCUACAUGGCUUUAAGUCCCAAGGUUCAUUCGUGGCCUAAGGUGGUGCUAAAGUUCCUGACAGGAGGGUUCAGGAGGAAAAGGGAAGUAUAAGAAUGCCCCUCAAUUUUAGCAGACUUGUCAGACGACAUAACACUUCUGCUGUCUUCUGAUCACCUAGUGGUCAUGUAGCUUCACCUAGCUACAAGGGCAACUCAGAAAUGUAGACUUUUAUCUGGGAAACAGUGGGCCAACCUAAAAAAAUUGGAGUGCUUUUAGUAAAGAAGGGUAAAUAAGACACUGGUAUGUAACUAGCAAUGUCUGCCACAAACACUAAGAACAUUUUUUCCUAAAAUUUCUUGGGUUGUCUCUUUUUCUUGACUUGAUCGCCUCCACGACUGCUCACAGCCUAAUUCAUUCAAUGCUUACAUCAUUAAAGUACAUGAUUUCAACCUCCCAAAGAUUGCAUGCAAAAUCCUAUCAUUGAAACUUCUCUAUCAAGCAAAACAAUUUGUCCUCUUUUUCUUAUGCAAACAUAGAAAUAUCAUCUCUUUAAUAAAAAUCCUUUUUGCUAAAAUGAGAGACGGUAAAGUUUCUCCAGAAUACCCAGAAUUGUCAGUCACAUGUCUCCAGUGAGUUUACUCUGGUUUACUGAAUGCGAGUGUUUCCCUUAAUUAACCCACAUCUAUAGUUAAUUUAUACAGUGUGAGUGCCACUGCCUUAGUCCAUUUCGGCUGCCAUAACAAAAUAACUGACUCGGUGGCUUAUAAACAACAAAUUUUUAUUUCGUAUAGUUCUGGAGGCCAGGAAGCCUAUGAUAAAAAUACCAGAAGAUUCAGUGCCUGGUGAGGAUCUGCUUUCUGGUUUGUAAAUGGCCAUCUCUUUGCUGUGUCCUUCUGUGGAAGAAGGGGUAACAUAUGUCUCUGGGGUCUCUUUUAUCAGGGUACUAAUCUCAUGCAUGGGGGGGGGGUCCACCUUCAUGACCUAAUCACCUCCUAAAGGCCCUACCUUCAAAUCCCUUUUGGGAUUAGGUUUCAAUAUGAGUUUUGUGGGAGACACAACCAUUGAGCCUAUAGCAGACAUUGUCUGUGACCCUCUAAUUAAUAUGUUUUUUGGUACCAAUACUUUCUAUAUUGGAUUUUGAUUAAUGCGUCUUUCCCACUUGAAAGUAACCUCUAAGCAGGAGGAAGCACGUCUGUUUUGUUCCCAUUCUUGGCAUCUAGCAUGGUGUGUGGGGCAUAGUAGAUGUUCAUUAAAUAUUUGUUGGAAGAAUGAGGAAUUUAACCUUUACUGCAUACCCAUCAUAUGCCAGGUAGUAUGGUAAAUAUUUUUCAAUUAUAAUUUUAUUGACUUGUUGUAACAACCAAAUGUGAUGAGAACUAUAUCCCACUUCACAGAUGAGAUCAAGGAAGCUUGAGGAAGAUAAAUAAUUAAACCAAGUUCACAAAGUCAGAAAGAUGCAGAUCUGAGGUCUGACCUGUAACCUCUGUCUCCAUCGUAAAUGAUCAUUUUACUCUGGCACAUUUAUGUCAGCCAGGUGAGCUGUUCCCUGGCUUCCUCUGAUAACAGGUUGACUGAUUUCAUGAUAAGAUGGAAAUAGUAAAUAUUAGAUUAAUGUCCUUCCAAUCACAAAUUCCUGAGGCCUCCUUGCGUUAAUUAAAGGAAUUCAUUUAUAACAAUUAAAUGAGAAGCAUAAUGGUAGGCAGCUGAGUGAGUUACUGGCUUAAAAGGGAUAAAUUCAGGAAUAUGUUUUCAGAAAUCAAUGUGGACAUUGAUUUGAUCGAUCCCUACUCAGCUAACACCACUGCCCACAAGAAUCAGUUGUUUAGGUGAUAUAAUUUUGAUAGUAGGAUCUCUAGGAAAAAAGCAAGAAUGAUGACAAAAAUUUCAGCUACAAUAACAGAUGAACUUUAAAGGAUAAGGAAAAGGCAAGAAAGACAGAAAGAGAUAAAGGAAAAAAAGAAGAGAGGGAAACAUACAAAAGAGCAGAAAACAUACAAAACAGUGAAAUGGAAAGGGAUGGGGAUUGGCACACAUUUGUUUUGUUGUUGCUGUUCUGGGUUUACUUCCCUUAGCUGCUCAGCUUUCAGUCCCCAUUCUUUCAAUAAUAGCAUCUCCAUUUACUUUUUGGUAAUUCCAUCCUCACUUUUGGAUAUGCCAUCUGGUGGGACUGUGGUUCAGAUACUCUGUUUUCCUCCAGCCCCCGAAUGGAGCGAAGAGUUGAACCUAGUUAAGCCAGUCAGAUUCUCUCUUCCUGGACUCAGAAUCCUUUGUUUCAGAUGCAGCAGUUGAGAAGUUCAUGGUGUGAAGACACAUGUAAACUGUCUGGGUCUGUCCUUUCCACUACUGGGUCUUUCGCCUCCUCUCCUCAAUCCUUGGAGCUUCCCCAAUUUUCCCCCAAAAUUCCUUUCUUGCUUAAGUUUACCAGAGCAGCUACCAUUGCUUGCAAUCAAAGAACGCUAGCUGAAACAGUCGAGGCAGAAGAUAAGUGGAAAUAAAUGCUGAAAUUAAGAUUUGGGAUGCGACCCACUGAGAAUCUAUUUUUGGUUCCUGAAACAGUAGGUAUUGGGGACAAACCUAGCUUAAACCUGAAACAGAGUGCAUAUUAGUGUUCACUCAUUUCAGAUCUCUAGGAGCAAAUAUAACUCACACUGUAAAGUAGCACAGGGUUUCCGAAAGGUGAGAGUAAUAUUCUUUUUCAAGGAUAACCUAUUGUAGAAUUGACAUCACAGUUGGGGUACGGAAAGAGUUUGUGUUUUUUUCUAUAUAGUUUUUUUCUAUAUAAGAUCUUUGUGUCUUUGAUAAUUUCACAUCUUUGGCAUGACUAAAGGAUUUUUCCAUUCAAAUCAACCUCCUUCAACUUGGCCAGUCUCUUCUUCCUCCCCCCCGCCCCCCAACUUGCCCCGUGGGAUUCUUUCUUUUCACUGCCAAGGAUUAAAUUCUCUUGUGAAAGCCUUCAAGGCAAUAGACAUCUGUACUGGAAAGGAGAUACAAAACUGUCCAAAAAGAGAGGAGCACUUCCAAAGCUUAGGGGAGAAAAUAACUGAACUCUUAUUCAUAUUGGGGAAAAAAUCUGGUUUCAAACUGCGUUUUUUAUUGACUUUUUUGCUGUUGUUGUAAAAAAGGAUCAUCGUUUAUGUUGAAUAAGAAAAGGUUAUUGUUCUCCUUUACCAAAGAUGCUAAGUUUGCAUGUUUUGAACAUCAAACAAACAUCUCCAUAGAGAAUGGCUUGCUGCCAAUAUCUGGUGAGCAGGCCAGACUUUCAGCGCGGCCCAGUUAUACCAGUUCUGUGUUGGUGGGCGAGCAAUUCCAGAGAGAAGGCUGAAUUAGAAUUCAGCCCUAAUCCUGCUUGGGAUGCUGGCCUUAUUGGGUCUUAGCUUGAUGGUCAGAAGACAAUCCCACAGCAUUCCAGUAGCACAGAUCCAUGGCUCCCUCCUCAAGCCAUGUGCACGAAAGGCACCAUGCUGCUGGCAAUGGGCAAACAUCAGAUGCAAUGAGCACAAAUAAUAAUUGUACACCCACGGUAUACAAUACAGACCUUAACAAUUACCUUGUUAUUUUAUCAGUUCUAAUCUCUCUGCCCUUAUAAAUAUCUGACAUUACUAUUAUAUUCUGGCAAUCGAUGUGUGGAGUCAUAUGUUGUGCCAAACGGAAUUGAUUGUCAGUUUAGAUAUGAUAAGGAGGAUCAUGCAGGAAUGAUAUAUUAUCCAAACUCUGCCCUUUCAACUUUACUCAGCGGUUUAGUCUAUUAAUCCAACAACGCAUGGGAAGCCUGAGGCUGGAUAUGAGCGAAUAUGAUUCAAUGCACAAGAACUGAGCUCUAGGGGCUCCUGGGUGGCUCAGUUGGUUGAGUGCCUGACUCUUGAUUUUGGCUCAGAUAGUGAUCCCAGGGUUGUGGGAUCCAAGCCCCAGGUGGGGUUCCAUGCUCAUCGUGGAGCCUGCUCGGGAUUCUCUCUCUCUCUCCUGCUUCCCCUCCCCUGGUUCGCACACUCUUUCUCCCUCUAGAUACCUAAAAAAAAAAAAAAAAAAAUUUAAAAAGAACUGAGCUCUAGAUAUUAAGUCUUAGAAAAUAGCCCCUUGAAAAGGUCUCCUCUUUAUGUUUAUUUGCCAUGGGAAAUGGUGUAUUUUUUUGCUCCGUGUGCAAAUUUAGCUUGGGGGGAAACUCACAUAGGUGAUGAUGUCAGGUCUCCCAAACGCUAGAUGACUGACCCCUUCAGUAAAAGAACCUAAGGGUUCUUUGCUUUUCUUAUAAUUGCUCAGGCUUCACUUCUAUUGAAAAGUGGCCACAAAAGCCAUUCUAUGAAAUGACUCUUUAAUAUUUGAUAAAUGAGUCCGUCUUAGGGGCCUAUAUGGUUGCAGCAAUCAUGUUUCUCAGCUAAGACUGCGUGUGUUCACACGGGACGGUCAUUAAGCAAACCUUUUAAGAUGACAGGAGUUCACUUCUUCUGUCUCAUUUCCCAGAAAGAAGAAUAAUGGCAUAAAGUCUGGAUAGUUAAAAGGGAAAGAAAAGGGUAUGCACUCUUCCCCCACUACGGCUUUCUAACCUAGAAAGGCAACAUAAUUUGGGGCAAAGAGCUACAUUCUAAGUGGCAAAGUAAAUAGGAGAUAUUUAUUCCUAUAUCUUCAUGACACUUUAGUGAUAUAGUAGAAGAUUCUUACUAGGCCCUUAAUGACUUGAGAAAACUGACACAAAGGGAUGCUGGAAAACAUAUUAAAUAUUACACAAUUAAUCUGAAUUAAAAGACCAGAACUUGCUCAAAUAUCCUCAAAUAUCAUUCAGGGGAAUGAACCUCAAGGUGGAGAGUGAAUUGGACAAUAUAGAUACGAGGUAUUCAGCUUUCAUCUGGAUCCUGAUAUUUAUUUCCAUUCUAUUCCAAGUGAAAUCUGCUUCUAAGCACAGACUAAGAGAGCUCCAGUCCCUCCCCAGAGAUAUCAGACUGUCAGACCUCUCUCUUGGGUUUCUCCUCCCUGCCCCACACUCCCACACCUCAGGCACGCCACGCAUACCUACCAGCUGCCCACCAGAAACAGCUGCCUCAGGACGGGGCUGGCAGGGGAAGUCUUCCAUGGAUGGACAGCCCUUAGCAGCAGCAAGAGUCCUCAGCAAAAUUGUCCCUUUGGCCUCAGUUCUGACUUUGGGCUCUGACCCAGGUCUGGCAAAAGAUAAUAUGUACCCAUUGUAGAAAACAUGAAAAGUACAUAGAAAUUUUAAAAAUUGCUUAUAAUCUCGGGGCGCCUGGGUGACUCAGUCAGGUAAGUGUUUGACUUCGGCUCAGGUCGUGAUCUCGUGGUUUGUGGGUUCAAGCCCCAUGUUGGGCUCUUUGCUGACAGCUCAGAGCCUGGAGCCUGCUUCGGAUUCUGUGUCUCCCUCUCUCUCUGCCCCUCCCCUGCUUAUGCUCUGUCUCUGUCUCUUUCUCUCUCAAAGAUAAGUAAACACUUAAAAAAAAAUUUUUUUUAAUUGCUCAUAAUCUCACCACUAAGUGAUGACUGUCAAUAUUUUGGUCUAGUUUUUUAAAAAUUUAAUCUAAGUAAAGCAUAUAAAUGUUCAUUUAGUUGGGGUCACAUCGUAUAUGCAAUGUUGAAUCCUGCUUUCUUUUUUUUUUUUUUAACUUUGUAAAUGAACAUUUCUCCAUGUCAUAAGAACAUUUCUUUAUAACCACCACACACACCUAUUAUAAAAAAAUAAUGAUUAAAGAGAUCAAGGAGAAGUCACAAAACUGAAGGGGAAAAAAGUAAACAAUCUAAAAGUUGGAGAUGGAGGAAUGAUCGUUCUAAUUACCAACUCGCAGAUCCUAAACGUUAUGGAGAAGGAUGUUCAAGGAAGAAAUCAGAAACUGGUACAAAAGGAAUGAAACAGCUUUGAUAAAUGUAUAAAAUAAUGAAAAGAUAGUUGUUAGCAAAGAUGUAAUAUGUAAUAUUUAAAUAACCAAGAAGACAAUCGCUAUUGUGCAGUAUCAGAUUACAUUGGUAAGAUUAAUUAACAUAGUUUUAUUAAAUAAUAAAAGGGAAAUGCAGAGAUUUUAAAAAGAUGCCUAGAGAAAAUAUGCACAAAGGAGCUCUUUAAUUGUAAGAUAUUACAAUAUUCUUAACAUGGCACUGCAGGUUCUGACAUUAGAUUCCAUUUGUGAGCUUUAGUGAGGUGUUAGGAAAAGAGGUCAACAGUAUGUUAAAGGCAGAACUGUCUAAUUCCUCUCCACCCCUGCCAAAGAUUAUUCUCAAGGACACAAAAAAAAUGUGGUAUGGGGCGCCUGGGUGGCUCAGUCGGUUAAGUGUCCGACUUCAGGUCAUGAUCUCAUGGUCCGUGGGUUUGAGCCCUGAGUUUGGCUCUGUGCUGACAGCUCAGAGCCUGGAGCCUGCUUCAGAUUCUGUCUAUCUGUCUGUCUCUCUCUCUCUGCUCCUCCCCCACUCAUGCUCUGUCUAUCCCCUUCUCUCAAAACCGAAUAAGUAUUAAAAAAAAUAUUUUUAAGAAAAAAUGUGGUAGUAUUUGACCUCUACCAAACUAUUUUGUAUUCACUGGAGAUCGAUCCCGAUACCACCAGCCCCUCCCUUUGCUUCAGAGAUCUCUCCUACUUCCCAAUUACAACCAGGGGGUGGGCUAGAGCUGGGAAGACAGGGCCUUGGAGAAAAUUGUGGCUUAUUGCAAAGAUGAUGGGCUGUGGAGUCAGACAUAAGUUGAAUUCCGAUCCAAGAGUUGUCACUUGCAACUCUGUCACCUAGACAAGGGACUCAGGGGUUCCCUUCCCCCUUUAUACAGUGGAGAUAAUAAAAUCUAUUUCUUAUAGGAUGCUAAAUAAAAGUUGGUUAUUGUUAGUUCUACUUCAUUUUUAUUUAUCCAUAUAUUUCAGUUCUCCCCCCACACACAUUUUUUUGACCAUGGAAUCGUAGCUCAUUUCGACAGCAAUUCUGGUUUCUUGUUCAUUUCAUUUUUUAUCAUUAGUCCCCUGAACUUGUGCUAUGAUAAGCCAGAAAAAUUCCUUUCAUCCCAGUACUUGUCAUUUGAUGUUUAAUAAAGCUUAUAGGUGGCACUCAUAAUAUUCUUUAAACAUUCAUUAAACAAAAAUUCCCUCAAUAAAUUUUUUAUUGAGAGCCUAAUAUGUGCUAAGCACUAAGCCACAUGAUAUAGCUAGAAAUUAAUAAAUCCAGCUGGAUAAGAAAGUCAGAGAGACAAUGUCUAAAUAUAUUUAGAAAAAAUGUAUAAUAGAGGGGGCUAGUAAAAACUGGAUUCUCGGUGUAAUGUAAGUUAAUGGCAAUGUUGAUUUAAUUUCAGGAAACUUUCUGAUAGGAUAAGAAUAUGAAUUAAGAAAUUGGAAAGGUAGGGGCACCUGGGUGGGGAAGGGGCAGAGAGAGGGGGACUGAGAAUCCAAAGAUCUGAAGUGGGUUCUGCAGUGACAGAAGAGAGUCUGACGUGAGGCUGGAACUCAAUAACCGUGAGAUCACAACCAGAGCCAAAGCCAGAUGCUCAACCAACUGAGCCACCCAGGCGCCCCAUUAAAAAACUAAAAAUAGAAUUACCAUAUAAUCCAGCUAUCUCACUUGUAUGUGUAUGUCCAAAAGAAUUCAGAGGAUCUUAAAGAGAUAUUUACAUACCCAUGGUUCAUCGCAGCACUAUUCACGAUAGUCAAGAGGAGGGAGCAACACAAAUCCCCAUCAACAGAUGAGAGAAUUAAGAAAAUGUGGAAUAUACCUACAGGGGAAUAUUACUCAGCCUUAAAAAAGAAAAAGGGAAAUCUUGUCACACACUACAACACGGAUGAACCAGGAGGAUGUUAUGCUAAGUGAGUCAGAAAAGAAUACUGUAUGAUUCCACACAUAGGAAAUGUCUAAAGUAGUCAAAAUCAUAAAAACAGAAUAGAAAGGUGGUUACUAAGAGCUGGGAGAAAUUGGGUAGCAGAAUUAGUGUUUGGCGGGUAUAGAGUUUCAGUUUUGUAAGAUGAAAAUGUUCUAGAGAUCUAUUGCACAACAGUAUGAAAAUACUUAACACUACUGAAACAUACCCUUAAAAAUGGUUAAGACGGCAAAUUUAAGGUUAUGUGUUAUAUGUAAGUGAUGAAUCACUAAAUUCUACUCUUGAAAACAUUAUUUUUAAAAAAUGUUUAAUGUUUAUUCAUUUUUGAGAGAGAGAGAGAGAGAGCAUGACCUGGGGGAGGGGAAGAGAGUGAGGGAGACACAGAAUCUGAAACAGGCUCCAGGCUCCAGAUUCUCAGCACAGUGCCCAAUGCAGAGCCUGAACCCACAAACUGCAAAAUCAUGACCUGAGCCAAAGUUGGACGCCCAACUGACUGAGCCACCCAGGUGCCCCUCUACUCUUGAAAUAAUUAUUACAUUAUAUGCUAACUAACUUGAAAUAUUUUUAAGUUUAUUUAUUUAUUUAUUUAUUUUUAAUUUUUUUUUUCAACGUUUAUUCAUUUUUGGGACAGAGAGAGACAGAGCAUGAAUGGGGGAGGGGCAGAGAGAGAGGGAGACACAGAAUCGGAAACAGGCUCCAGGCUCUGAGCCAUCAGCCCAGAGCCCGACGCGGGGCUCGAACUCACGCACCGCGAGAUCGUGACCUGGCUGAAGUCGGACGCUUAACCGACUGCGCCACCCAGGCGCCCCUAAGUUUAUUUUUUAAGAGAGAGAGCAAGCAAGCACGGGAGGGGCAGGGUAGAGGGAGAGGGAGAAUUGCAAGCAGGCUCUGUACUGCCAGCACAGAGCCCUAUGUGGGGCUUGAACCCACAAACUAUGAGAUCAUGACCCAAGAUGAAAUCAAGAGUCAGACGACCAACCAACUGAGCCACCCAGGCGCCCCAUAUGUGUUAACUAACUUGAAUUUAAAUAAAAUUGAAGAAUUAAAAAUAAUUUGGGAAAAUUUCUACCAGCAAUAUAACUGGAAAAGAGAAAUGAAUUCAUACAUAAUAAGAAAACUUUUAUAGAAAGUUUGGGCAAAACUUGUACAGAAACAGUAAACAGAUUAAUCCAUUCACAGAACAUGAAUUAGUGACUCAAAUUUUUUGAAAAAAAAAAAAAAACCAAAAAACUUCAACCGUACAGAUAGUCUAAGAAAUGCAAAUUUAAAUAAAGAAAUGCCUAUUUAUUUAUUAAAAGUUUAUUUAUUUAUUUUGAGAGAGAGAGAGGCAGAGAGAAAAGGAGAGAGAGAAUCCCAAGUAAGCUCCAUGCUGCCAGAGAAGAGCCCAGCAAGGGGCUCGAUCCCACAAACCAUGAGAUCAUGACCUGAGCCAAAACCAAGAGUCUGAUGCUUAACUAACUGGGCUACCCAGGAGCCCCAAGAGAUGCCUUUUAAAAAGAAAUCUUUGAAAUUAACAAUGAUUUUUAAAAGACUACAAUUCCGUUUGGCAAGACAGGCCCUCGUGCCCUGCUGGUGAGAAUAUAAGACGAUUUACACAUUUUUAUAUUAAUUGUGUCUCGCUUGUAGUAACAAGUUACUGUAAUACUUAGCAGCUCAAAGCAAUAAACAUCUAUCAUUUCACAUUUUCUGUGGAUCAGGGACCUAGGGACUGCUUAACCUGCUGCUUAGGAAGGGCAGUCCGUAGCUGGACGUGGUCACCGCCAGCUCAACUCGGGCAGGAGAAACUACUUUUACUCUCACUCUUGAGAUUGUUGGCCAGGAUCAGUGGGUCAUGUCUAUUGGCCAGUAACCUCAGUUCCUGGCCGUGUGGACUUCUCCAUAGGCUGCCAGUCUGUCCCCACAAUAUGGCAGCUGGGUUCUCUCAGGGCUAGUGACCCUAGAGGAAGAGUGACCAAGACAAGCUAUAGUUUCUUUUAUUAUUUUUUUAUUAAAAAAUUUUUGUUUAAUGUUUAGUUUUGAGAGAGAAAGAGAGAGCGAGCAAGCAGGGGGGGGGGCAGAGAGAGGGGGACACAGAAUCUGAAGCAGGCUCCAAACUCUGAGCUGUCAGCACAGAGUCUGAUGGGGGGGCUCCAUGAGAUCAUGACCAGAACCCAACUCAGAUGCUUAACCGACUAAGCCACCCAGGCACCCUUCUAUAGUUUCUUUUAUAACCUAACCUUGCAGGUGACCUAUCAUUGCUCUGCUGUAUUCUUUUGGUCACACAGACCGAUCUUGGUAAAUGUGGAUAAGGACUACAUAAAGGUAUGAAGACCAGGAGGCAGGGAUCAUUGGGGGCCUUCUUGAAGGCUAGGUGUCACAUUUCUUUAAUUUGUCAAUAUUUAAGAGUUUAUACCUUUAAUCCAAUGAUAUUAGGUAAUUACAUUUCUAGCAAUGUAUUCUAAGAAAGGAAUCAUGUAUGUGGCCAAAUAAUAUGCCUAAGCGUGUAUAUCAUUUUUAUAAUAGUAUGAUAUGGAAAUGACUUAAAUGUGUAAUAAUCAAGAAUGUAUUUAUCAAAUAAAUGAUAAUAUAUGAUGGAUUAUGUAUCCAUCAAAAGUGGUGAUUUUGAAGAAUUUUUCAUAUCAUGGGGAAAUUAUAAUAUGCUUAUUUUUCAAAGGCAGGGCGUAAACAUUUAUAUAUAAUAUGACAAUUAUGUGAAAAUUAUAAUAAUUAUGUUUAAAAGAUGAUUAGGCAUAUUCUAAUACAGUGAGAAGAUAGAACAAAAUAUAUAUGCUAUUCCUGGCCUCCCCUCUCCCCCAGAAAAGCUAAACCUGGAUCUAAUUAUGAAGGAACAAUCAAACAAGUCUAACUUUUGGGAUGUAGUGAAAAAUGACUGGUCUGCCUGCAAUCUUCAAAAAUGUCAGUGUCAAAAAGAAAAGAAAAGAAAAAGGCCAGGGAAUUGUUUCAGAUUAAAGGAGGGUGCAAUGAAUUUUUCUCAAUUGACUUGGAUUAUUAUUAUUAUUAUUUUUAGUUUUAUAACAUUAAUGGGACAAUAACUGGGAAAAUUUGAAUGUGGGCUUUAUAUUAGAUAAUAGCAGUGUCAACAUUAAAUUUCCUGAGCAUGAUCAUAGUGUUAUGAUUACAGGGAAAAAUGUUGUUGUACUUAAGAGAUGCAUGUUGAAGUCUUUAGGGUUGACAUGUCAUGUAACUUUCCUGUGUGUGUGUGUGUGUGUGUGUGUGUGUGUGUGUGAGAGAGAGAGAGAGAGAGAGAGAGAGAGAGAGAAAGAGAUAAUGAGUUAUUCUAAGAAAAAGUAAAUGUGGCAAGAUGUUUAUGAUUGGUAAAUCUACAUGGAGUAUAAGGUGUUUAUCUUACUAUUCUUGCAACUUUUCAAAUAGUUUGAAAGUUGAAGAAAAUAAUAUUUAAAAGUUAAAUGCAACAUUAGAAAGGAUUGAGGUAGUAAGAGAGGCUUUAUUUUAUUCUAAAAUUAACAUAAAAUUUUAUACUUGUCUGUAGUUCUCUAUAUUCAGUAUUUUAAUAUGCUGAGCCUAUUAUUUUUACAAUUGGCAGAUAAUAAAAGUUGUAUAAAAAGGAUUUUUUACUUAAGUUUUUGUAUGUGAUUCGUUAAUUCUUUAAAUGGCUUUAUUUAAUAUUGUAUAUAACAAAUUAAAAAAAAUUUUUUUAAUAUUUAUUUAUUUCUGAGACAAAGAGAGACAGAGCAUGAGAGGGGGAGGGGCAGAGAGAGAGGGAGACACAGAAUCAGAAGCAGACUCCAGGCUCUGAGCUGUCAGCACAGAGCCCUACACGGGGCUCCAACUCACAAACCGUGAGAUCAUGACCUGAGCCGAAGUCCGUUGCUCAACCGACUGAGCCACCCAGGCACCCCCAGAAAUAUUACCUUGAAACUGAAAUAAGAUGAUUUCAGUUUGCAGACAACAUACACAACAACCACAUUUGCUGGUUGUAAAAGAUGUAGGUUAACAGCAGGGAUGACCCUUAAUGCAUCAUGCUUGAUAUAAAAUGUCCAAGAAAAGGCAAAAAUAUAGGCACAGAAAGUAGAGUAGUGGUGCUUAGGGUUGAAAGUGAGAAUGAUGAGUGACUGUAAAUGGGAAUGAAAUUUCUUCUUGGGGUGAUGGAAAUGUCCUAGUGGUAAUUAAUGGUUGUACAACCUUGUAAAUAUACUAAAAUUCAUUGAAUUCCACACUUAAAACAGGUGAGGGGCACCUGGGUGGUGCAGUGGGUUGACCAUCCAACUCUUGAUUAUGGUUCAGGUCAUGAUCCUGGGGUCAUGGGAUCAAGCCCCACAUUGGGCUCCUCGCUGAGCUUGGAGCCUGCUUGCGAUUUUCUCUCUCUUGCCCUCUGUCCUGCCUCCACUUGCAUGCAUGUGUGUGUGUGCAUACUCUCUCUCAAAUAAUAAAAAAAAUGUUAAAAAAUGUUAAAAACAGGUGAAUUUAUGGUAUAUGAAUGAUAGCUCAGUUGUUUAAAAGAUAUAGUUUAUUUAUUUUUAAUGUUUAUUUAUUUUUGAGAGACAGAGAGAGACAGAGUGUGAGCAGGGGAGGAGCAGAGAGAGAGAAAGAGAAAGACACAGAAUCUGAGGAGGCUCCAGGCUCCGAGCUGUCAGCACAGAGCCCAACGCAGGGCUCGAACUCACAAGUAGUGAGAUCAUGACCUGAGCCGCAGUCAGACGCUUAACCAACUAAGCCACCCAAGCGCCCUAAAAAGAUAUAGUUUAAAAGACUUUAGCCAGAUGAAACACAAUCUCAAUUUGAAGAGACAUCAAAGGUAUGAGAAGUUUACUAGAAUUACCUGAGAAAUAGCCAGUAGAAUUUUAACUGUUUCUAUCCUUAGAUUUUCCUUAUUUUUAUCAAGAGACACAUCAUUAGUUCAAACUUCCUGGAGGCAUUUAGAUGGAGAGAAACAUCUGAUUUACUGACUAAUUCUUUAAAGCAUACUUUUGUAAAUUUAAAGUUCACACAACAGCUAGAGUCAAGCUAGUAGUGGAUCAUAGAUGACCUAUUGCUUAAUUAAUGGAUUGAGAUGCUUUGUAAUUACAAUUUAAAUUUUUCAUUCUUCCAGCAAUUGAUUACUUAGUGUUUACUAUGACCGGUUUUAGAGGCAACUGCCAACAUAUAAUUGUAUGUAUAGAAGUGAUGGUGAAGGUAAAUAUUUUAUUUUUUUAAUGUUUAUUUUUGAGAGAGAGAGAGGGGGAAGAGAAAGAGAGAUAUCACGAAUGGGGGAUGGGCAAAGGUAAAUAUUUUAAAAUGCUCUGUGGAGUCAGGUUUAUAUGCUUAAUUUCUAAGCAUAUCCUUCUUCUUUUUUUUUUUAAAUAGGUAAUACCAAUGUAAAUUUGCUCUCAGUCCAUGAAUCAUGAUGAAUGCAGUAUGAAUGACCGAGAUUUCACUGUGUUCACAAAAGUGUUGCUGAGGUUAUUCUUGGUAAAUCUAAAUGACUCUAUAAAAUAUUAGUUAAAAGAUAUUUGCACAAUGAGAUAUCAGCUCCCAUUAGUCAGAAUGGCUAGAAUCAAAAACGCUAGAAAUAACAAGUGUUGGUGAGGAUGUGGAGAAAAGGUAAGCCCUGUGCACUGUUGGUGGAAAUGUAAAUUAGUGCAGCCGCUAUGGAGAACAGUAUACAGGUUCCUCAACAAAAUAAAAAUAGAAAUACCAUACAACCCAGUAAUUCCAUUUUUGGGGUAUUUAUCCAAAGAAAACAAAAACACUGAUUUGAAAGCAUAGAUGCACUCCUAUGUUUAUUGCAGUAUUAUUACAAUAAACAAGAUACAGAAGUAACCUAAGUGUCCAUUGGUAGAUGAAUGGAUAAAGAAGUUAUGGUGUAUAUACACCCCAUGGAAUAGUACUCAGCCUUAAAAAAAACGAGAUCUUGCCAUUCAGUGGGAAUUAUGCUAAGUGAAAUAAGUCAGAGAAAGACGAUACCACAUGAUUUCACUUAUAUGUGGAAUCUAAAGAAGAAAAUAAAUGAACAACAAAAAAAAAGAAACAGACUCAUAAAUAGAGAGAACGGAUAGGUGAUUGCCAGAGGAGAGGGAGGUAGAGGGAGGGGAUAGGUGAAAUAGGGAGGGGAUUAAGAACUAUAAACAUCCAGUUAUAACAUAAAUAAGUCAUGGGGAUGAAAGGUACAGCAUAGGGAUGUAAUAACUUUAUAUGGUGACUGAGAGUAACUACACUUAUCACAGUGAGCAUUUUGUAACAUAUAUAAUUGUUGAAUCACUAUAUGGUACACCUGAAGCUAAUAUAAUAUUAUGUGUUAACUAGACUUCAAAUAAAAAAUAUUUGACCAGAAUUAGAAAAUUAUAUGCUAAUUCCAAUUGUGCCAAUUGGUUCUGAAGCACGGUAAUAACUGGAAGCUUCUGCUAAGUCCUCUGGGAGCUGCCUCUUACUCAACCACUUACUAAUUCCAUACAGGCCUUGAGUGGCUUUGCAUAAAUGUGAUAGGACAAUGCCCUCCCUGACCCACUGGUAUGGAGCACCAUUAGAACAGGCUCUGUACGCAUGCCUGUAUAAAAAUUCGGUGGUGGGCAGUGGAUGUGAUGUUCCAUAGAAUCACACUUGACCAAUGGAGAAUGGAAAUUGGUAGAUAAAUGUGAACCUUUUUGUCUCCUUGAAAGCAUGCUUAAGCCUCCUCCAUGAGAACCAACUCAAUGAUACAUCCUCGUAUUGGUUUUUCCUCUUUGCCUGUUUUACUCCCUUUCCCCCCAGCUGAUAUACCUGCCUCCUGGCCCUAUUUUUUCAAAUAAACUAACUGCAUGCAAGCCUUGUCUCCCAUUUGGGAGAUACUCAGCCUAAGACAUACAGGAUAUUUGAUAUAUGCAAUCUAUAGUUCUUGUUAGUAAAUUCUUGCUGAAUAAUUGACAAUGUUGUACCAAUAGAUUUGUAUUUUUCACUUGAAUUGCGUCAUUUGAGUAGUAGGGAUUUUAUAGAAAAUGAACCCCUAAUUCAUUUUAGGAAUUAAUAGUAAUACGAAAUGAUUCCCUAAUAUACAUUUGAUGGCAGAGUCUUCAAUGUAAGUUCUGGUUGUAUCUGUCAUUUAACUUGUAUAUCAGGGUCACUGUCAUUAGGAAACUAGCUUACGCCUCAGAAGAAGACAGUAAUCAUAUAAAAUGAUGUUCAGGAGUCCAGGUUCUAUAUGUUUAGGGUUCCUUUUUGUUUGAAGAAGGCGUGCCAGCUUCCACCCCCCUGCCAAUUAAAUAAAAAUAAAGAGGCCAAGUCAGAGACAGAAGUGGUUUGUUUGUUUCUUUGUUUAUUAAAAUCUGUGUACCCAAAGUGGGGCUCAGACUCACAACCUAUAUUUCAAGAGUCCAUGCUUUGCUGACUGAGCCAGCCAGAUGCCCCCAGAAGUUAAAGGCAAAGGGGUUUAGAUAAGAGUGGGUCCGCCUAAUCUUCCAGAGACUUCUAGUUGCUCUUCAAUCUACCACAGGCACCUGAGAGUUCUAUAUUAGUUUUAAAUUCUAUCCCCAUGCAGACUUUCUGAGCAUUACUUCAGUACCCCUGAGUACUUGCUCCACUACUGACCCUAUUAUUCUUUGAUGACCUGAUUAUUGCACAUUUCUGUUGGUUGUAUAAUAUUGUCUACUGAGCUAUAAUCAUUCUAGAAUGUUCUGUUACUAGGUCUGUAGGCAAAAGUGGAGUUUUCAGUUCCACAUUAAAAAUGGGCUACAAUUGGGGCCCCUGGGUGGGUCAGUCUGUUAAGCGCCUGACUUCGGCUCAGAUCAUGAUCUCACAGCUUGUGAGUUUGAGCCCCGGGUCAGGCUCUCUCCUGAAAGCUCAGAGCCUGGAACCUGCUUCAGAUUCUGUGUCUCCCUCUCUCUCUACCCCACCCUUGCUCACACUCUGUCUCUCUCUCUCCUUCAAAAAUAAAUAAACAUUAAAAAAAAAAAAGGGCUACAAUUUAGGGGCACCGAGGUGGGUCAGCCAGUUAAGCGUCCAACUCUUGAUUUUGCAUCAGGUCUUGAUCUCACAGUUUGUGAGUUUGAGCCCUGCACUGCUAGUGCAGAGCCUCCUUGGGAUUCUCUCUCUCUCUCUCUCUCUCUCUCUCUCUCUCCCUUGCUCUCUCUCAAAAUAAAUAAAUAAACUUAAAAAAAAACUUUAAAAAUAAGUAAAAAAUUAAAAUGAGCUACAAUUUAGACAAGUCCUUAACAAAUGUUUGUGGGCAGAGAGACCUCAUUGAAACAACAGCAGUCAAUUCCUCGUUAUCUUUGCUAUUAGAAGAAAGUAAUGGAAUUCUUCCAAAAUAGUGGAUAAAGUAUAAUACUAUAAUGGAUUUCCUCCCCAACCCCCCAAAGGAUUUGCCUGCCUAAACUUAUUUUUUUUUUUUUCUUGUGGUCUAGACCAAAUUCUCAAUGAUUUUGCAUCCCUUGUGCACACAUUGUAGCUUGGGGAUGGGGACCUGACUGGUGUUGACUGAGAGGUUCAAGAUGGUCUCAGGAUGCAAACUGCCCUUGGGAAAUUCACAUGCAGAUAAUGAAGUGGUGGCUGUACCUAAAAUAUUGAUCAAAAUGCAAUUUAAUCUGUGCAAUAGGCUUCAGGCUCUGCCUUCUGACCCGGGAACAGCCACAGCAAAGUCAAUCAAAUGAGGGCCUUUCCUGAAGAGGAUAAGCAAGUUUAAGCUUUUAUAGUGUUCCCUGGUUUCCUUGUUGAAAACGGAGCUCAAGGCUCCUCAGUUGGAAGAGCAUGUGACUUUUGAUGUCGGGGUUUUGAGUUCAAGCCCCACGUUGGGUGCAGAGACGACUUAAAUAAGUAAAAUAAAAUCUUUUUAAAAAAUGUUUUAAAACUUUUUAAAAAUGUUUUAAAAACUUUUUAAAAAGUUCAUGUUUUUAAAAACUUUGUUUUAGUGCUUUAAAGGUAGAGCUAAUAACUAAUUAUUGUUAUUUUUAUUUUUAUUUCUCUAGGAUUUCAUUUAAAUUGAAGUUAGUUAACAUAUAGUGUAAUAUUGGUUUAAGGAGUAGAAUUUAGCGAUUCAUCGCUUACACAUAACACUCAGUGUUCAUCCCAACAAGUGCCCUCCUUAAUGUCCAUCACCCAUUUAGCUCAUCCCCCAUCCACCUCCACUCCAGCAACCUUUCGUUUGUUCUCUAUAGUUAAGGAUCUCUUCUGUUUGCUCCCCUCUAUGUUUUUAUCUUAUUUUUUCCUUCUCUUCCCCUAUGUUCGUCUGUUUUGUUUCCUAAAUUCCACAUAUGAGUGAAAUCAUAUGCUAUGGAAUAUUACCCAGCCGUCAAAAAGAAUGAAAUCUUGUCAUUUGCAACAGUGUGGAUGGAACUGGGGUGUAUUAUGCUAAGCAAAAUAAGUUGGUCAGAGAAAGACAAUUACUGUUAUUGAUUUUUAAAAAUAAAACCUAGUUUUUAGUCUUUCUCCUUAGGAAUCUGCCCCUGUAAGGAUAAUAGGCUGCCAUGGAAUAAAAUUGGUGAAUGUUAAAUACACAGGGACACAAUUUUAUUCUAUGCAGGGUUGUUUGCUGUCAUAAAGAUUUAUCAGGGAACAAACAGCCUCAAAGAAUCUUUUAGUGUGUUGUUACUAUCCUCUUCCGGCUGCGUUUGGUGUAUUUUCCUGGUCAUCUUAUUAAUAUUGUUAGAUUUAGAAUACAGAGACUUUUCUACCUCCAAGUGUCUGCCCUUAAAAAAACAAACAAAAGCAAAAACCCAGCAACAAAAAAUUAAGACAACUAAUAAUACUCAUACACUUACUUAGAAUCAAUUAUCAUACUAAGGAGCCAUAACUGCAGUUUCUUACAUCUGUUCUGGUCACUAUCGGUUGCUCAUUUCCCAGCAGAUGUAUGCAACAGUGAGGCGUCAUAGUUUCUAACCUAUAAUGCUGCUAUUAUUUCAUGUUGAAAUUACUCUCUUUUUUAAAAAGAUUUAUUUAAUCACUUAAGUAAUCUCUAGACCCAACAUGGGGCACAAACUCACAACCCUGAGGUCAAGAGGCACAUGCUCUACCAACUGAGCCAGCCAGGUGCCCCACACCUGAAUUAUUCUCAUCUAAUUUCCAAAGAUCUAUAUUGGGCCUGUAGGUAGUUAGGGGAUGAAGAGGUGUUUGCGAUGAUUUGGAAGUCUCUGGUUACAACCUGGAAGAAGAAUGUCUUUGGUGAAACAUGAACCAAAUUGUUCUCCUGCUCCUUUCCAUUUGCCCUUUGUUUACAGUAAGAUUAUGCAAAUAUACCUUUGAGUUGGGGGUGAGGGUAGGGAGAGAAAGUGGUCUCCUUUUUUGUGUUCACUGCUAUAUAAAAGACCACUGUAUAGGCAAUUUCGUCUCCUAAAGACGAGACAGUAGAUAUUCAAUUAAUGACACUGAAGUUGGAUCAAAUUAUCCUUCCUGCUCUUAGUUCUUCUAAGGAGAACAAAACUCUGCCUUUCCUAUCUUCUAGUUCUUACCCACGUAGCAGGCCACAGAUUAUUAUGUACUUUAAUUCUACAUUAGGUGCUUUUCAGGGGGGAAAACCCCAUAGUUUAACCUAAUGAAGUGAAACAUGUCUGCAAUACAACUCAGAUGAGAUCAGCCAUGGUUCUUAAUAUGUAUUUGUGAGAUGUUGAAAGUUCUUUCUUUUGAUCAGUCAAUAUGCUUUUGUUUGUUUUUACUGUCUAUGUUUUUGCAGCACUAUUAUUCAUGAGAUACAACUCAUCAUGUACUUCGGAUGAACAGAACAGCGAGGGGUGUUUUUAG